RNAcentral lists this long non-coding RNA (103503 nucleotides) under Theobroma cacao (cacao). RNAcentral's name for it is "long non-coding RNA (TCAC_LNC003633)". Lineage: Eukaryota; Viridiplantae; Streptophyta; Magnoliopsida; Malvales; Malvaceae. The record is from RNAcentral.
UUGCACUUAUGCGGGAGAUGCAGCUCAACUUUCAUCCAUUACACCUCCUUCAUCCACAAAUUGGCGAUUGGGAAAAUUGUUUUGCCUGUAGAUUUAAAAUCAUUGAAAGUAUCGAUUAUAGUUGUCGACAGUGUGAUUUUCACCUUCAUCUUCAUUGUGCUAAUUCCCUGAAGCUGGCCUUAAAAAUUAAGUCUCACGUGCAUAAUCUCUAUUAUUUUGGACCAGAUUAUGAGAAAUCCUACCAAUUAUGUAACAAAUGCAAAAGUUACAUUGGUAAGGAACCUUUCUAUUAUUGCGUGGAGUGCAAUAUGAAUUUGCACUUAAAAUGUGUUCCCAUACCAUGUUCAGUUAAAUCCAAAUGUCACAUGCAUCGUUUGACUCUUAAAGAUCAUUUUGUGGAAGAUGAUUCUGGAGAAUACUAUUGUGACAUUUGCGAAGAAGAAAGGAACUCAAAAAAUCAUUGCUAUUAUUGUGAAGAGUGUGCUGGACAAUUUGUUGCUCAUAUCGAGUGCGCGCUUCUUACAGUAAGUUUAUCACUAUCAUUUUCUCUGUAGAAGUUUUUUAUACCAUAUUUUGAAUUUUUAAAGGAAAAUAAAAAUCUAAGUUACACAUCACAUGAUCGUAUCCACCACUUCUUUGAUUGAUUGGACUUUAUUAAUGGUUAAAGUAACUCAUAAGUUCAUAUAUUAUAGAUUUUUCAUUAAUUUAAACUUUUUACCCAAAAGUGGUUAAUUUAGUCUUUAUACUUUCAGAUUUUAUGUAAUGGACUAAGUUUGCUUAGCUUUAUCUAAAGUAACCAUUAGUGGUACUAGUGUUACAUUGACAUGUAAGAUAAAAAAAAGGAAAUUGGCCAUGUGGUAUUUUUUUCUUUCCUUUUUUUUCUUCACUUAUUUGUUCAAAACUACAUUGUUUUAGAGUAUUAUUUAAAAGCACCUUUAGUUUUUAUUUUUCAUUUUCAUUCUUUCCUUCUCUCUAGCUCUUUUCUCUCCCUUUGAAUGCAAAUUCUGGCUGUCAAUCACUAGUGGUAUGAAAAUUUAAUAAAAAAAUAAAAAAUUCAUAUUUUUUUGCCUUAUUUCCCAUAAUAAAAAUAGCUUUUUCAAAAUCUAUUUUGAUUUUCCUAGAUUUAAAAUCAUAAACUUGUAAAAAAUAAACUUGUUUCUUUCCACUGCUAUGUUCUUGACUUGAUGUUAAUGAUCAAUGAUUGUGUUUUUAUGUUGUAGGAUUUUGAAUUUACAGAUGAAAAUUUUCAUGAAUUUUUCAACUUGAAAGAUGUUGACUCACCUAUUGAGAGUUCCUCUACGGAUGAGUUGCUUUCCCAACCCCAUGCUGAAGUUUACUUGAACCAAAACAGAAUGGUAGUUAAGUCUUAUUUAAGUUCAUUUUAAAGAUUUCAUCUUUUAUGCGAAAAUGAAUUUUAUUUUAAGAAUAGUUAAAUGAAAGAAAAGUUUCAAAAUUUUGUGGGUGCCAUUGUUGUUGCAGAAGUACUGGGUGGAUAAGAAAUUAAACAAAUACUGCUUCAUGUUGUUUGCAAGAGAUCUUUCAAUCACUUGGGCAGAAAACCACCGUUACUGGCGUUGGUCAUACCAAAGAGAAACAAACAGGUUAGCAUAGAUUUAUUAUCCAUUUAGAAUCUUUACUUCAUAGAUCUAGCUUGACAACUUUUCUAAUCCACAAACUUUUGAUUUUGCAGCGAUGUGUUGAUUGAUGUUGCCGAACUUCUAGAUGUGUGUUGGCUAGAAAUGAAUGUGAAAUUCAACGUAAAAAAGCUCUCACCGAAAACAUUGUAUGGACUUGUGUUCGUGCUUAUGUUGACAAAAGAAGCACGUGGAUGGGAAACUCCAGUGAACUUCGGAUUCACUCUUCCAAAUGGGUACAAGGUUGAACGCAAGGAAACUUUGAAGUCCAAGCCGAGAGGAGUAUGGAUAGAAAUCCCCGUUGGAGAAUUUACAACUUCAUCUGAAAUUGUUGGAGAAUUUGAUAUUUACUGUCACGAAUAUGCUACAGGGAAUUGGAAGAGAGGACUUAUUGUUAAAGGAGUUACUAUUCUGCCAAAGAAUUAAACAACAAAUUAGUAUUUUCUCACAAUAAAUCUGAAAGUACUGUAGUUUUUCUAUUUGUUCAUAAUCUUGCAAAUUCGAAAAUGACAUGAACCUAAAAGGAACAAACUCAUCCAAUUAUCACUUCAACAACCAGUUCUUUGGUCCUCAUUUUAAUGUAUAGGUUCCAUGCUAAAUGCAACAAACAAGGCCAUUGAUUUUUUUGGUAUUUUUUAUAAGAUUUUAUGACCACUAGUGGCUAGUGGUUGGCUGUUGAAAUCUGGGUUUGGGGAUCAAAGUCUAAAACAGAAUGAUUAGAUAGAGAGCAAGAGAGAGAAGGAAAGAAGGAAAAAUGAAAAAAGAGAAAAAUAAAUGUCCUUUAAAUUGUAGGUUUACAAUGAUUGGUUUUGGACAAAAGAGAGAAAAAAGAAAAAGAUAAGCCAUGUGACCAAUUUCUUCUUUUAGUCUAACAUGUCAACAUUAGCAUUUUUUUUUAUAUCAAUUUAACUUUAGUAUCACUAAUAGUUAAUUUGGAUGGAGUUAGACAAAGAGACUCAAUGGUACAAAUUCUGGGUAUACAAGGACUAAAUUAAUCAGUUUUGGAUAAAUGGACUAAAUUGACAAAAAAAAAUCUUUAAUAUAGGGAUCUAUGAGGUACUUUGACCAUUAAUAAAUUUCAAUCAAUCAAAGAGGUGAUGGCUAUGAUCAUGUAAUGUGUAUGUGUAAUUGAGAUUUUUAUUUUCCUUCAAAAAAAUUCAAUAAUGUGGUAUAAAAGAAAUCUAUAAAGAGAAAAAAUAAUUGUUGUCUCCUCAGCAUUUUUUGAAACCUUUUCAGCACUUUGAAGCUUUGUCCAUUAAUUAAUCAGCUUGUUUUAGGCAUGUUCAUAUAGUAACACAAGUCUUUACGUUGUAUAGAACCUUUUGUUCCUUUUUGAACUCCUAUAAUCUUGCGCAAGUUGUGUAUAUAGGGAGAUACAUGCCUAAGCUGCAGGGAUGGUUUUUGUUCACCUGCUUUUUUGUAUAUUGAUUUUGCUUAAGGUAUAAAGAUAUAGAAUUUUAAAAAAAAGAUACAAAAUUGUGGGAUUAGCAAAUUGAUAGCCACAUUUGGAAUAAAAAAGUAGCAAUUAAAAGAAGCAUUUUAUCUUUAAUGAUGAGUAAGCUGUCUUUAGCUUUUUUCUUUUUUAUAUUCUCUCAAUAAUUUCCUACUUUAAAUAGAGAAAAAAAACCACCGUUGACAGGGCAUGAAACACAUGCCACUUUCUUGUUUUUGGUAUAAAGGCUUGAGGGAAUCUUUGUUUAGGUUUUAUAUUUAAAUACACUCUCUCAUUAAGAGGCUAGUAGUUGAUCAUCUUUCUCUUCAUCUACCUAAAUUUCUUUCUUUGUUUGUUUCAGAAAACAAGAUAGAGAUUGUUCUGCUAUGAGGAUAUUCUGUACUUGUUUUUGACAGAAAUUUAGUACCUCCUUAAGUCCUCAACCGUCUUGGUGUUGCAAAAAGGGGGUUGUAGCUAGAAAUUAACAACAAAAAAUAUGCAAGCAAGGCUGUUGAUGUGAAUGAUUUAGCUUAGUUUGGGUUAUACAAGGCACAACAAUUCUUUGAACGUCAAAUACACUUUCCUAUAUUUAAGCUUUUUCUUCAUAAUGUGUAGGAUUGCAGGGCAUUUUAUUCAACUAUAUUUUGGUUAGAUUGUAGGGAAAAAGACAUAAAGGAGAGAAACAUUUUUAGAUAAUGAUUCAAAAUUUAAUUUCAUUAAUAAGUUAAAAAAUUAUAGCAAAUUGUCAAAAAGGUUCAAAAAAAAUUUUUCUGCUCCUUUUAUUCUCUCUUAGCCAGAAGCGAUGUGCAUUCUCGAACUAGUGAGUUGCAAAUAAGUGGCUGCUUUCCUGCAUAUCUUUGAGUUGAAUGACCAUAUACUUAUUUAUUUCGUAUAUUUCGAUAAAUUUAUGUUAAUAUUCAAGUUUUUAAUAUUUAAAUGAAUUUAUAUUUGAUGCAUUAACAAUGUAUAUAAGAUAUAUGUCAGUAUAUCAAAUAUGAAUCCUAUUUAAAUAGAUUAAGAGUACAUAGUUAAGAAUUACAGGGAGUUUAAUUUGAGAUAGUAGCUUUUUGUAUGAAAGAACAAAAAUAAGAUUUUAUUACUUUUUUUAUUUGUUUUUGUUAAUUUUAUUGUGUCAGCUUGAUUUUAUGUCAAUAGACCUAUUAAUUCAUCAUGGUUAGUAAUCAACUGCUUCAAUAACGAUGCUUCCCAAGUUUAAAAGGGAAAAUAGGAGAUUCCAAACUUAAAACCUUCAUGUCCUUGAUGCUUUUCUUAUUUCUCUGUCCCUUUUUAUUUGUUGUUUUAGUUACAAAAUUGUGGAAGUAGAAUCUUGAUUGUUGCAUUUUCAAUAAAAAGUACCAAUUUACAGAAGCAUUUUAUCUUUAAUGAUGAGUAAGUUUUCUUUGGCCUUUUUCCUUUUUUUGAAAGACAAAGAGAAUAGUAUUUCAUAAAAAAAGGUACAUCUUAAUUAAAUUAUUUGAAGGCAAGAAAUUAAGAUUAGCAUCAGUAUUCACUUCCAAAUUCUCACAAUCAUUUCUUUUUUUAAAUAAAAAAAAAUAAUGUUGUUUUUAUCACCCACUCAAUUAAUUAAUCUGAAAUUGUCGUUGUAUUAGUAAAAUGAAUCGUAAUCACAAUAUAUGCGCGAUGUGUUUUCAUUGGGCAAGUAAUUGUUAUAUAACUAAAGCAAAAAUAAAGUAAUUGCUAUAUAGCAUUAUUUUACUUAGAGGGAAAUAUUUAAUUAAAGAAAAAAAAAGUAAUUCCAAACUUAGAACCUUUAUCCUUUUAAAAACCAAUGAAUAGAGUAAUGUUGAUUCUCUAUAAAGUGAUUUGAUUUCAAAAUGCCAAAGGUCCUUGAUGCUUUUCUUCUUUUUUAAACAAAACACUCCCCUUGCUAAACUAAAGUGAGAAUCAAUUAAGUUUGGUACAACUUAUAGAUACAUUUAUGCCACUAGUAAUACUUUGUUUCAGAAUUAUCUUUUCUUUUUAAAAACAAUAAAGAUGAAUUAUAUAUUAAAAAAGAGUAUUCCUUUACAACUUAACAAAAAAGACCCACGACUACAUCAAAGGCAAGCAAUGGGACUUAAAAAUUUGGGUAGACCAGUACUUGCCUAAGGUCCCGCCAACUAGCAUUAAAAAGAAAAUAUUACAAAAGGUAAGAAAACUCACUCUAUACAUAACAAAAGGACCUCCGAAAAAGUGUUCAAUCAAUAUCCCUUAAAAAAAAGGCAGUAUAAACGAAGAAACAUCAGUGGUUCCAUAAAGGUAGCAGCAAGCAUUAUGAUGCACAACAAAAGUCAAUAAAGCAGGGGACAGAAUACCCCACACUAGGUUAAUGUAUAUUCUUCUCCGAGGUUGGCAGAGAGUCAUUGAUCCAAAACAAAUCUGUUGAUCUUGAGACACCUUCUUUGGCUAGGGUGUCAGCUUCUUCAUUAGCAGACCGAAAAAUGUUUUUAAUCACCAACCCAACGUCCUUGGUCAACUUCUUCCACAUACGUUGUCCAAUAAAAAUCACUCAAGUGUCUCGCAUUGCUUGAAAAGGACAAAAAGACUGCCACGUGCUACCUUAUUGGCAAUUGCUACUAGCGUUCUCCACCGCCCGCUUGGUGUCGCCUGUACAGCCAGAACCACAACCACCACCAUUUGCAAUUCUCCUGAGUCUGAAUUCUUAUCACAUUACUACUGUUGGAAAAGUGUUUGACAAACAACUUUCAGCUAGUAAGUUAGACUCACUAUAACCUUUAUUAUCAAAAAUUUUAUACGCAUCGCUUUUGGAUUACAAAGCAUUACAAGGACGAAUUAUAAAGCAUUUUAAUUCUCAUGGUUUUUUUUUUUUUUUUAAAGAGUGAUUUUGGGUUCAACUUUAAGAAAUUGUCUGCCACUUGUUCAUUGUUACAAAACAGGGUCGGAAGAGAAGCAGCUUCAACAUCAUCCACUUGUUCAGUCAACCAAUAAUUAACUGCUGUUUUCAUUAACCAAUUUACAUUUGAGAAACAACAAAAACAAUGGCAAAAGCACUUCUUUCCAUGAUCCUGGAGCAGCAGUUGGGUGGUUCGUUCAUUCCUCAAGAGAUAAAGCAUCAUGUCGGAUUGGCUGUAGGUCUUGAAGAAGAAAUCCAAAAACUCACCAGCAACUUUGACGCCAUUCAAGCUGUGCUUGAAGAUGCGAAAGGAUAAACCAAACAGGGCUUGCCUAACCCAAGGCGCGGAGGAUAAGGCAUACCGAUGUGGAUGCGGCCCAUAUCCCAAGCUGUUUCCCCACAGACCCUCCAACAGUGUCCCAUAACUCUAGUCCUACAUCCACCACGGAAGAAUUACAAGACUCCCAAGGAGCGGAGGACGGCAAUGGAGGCGGCUGGCUCCGAUUCCGAUGGCAGAGAAUUCAAGAACCCACAGGAAAUGUGGAGGGAGCAAAUUGGAGAUGCAGAUGCAGGAGAUAACCAUAAGAAGACUCAGUGGUACCGUGAAGGCGUUGCCUAUUGGGAAGUAAGUCUUUCUUAACUCUGGUUCUUACAUUUGUAUGUGGGUACCAUUACCGAACUCAUAAUAUAGUUAUUGGUUUCUUUGGUUGUGCUAAGAGAAGGGUGUGGAGGCAUCGGUAGAUGGGGUGUUGGGUGGAUUUGGGCAAGUAAAUGAGGCAGAUGUCAAGGGUAGUGAGGUUUUUCUCAAUACCCUUUUGCAUGAAAGAUUCUCGAUGGCGGUGGAAGAAAUCACCAUCUUGUUGCUCUUGGUACUUCUCUGUCUCUCUCUGUGUGCUCAACUUUAUAUUGUUUUUAUGAAGUUAUAUACCCAUAUAUGUUCUGUUGAGGUAGUUUGGUUUAUGUUAUUAUUAUUUUUUUUUUUUACACUAAAAAUCAACCUUAGGUUAUUAUGCGCCAUUAAAUGUGGAAGUGCAAAGUUGGUGAUGGGAUCCUACUUCAUUAGAAUGUAGCAUUGGUGGAAAACCUAAUUAACUAUAAAUUAAACAAAAAACAUAGUGGUGACAGCAGAAAGGGAUGUUGUGAUAGAUGAAAUUUUGAGUUAAAUAUCCGCAAUUAGUGCUUGAAACCGGAAACCAAGAUAACUUGAUAACACAACCAUGAAGAGUUUAUGUCCCAUAAUCCCACCCCAUAAAAGAAAAUAAAUAAAUAAAGAAGAGGAAAGCAUGGAAAUUUGCAUGAAUAUGCAUUUUCUGAAUUAAUUUGCAUGAUAUCUUCACCAAAAAUCAGUCUUAGUAGUGCAAGAAUUAUGUCAUGCAUUAGAGGUGUUGCUUUGAUUUAGAAUGCCAGCGUUAUAGGUGUUGCUCUUAUUUAGAAUGCCAUAAUGCAAUUGAGAAUUGGGUUUACUACAUGCUAUUUUGCUUAAUAAAAAACCAUCUUUAAGCAAUAUUCUUUUUUAAAUUUGGGAAGAAGCUUGCUGGGAGUUCUCUCUGUCUCUUAAGGGUUGUGUGCUUGUGGGGGGUGGGGGAUGGGGCACCCCUGGACCCAAUUUGAGGCCGUUGUGAGUGCUCAGAAUAAAGGAAAGAAAUUUCUGUGUUUAAGAUUGAAAAAUUACUUUCACAUUUCGUCAGCAGCGAAGAUGCUCUAUCUUGCUAAUAUUCUGGAACUUGUUAUCCUUUGAAUGGCAAAAAUUAGAUAUGUCUUCAGUAUGUUUUAUUACUAGGAGAUUGAUUCUUCGACAUGAGUAGGAUCUAUAAUUGCCUAUAUAUGAAGUUGGUCUUAAUACUUGUGAGUUGGUGGACUAUACUGGGGCAACUGACUGAAAUCUUGCGAAGGGGAAUUGUAGGGGAAAUUAUUUAGGAAACUAAGCAGUUGGAGUUUGGCUUUAAUAUAAAGAUAUUUAGAUAACUAAGCAGUAAUGGUUUGGCUUUAAUAUGAAGAUAAUUAAGUGAUUUCCACAAGUUUUAUUUUAAGUAAUAUGAUAUAAGAUGCACUUAAGCACUUGGCUCUAUGAUAGGUGCAUGUAUCCCCUGCUAAAAGAGCUGGGUUUAAAUUACCAUCACCAAAUAAAAUAAAAUAAAACAUGAUAAUUGAUGGUUGUGCCCUCAAACUUUUGCCUUCAUGUGGUUUAUGUUGGUGGAAUCAAAACAAACUCUUUUGAUGAUCUCAGUGCAGAUGAAUCUGGUACAUUUUAGGGCCUAGCAUACUAAAUUAAACUACGUCAUAAUUCUCAAAACACUGCAUUGCUGACCUUUAUUUUAAGUCCAUACAUUUAAGCAGUAGUAAUACCUGCAAAUGGUUCUAAAGCAUACUUGAAAUAUUGCUGGAGUACUGAUCUGUUUGGUAUUUCAUUUUUCUUGAUGUUUUUAAUUCUAAUUGAAAAUCAUAAAUCUAGUUGACAUUCUGAGCUUUUAGUUUCUAUGUUAAUUUAACAUACUGCAGAUUGUGGUUCUAGCAUAGGGAGAAUAACCAAUAAUCUGUUUGGUCAUUUUUCUCUUUCUAUUAGUUUAUUUUCAAUAUUCCUGACAUUUACCAUCUUUUCAAUUAAUUGAUAACAUGGUUCAUAGUGCAUAAUUUUUACUAGCUAAUGAAUUUCUCUGAUGUUUUUGAAUUGAAAGCAAAAUUGGGCGGUGCCUUUUAAAAAAUUCAAGUAGGACAUGAGGAGGGUAUACGUUAAUUUCGAGGUACCUGAACCCUAAGCUUAUAAAAAAUCAAAUACCCAAACCUUAUUAAUUACUUGAAUAAUUUUAAAAAUUACUACUUUAACCUUAACCCUAAUACAUUUUCACUGUUCUAUAAUUAUCCUAAUCUGUUAGAAAACCCCAAUUAGAUAAAAAAAUUAUUAAAAUGUUCUUCAUGAGUACCCAAUUACUCGAACCCAAACCCAUAUCCAUAUACAAUAAUAUUUAUCCUACAUAUUUCAUAUAAUUAACUACUAAUUAAAUUAAUAAAAACACAAAUAAUAAAAUUUAAAUUUAAAUAAUAAAAAAUUAUAAAGUGUGUUUAUAAAUGAACAUAAUAUAUGAUAUAAAUCAAUAUUAUUUUAUUAUUCAGUAAUUAUUAACUUAUAUAAUAGUAAUUAUAUUCUUUAUAAAUAAACAUAAUAUAUAAUAUAAAGUGUAUGUAUUAAAAGACAUUAAAAGUUAUAUACUCUAAAGUGUGUAUAUAUAUAUAUUAUAAUUAAUAAUUUUAUAAGUUAUAAUUUUUGUAAUGUUAACACAAAAUAAAAUGUAAAUAUAUUUAUAUUUAAAGUANNNNNNNNNNNNNNNNNNNNNNNNNNNNNNNNNNNNNNNNNNNNNNNNNNNNNNNNNNNNNNNNNNNNNNNNNNNNNNNNNNNNNNNNNNNNNNNNNNNNNNNNNNNNNNNNNNNNNNNNNNNNNNNNNNNNNNNNNNNNNNNNNNNNNNNNNNNNNNNNNNNNNNNNNNNNNNNNNNNNNNNNNNNNNNNNNNNNNNNNNNNNNNNNNNNNNNNNNNNNNNNNNNNNNNNNNNNNNNNNNNNNNNNNNNNNNNNNAAACAUAUCUCAGAAGUCAGAAAAACAUCACAGCCCCUUCCUUUUCAGCAUCAAAUAGAAAACAGCCCUGCCCCCUCAUCCAAUAAGUACCCAUUCUGUGCAACUCUGGAAGAAGAGCUCAAAUCAUGUGCUCUCAUUCUGCUUUCGUACUCCUGAAAAUACUCACAUGUACAGCAUAUAUUUGUUAAAUCUACAUUGCAUGGUAUAUGUUGUUGUCACCAGUAGAACAGGGAAGAGGCCAUGAAUCCUGCGGAUAAUUGUAUGGAACGUGCAGCGAAGAGGCCAUGGAACAUUAGUCAAUAUUGCAAUUUUGUAGCGUUUUUUCUGAGAUAACCACUCCACAGACUAGGCUCCAACUCAACAAAAGAAAAAAAAUUGCGGAGUCAUAGAUCUCCCAUGUUGGAAUUUUGAUUAGUGAUUUUCUCUUAACCAAUUCAAAACAUGUUAAUUUCUAUAUUUGUUGACCACAUGAGGCUAGGAAAACUUUCACCAAAACGUUCAAGGAAAAAACAGACCAGAAAUGGAAGUUUACCUACUUGAUUGUUCAGAGUGACUCACCUUCCCCAUCAGAAUCAAUUCUCCACCACCAUGAAUUGUCUCUUCCUCCUUCAGACUUUCACUGAUUUCGCAGUUUGCCCCCCUGCUAAGCUGCUGCACUUCGCACUGCUUCCUUGAUUGGGUUGACUAUCGCCAUGCGGAUUAUUAUUUGGACCCUUCUUUUUAAUGGGCUAAAACAUACCAGCUUAAUUCACAUCGGCCAAACCCAACUACAGGAGAGUGGCUGGUGGAUCUCUCCAUGGACCAAGUUAUCAGCAGAAGCCUGCAGGCCUGAUAGGACAGGCGGCCUGGAUAUGAUUUUCUAGGCUCAGGUUCUACAAGGUUUGACCCAAGAAUACUGUUAUUUUUAUUAAUAAAUACUUUAUUUUAUUAUAUUUUAAUUCUAAAAUAUAUUUUCAAAUACUAAUGUAAAAUUAUUUAAUAUAUAUAAUAAUAAAAUAUAUAUAAACGAGUAUUGGAAUUGGGUUUGGGACGGGUACCCACGUAACCUGAAUAUUAACAUAAUCAGGUUCAGGUAGCGGGUACUCAAGAGAUAGUACCUGAAUCCGAUAUGGGUAGUGAAAUCACUAUUCGAACCCGUCUUAAACCCGAUUAUAGAGUAUCAUAGUAUGAGUUGGAGCUAUGAUCUUAAUAAAGCUGCAUAGUACUUUGUGAUAGCUAUGCUUUCUGACCCCUCUUCCGUUUACCAUUCUCCAGGUUGAUCUACUUGAGCCAGUUUCACAUUUCUUAGAUGCUGCCCGUCAAAGUUUGUCUCAGGAAUAUUUUGUAGCCUCUGAUGCGCACAAAGCAAGUAAUUUCUACUGUGUCCCCCUUCAGGUAAUGUAGUUCAAGACUAUAUUCACACAUAGAUACAUGCUUCUUGAUGUGUUGAAGUAUUCAUAACUAUGGUUAAGUCUAUGUAAGCUAUGUAUUUCCAACUUUUCACUUUACCCUUUAUUGCGGAUGUAGCCAUGUAAUUGACACCUCAAGCAGGCAUGUUGUUUGAGUACAAUCCUGGGAAAAACUUACAAAAUUUAAUGUAAACAUGUUAAAUAUGGGUUUGCACCUGGAACUCGCAUUUGAAUCUGGGCAACAUAGUCUGUAUUCUGUAGGCGGCUUUAGUCAUGAAUCAUUAUAGGUAUAGCCUAGAAGAGUUAAUAUGACUGAUAUUAUGGGGAUGGGAUGGGUGGGAAGGAGAUUGGACAUGUGUAGCUUUAGCUUGCAAUGUGAAACUUAGAUGAUUAGACAACCUUUGGAUUCAAGUAAAUUUUUGCAAACAAUUAUUUACUCUUUUGUGUGUGUUGUGGGGGGGGAAGAGGGGAGCAGCAUAUUGGGUAGUGAAUGAGCUCUCUAAGUUGGUGACAUAUGUACUUGUCUUCUUCUGAUGCUUCUGGCUGCUAAAUUUUACUUUAUAAAACAGAAAUUUGACAACCAUAUUUUUUUGUCUUUUUCUUUUUCAGGAGUUCACCCCUGAUGCUGGAAGGUACAAUGUUAUUUGGAUUCAGUGGUGUAUCGGUCAUCUCACAGAUGAUGACUUUGUCUCAUUUUUUAAGAGAGCAAAGGUGAAUAAAUCUUCUUCUUGAGACAGAACUUACUUUUUAUUUGACAUGUUGUGCUGUGUGGAAGUGCAUGGAAAGAUCAAAAUUAUGUAUUGAAAUUUUCUUGCCUGCUGUCUACUAUACAUUCGAAUUGCCUUGUUCUGAUUUUUGAAUUAUGAACUGUCAGAUCAUUGCAAUGGUAUCUCAAAUUUUCCUUUUCCAAAUUUAUUGCUUCUAGCUUUCUCUCUUGUAACUUCUCUUAAACCUUCUUACAGCUAUAGGAAUUAAGGUUGUCUAGAGAACAUAACAUAGCAAACACCAGAAGGAUGAUAUAGUCAAACUCUUUUUUCUUUUUGUCCUUUCUUUUUUUAUUUUAAUUUUUUUUUUUGCAAUGUGUCGUGUUGUUCAUUCUAUUCUUCUUCCUGCUAGGUAAGUAGCGGAUUUGAUGGGUUGGUUUGGAGUGUUUGGGCCCAUCCCUAGCACCACAGAAACAAGGCUUGAUAAUGCUUUACAAUUCAUACAGCUAUUUUGCUAUCAUCCGUUUUCUCACCUUACAAAAGCUUGUGACCAAAUUUUGUUGUGCCUUGUGCAUUGAAAUAAGUUUUAAGAAAUGAUGGUAGUUUGACUUUUGUCCUUUAAGUUUGUAAAUGGUGGGAAAUAAAAUUAAAUCUAGAAAGUGCCAUAUUCAUUUCAUGGCACCUUGAGUCCCUACUCUCCUGCUUCCCUUGCUGCAACCUUUUUUUUUUUCCAGGUGCUGUUGAGCAUAACUUUUUGCUCUGCCUUCAAUGUAUUUUCAUCAAAAUUAAGCAAAACAUAUUAAUAAUAAAAAGCUCCAACAUGGAAAUUCUUGGGCAUGUGUAUGUGUAUGUAGUUUGGAGGCCUGAUCUCUAAGUUGUGUCCUGGAAAGACCCUUGUUGAAAUUUAUUAUUCUUGCAUAUAUGAUUUAAAAGAUUAUAAUUUGCACUUUAAUUUGAUACAGUAAUUAAUUUGUUGAUUCCAGGUAGGCCUUAAACCUGGUGGAUUCUUUGUCCUGAAAGAGAACAUUGCUAGAAACGGUAUUGUCUUUAUGACUCUUUGAUUUUUCUAAGCAUGUUUGUUUGCCCUCCCUCCCUCUCUCCCUCCCCUUUUUAAGAAGUGCUCAAGUUUUGUUUAAUGCAUUCCUCAAACUUUCUUAUGUUUUGGUAUUCUGUGGUAAAUUUUCAUAAAGUUGUGUUUUUCUUUUUUGAAAUGCCGCAUGUCAUCUCACGUAUGAGAAGGCAUAAAGUUGCUUUUUUGAGCUGAUAUUACUUUCUAACUUUGUCUUAUUAUGUAAUUAUCUGGCCCCUCUACAACUUUGAAGUAACAUCAUAGUUAAUAAUAAUUAAAAGAUAAAUGGAUAAAGGAAAUUUUAAGCUCCAUUUUCUCGUUCCAUUGCUUGAUACCAAGGGAAGCAGCAAGUUUUUGUUUUAUGCAUUCCUCAAACUUUCUUAUUUUUUGGUGUCCUGCUGUAAAAUUUUCAUAAAGUUGCUUUCUAGAGCUGAUAUUACUGUUUAAAUUUGUUUUAUUAUGUAUUCAUCUGCCCGCUACUGCUUUGACUUAUUCUAGUUAAUGUUUUAAAUGUUGAAUUAAGGAUAAACGGAUAAAGGAAUAUUUAAGCUCCAUUGUCUUGUUUCAUUGCAUGAUACCAAGGGAAACAGCAAAAAAGUGUUGAAACUUAUAAUUCGCAGGUUCAGGGAUGAGUCUCAUCUGCUCAAAUGGGUAUGGGGUAUAAUUUUACUAUGCUACCAAUUUGGGACACCUUUUGGUAACACUGUCUAUGUACAACUUUCUUCAGUGAAAAUUCAUGAAGGAAAGAUGACCUAGUGAUGUAGUGAGGAAGUAGAAACAAUAACAAGAAACCAAAACAGUGAACAAAACCAGAACAAAGGUUAAAAUUGAUGUAAAAUCAAAGUCGGAACAAGUUACAAGCCAUUAGGACCAAUUGUCGAGCAUCUUAAGGUUAAAUAAACAAGUCACUCCCAUCUGUAAUAGAUUGAUUCAAACCAGCUAGAUAACAAGAAGUCAACUGCUCAUUAGUCUCUUUGAAACCAACACUAGGGAAAGGUUGUUGAAACCUGAAGUGUACUCCUCAAUGGACAUACUAUUUUGCUUGAGUGAAUGAAAUAUCUCAUUCAACUCCAUUUAAUCAGCUGGCAGAAAUUUCCUCAUCUUCAUUUUCAUGUGUUCCCAAGUGUUGAUUUUUGGCUUGCCUUGAUGUGCUUGCCGCUCUUCAACGCUCUUCCACCAUUGAAGUGCAGUCCCUUCAACUUAAGCUUCACAAACAGCACCUUUCUUUGUUCUACCAUUGGUUUCUACUAAAAAUAAUUUUACAAACUCGCUUUCUGGUCUAAAUAAUCUUUUGCAUGCAUCUUUUUCCGGAAGUCAUCUACCUUAAUUCUAACUCCACCACCAUUUAAGUCUAGGCAUGUAACAAUCAGCCUUCCAAUCUACCACAAACAGCAUUAUUUGCUGCUCGAGCAUUAUGAAAAGGGUUUUCAGCCUCUCCAUAUUCAAUUUCAUCCUCAAGACCACCUUCCGGUAAACCGAAAGGGUCAGGAUUGCCUUGCGGAUUCUCCAUUCGGGCUCCCAUUGGUUCCUGUCACUUUAAAGCUUGCUCAGCCUGCAACAAAUCUUCAAUCAUACCCUUAAACUCAGCCGAUUCUGUUUGCUGGUCUUGAUUUCUUUUCCACGUCCACUAACAAGUCCUCUAACACGAUUAGCCAUGGUUUAUAAGCUAAAAUCCUAGUUCAACUUUAAGAUCUGUUCAUCUGAUACCUCUUUGAUGUAGCAUGGAAGUAGAAACAACAAAAACAAAAGAAAAACAAUGAAGAAAACCAGAACAAAGGCUAAAAUUGAUCUUAAGAUCAAAGUAGGAACAAGUUACAGCAGCUUUUAAUUGUAGCCCUUCGAUACAAACAAGCCCAUCUAAUCCUAGCCAUUCAAACUAAUUAAAAAUGAUCACAUGCUGAUCACGACACAUGACUAGAUAGAAAACAUAAUUACAAACUUUUAACUAAAGUAAAACAUAAUAAGAUAACCAAUUGGAGAUAAAUUUAAGAAUGCUCUUGCAUAACCUAGCCCAACAAUUAAACUUGCCUAAGGCUUGACUUAAACUAGGACUCAAGUCUCAUAAUUUGCUUGCAUUCAACUCACAAAAUGCUUGGAUUCAAUCAGUUUAUUGUUGAGUUAUUCUUGAGCUCAAGUGACCAAUCGAGUCUAGUUCAAGUGUUUAUAUUACUCAGUCAAGAUGGUUCAAGAGCGUAAUCAACUUUUAAUUUUUUAAUAUAUUUUAAUAUUCCAUGUAUGUAAUACUCGUAUAACACUGAAAAAUAUAAAGCUCUAUCAAGUCCAGCUUGGAGGUCUCAGACAUAUGUACCCUCCAAAAAAUUGUUCAAGUUGAGCUUCAGGUCUUAGUUUUGUAAUUGAGUCGUGUCAAGUUCAAGGUUGUCAUUUUGUCAACUUGAUUUGGCUCAGUUAUGCACCUAGACUUUAACCAGCUCAAACUGACUAAAAGGUUACUGAAUUGAAAGUUGAGACAGGGACAAUUCAAACACAAAGUAAUCUGGAAUUCCAAAAAUCCAAACUUAACACCUAAAAACCUUUAAAUGACAAGUGGGUAGUUAUACCCCUUUCGCAGUAAUUGCAUAAAUUCACUUAACUUGGCUUGCAUGUGGAGAACUUGUCAGUGGAAUUGUUCAGUGGCAAAAUGAGUUUCACUGAGCUAUCACUUGUUUGCAGGAUUUGUCUUGGAUAAAGAAGAUUGAAGCAUCACCAGAUCUGACUUAUACUUCAAGGCCCUAUUUCGUCGAUGUGGAUUGCACCUGUAUAAAAUAAAGGUACCUUCUAUUGCAUAUUGACCACUUAAUAAGCUGUUGAUAACGCUUUUUUAAACUGAAUAUUCUGUUAGUUUACUCGUAAAUGCUUUUGACAGUUGUUGUUUCAUGAGGCCUAAUCCUAACUAUAUUUUGACUUUGAAAGAAUAUACAAUACAUAAAGCUACACAGGUCUGCUGUGGUAUCUUAAAUGGUGCUCAAAGUUCUUAAUCAGCCCCAACUUCCAUUGUUUUGAUUCUGAAAAGCAAAACCCCCCUCACUGGCUAAAAUAAAGUGGGAAUCAAUUCAGUAUGGUACAAUUUAUAGAUAUGGUACAUUUAUGGCACCGAUGAUACUUUGCUGCAGAGUUACCUAUAUCAUGUAUUCUUUUAUCUUCCCUAUUAUCAAUCACUUUUACAGAGAAAUUAUGGUCUUGAAGUCAAAACUGGAUACUUUAAUAAUUAAAGUUAUAAUCAACCUCAAAAUUGUGUGCUGGGUUAUGGCGGUAAAGGGGUCAACUUGAUGUAAGUUACGCAACUUGGACUCACACCAUAAAACUCAACCAAAUUCCAACAAAGAUUAGUUGCCAACCCAUCCAGUUGUGUCUGUUACACAUAACCUUUGACUUGCAACAUAACAAUCCCAAGAUGACACAUUGAAAACUGAUAAGUUUAUAUAGAUCAUGCACUAAUAGCCUCAUAUGUUGCCAUUGUCUUAACAACUAAGUCUCUAAGCCAACAUUCAAAAAUUUAGAUCUUGAAACGUUAAAAUACAAGGUCUAGCUAAAAAUCCAAUGAUAGGUGCGGGCUUUAUAGGAUGAGAGAGGGCUUCUCCUAUUGUGAAGCCCUCGUUCCAUUGACUUUCAGAUGUGCCCCAAGAGCAUAACAUUAGUGAGAGGCGUUGUGUGAUCUAUGUUGUUUGGUAAGUUUUAGAUAUCAUAUCAUCUUUUGUAUCCUUAUAUUCUUAUUUGAUGUUGCUGAGUUGAAUCGAUAAGGGUGUGAUUUCUAGUUGCAUGUUCAAAGUUUCCAUUAGAAAUAGGGGCAGGUUUGGUUUGCAAUCCCCCUACUUCAUUUUAGGGUUUUCAACUAUCAUAAUGUAUCCUUCCUUUUGUUAUUUAUUUGUUUGUUGUUUUGAAAACAGGACCAGAAAGGACUCCCUGAGGAAUUGUUUGCUGUAAAGAUGUAUGCUUUAACAACUGAAGGGCCAAAGAAGGUUCUCAAGACAAGAUCCAAGGCGCAAGCCAACAGACCUGACAUCAUCAAAUGAUUUGUUGCCUCUACCUUGUUGCAUUGUUGUAGGAGUACUCAAACUUUCUGGUGUAGGAUGUGAUUGUAUCUUCUUCCUAUGUAAUUUGUUAGCGUAUUACCUCAAAUUGUUUUUACUUUACAAGCUCCUUGUGGACUAGUUUUGUUCUUUUUCGUUUGAAGCUGUAUAUUUAUCCCCGGCAUACCUUUGAAGCUGUAUAUGUUCCUAAAUUCAAUUAUUGCUUCCAUAUUUUAAUUUUAUCUUUAAUUUUUUUUUUUUACCUUUCAAACAAAAAUGAAGAGUAAAUUUUACUAUUCCUUUUUACCAAUUCUUUAAUCCUUAGUCUAAUGAUACUUUAGAUGGAUACUUUUGCUCCUAUUCGCAAGACCAGCCCUCACCCUUUUUGUAGUGUUAUUUUCCAAACGGUGCCGUUUGGCACUUUGCUCCUUACAACCCUAACUAUAAAUUCCUCCUUUUCUCUCUCUCUCUCCUUCAUUUUUCCCCUUACUUUCUCUCUCUACCGCCGGCGGCUCUCUCUCAUUUCUCUCUGAACCUUCAGCUCACUUUCUUCUCUCUUUCUCUUUCGCUUGGAAGUAAUGAGAAUCUCCCAAUCCCAAAAGAGGAAAUCAACUUUCUCUCCCGCACACUGCCAGAACCUUCCUUUCGCUCUCACAAAUCAGUCCCCAACCGAACCCAUUUCCUAGAUCUACGUCUUUGUAAACAUUGGAUUUUUGUUUUGAUGCUUUUUGCUUUUCUUUUUUUUUGCCUUUUGCCAUUUUGGUUGUGGUAUCCGGCUGCUAGAUUAAAAAGUUAGAAGUUUUUGGCUUCUAGGUGUUUGCUCUUUUCUGGAGAUUUUUGUUGAAAGAGCCCCUCCUUUUGUGAAGAUUUCUGCUUUUAUAUAUAUAGGGGCCGAAAAUUCUCUCCUUAGUACUCGGUUAGCCAUUGAUUUAUCCUAAUUUUUAUUGAAUAAAAAUGAAAAUGAAAAAUAGAAUAAUAAGGUAAUAAAAAUAGUAAUAAAAGUACAUAAAAAAAUAGUAUCUACAGCUUGAGGGAAUCUAUGUUUAGUUUUUUAAUAUGUAAACACCCUUUUCCAUGGAAAGGUUAAAUUUUUUUUUCUUUGUUUGAGAUGGAUAUCAAACCCUUUCUUCAUGAACACCACUUGCUCUUUGAUGACUACAUUGAAUCAGAGGCACCUUGUAAUAUAUGCAAUCAGAAAAUUGAUGGUUUGGCUUAUUAUUGUGAAAGAUGCAAGAUUUGGUUUCAUAAUCCCUGCGUUCAUCAUCAGCUACCUCUGCAGAUAAGUGCACAUCCUUUCCAUUCUCAACACAAUCUUAGUCUCUUAUGGUCAAAUCACAUAGAUUACAUAUGUGCUAAAUGUUUCAAUCUUUCUCGAGGUCAUAGGUACCAUUGCAAAGAUUGUGAUUUUAGCCUUGAGUUUCAAUGUGCUUUUUCAAUCAAUGAUGAGAAAAAUAGACUCAGUGACGAGACAUCCAAAAAAAUUGGUCGUUUCAACAAGUCGUUGACCCUCUUUAACUAUAGGAGAGUGAGAAAGUAUGAGUAUAUAUGUAGUUGGUGUGAGAAUCAUUUGUCUGGAAUGUCUUAUGGUUGUCUUGACGAUGGAGUUUAUAUCUGGUUCCACGAUUCGUGCCUAAUCAACAUGCCUAGCAUAAUCUUCAAACACCCUUUUCAUCCAUCACACCCUCUUUCAUUAUGCAACAUUCAUUUCGAUAAUAGAUUGUGCAAUGCUUGUAACCUACCAAUAUGGGAGUUCAGAAAAGCCUUUUGCUGUAGAAAAUGUAAAUUCCACCUUCAUGUUCAUUGUGCUGAACUACGACCCAGUCUGAAGGUUGAGUUACAUGAGCAUAAUCUUACUUAUUUUCGAAUAAAAGCUAAUAUCUCUACCCACCUAUGUAGGAUUUGUGGUUUUAAUUUUGAUGCUAUAGGGAACGAAAGUGCUUUUUAUCGUUGUGUUGAGUGUAAUUUCAAUUACCAUUUCAAAUGUCUUACAAUACCACAUUCUACUUCACACAAGUAUCAUAGGCAUGAUCUCAUGCUUAUGGAUUCAUUUAUAGAAGAUGUUUCUGAAGAAUAUUAUUGUGAUAUAUGUGAAGAAAAAAGAAAACCCAAGCAUAGUGUUUAUUGUUGCAAGAAAUGCAAAUUUGUUGCUCACAUCGAAUGUGUACUCAAUAAGGUAAAGAGAAAUUUACUCUCUCUCUAAACAAAUUUAAUAAAUGAUUUUUUUAUUAGAUAAUCUAUUAAUUAUUUGAUCAUAGGUCACAUAUACUGUGCCAUUUAGAAAAAUUUUGAUGUUAAAUAGUUUCACUUCCCCAGGUUAUAGAUAUAAAACUUGAUCAAAGUGUGACCUCUAGUUUGUUGGAUGGCGAAGCUUCAACAUUGAAGGUGGUGUAUGUUGAUAUUAUUGUGAUGCUUUCACUUGCCAAUAAUUUUUUUUUGAAGGUUACAUCACUUUAGGUCUUUUAUAAUUCCUUGGAUUUAUAUAUUAUAAAGAUUUUUUAGUAAUAAACACUAUUUACGUUUUUGAAUAAAAUUUAAUGAAAAAAAAACUAAAAAAUGUAAAUAACAUAGGUAAGAAACCUCUACUUAUAUAGCAGUAUUCAAAAUCAAUUUGAAGAAGGCUUUAGUAAAAAUAUUGAAUGUUGAAUAAAAUAAAAACAUAUACGUGCAUCAUGUUAAUUUAUGAACAUAUAUAUUUGAUUAUUUAAUUAUUACUUCCAUAUUUUAGUUUUAUUUUAAAUUUUCAUUUUUUUUACUUUUCAAACAAAAAUAAAGAGUAAAUUUUACUAUUAAUUUUGACCUAUUUGUAAUUUUUCGUUUUCAUUUGCCAUUUUGAAUUUGUUUCAAAUCCAUCUGUAUAUUAACAUGCCAAUAAAAUGGAAGUGAAAUUUGUCACGUAAAUUCCACAUAUUAUGUGAAUUAUGUGAAAGUAGUCACAUGGACAUAACUGUAGUGUUUAGAUGGCAAAUUCGUUCCAUAUUUAAUAGUGUAUUGAUGGAUAGAUGAAUUUAAAAUAAAUUCCAAAAGAUGUAGAUGAAAAAAAUCGAGUUUGUUUAGUCAUAAAUGAAAAUAAAAUAUUAUGACAAUUUACAAAUUAAGGAUGCACUCUGCUUAACAAAUGGUGGAAGAUUAGUAACUUUCUUCACUCAACCUGGUUGUGCAGCCGCAGAUUGAACAUUUUGAUCAUCAACAUCCCUUGAGCUAUAAUGGGGCAAUUGAACGGAAUGAAAGUCUUCUCUGCAAUGCUUGCUGUCAAGAAAUUUUUGAUCAACACUAUGCUUGUGGAGAUUGUAAAUACUACUUACAUGAAACGUGCACUGCAUUGCCGUUUGAGGUGUCACACCCUUUUCAUUGCCAGCAUCCUCUCAAGCUCUUCACAGAUAUAGUUGAAUUUACAUGUCAUGCAUGUAGGGAACAUUCUAGUGGGUUUGCUUACAUGUGCCUUCCAUGUGAUUUCCAACUUGAUGUAAACUGUGCUACCACUCCAAUCCCACAAAAAAAUGAGGGGCAAAAGCUGAAAGAGAUGGAGAAAGUUUCCAAGUUGUGCCCUUUCAAUCAAAAUCAUAAGCUAGAUUUCUUCAAUCGUAGAUCCAGUCUCAAAGAUUUGGCUUUGGAAUGCGAUGCUUGCAAGCUACCAAUCUUGGGUCCAGGUUAUACAUGUCGUGAUUGUUUCAAUAUCAAAAUUCAUGAAUCUUGUCUUGCAUUUAUGCGGGAGAUGCAGCUCAACUUUCAUCCAUUACACCCCCUUCAUCCACAAAUCGGCGAUUGGGAAAAUUGUUUUGCCUGUAGAUUUAAAAUCAUUGAAAGUAUCGGUUAUAGUUGUCGACAGUGUGAUUUCCACCUUCAUCUUCAUUGUGCUAAUUCCCUGAAGCUGGCCUUAAAAAUUAAGUCUCACAUGCAUAAUCUCUAUUAUUUUGGGCCAGAUUAUGAGAAAUCUUACCAAUUAUGUAACAAAUGCAAAAGUUACAUUGGUAAGGAACCUUUCUAUUAUUGCGUGGAGUGCAAUAUGAAUUUGCACUUAAAAUGUGUUCCCAUACCAUGUUCAGUUAAAUCCAAAUAUCACAUGCAUCGUUUGACUCUUAAAAAUCAUUUUGUGGAAGAUGAUUCUGGAGAAUACUAUUGCGACAUUUGCGAAGAAGAAAGGAACUCAAAAAAUCAUUGCUAUUAUUGUGAAGAGUGUGUUGGACAAUUUGUUGCUCACAUCGAAUGCGUGCUUCUUACAGUAAGUUUAUCACUAUCAUUUUCUUUGUAGAAUUUUUUUAUACCAUGUUAUUGAAUUUUUUAAAGGAAAAUAAGAAUCUAAAUUACACAUCACAUGAUUGUAUCCACCACCUCUUUGAUUAAUUGGACUUUAUUAAUGGUUAAAGUACCUCAUAGGUCCAUAUACUAUAGAUUUUUCGUUAAUUUAAUCUCUUUACUCAAAACUGGUUAAUUUAUUCUCUAUAUUUUGAGAUAUUAUGUAAUUGACUCAUUUUGCUUAACUCCAUUCAAAUUAACCAUUAGUGGUGCUGGUGUCGCAUUGACAUGCAAGAUAAAAGAAAAAAAAAGAAAUUGGCCAUGUGGCAUUUGUUUCUUUCCUCAUUUGUUCAAAACUACAUUGUUUUAGAGUACCAUUUAAAGCACAUUUAGGUUUUAUUUUUCAUUUUCCUUCUUUCCUUCUUUCUAGCUCUCUUAUCUCUCUAGAUUCCGACACCUAAAUGAAAAUUUUGGCUAUCGUUCAUUAAUGGUAUGAAAAUCUAAUAAAAAAUAAAAAAAUUCAUUUUUUUUGGCCUUAUUUCCCAAAAUUAGGAUAGCUUUUUCAAAAUCUAUCUUGAUUUUCCUAGAUCUAAAAUAAUGAAACUGUAAAAAAGAAAUUUGUUUCUUUCCACUAAUGUGUCCUCAACUUGAUGUUAAUGAUCAAGGGUUGUGUUUUUCAUGUUGUAGGAUUUUGAAUUUGCAGAUGGAAAUUUUCAUGAAUUUUCCAACUUGAAAGAUGCUGACUCACCUAUUGAGAGUUCCUCUAUGGAUAAGUUGCUUUCCCAGCCCCAUGCUGAAGUUUACUUGAAUCAAAACAGAAUGGUAGUUAAGUCCUAUAUAAGUUUAUUUUAAAGAUCUCAUCUUAAUGCGAAAAUGAAUUUUAUUUUAUGAAUAGUUGAAUGGAAGAAAAGUUUCACGAUUUUGUGGGUGCCAUUGUUGUUGCAGAAGUACUGGGUGGAUAAGAAGUUAAGCAAAUACUGCUUCAUGUUGUUUGCAAGAGAUCUUUCAAUCUGUUGGGCGGAAAACCACCUUUACUGGCGCUGGUCAUACCAAAGAGAAACAAACAGGUUAGCAUAGAUUUAUUAUUCAUUUAGAAUCCUUCAUAGUUCUAGCUCGAGAGCUUUCCUAAUCCAUAAACUUUUGAUUUUGCAGUGAUGUGUUGAUUGAUGUUGUCGAACUUCUAGAUGUGUGGUGGCUAGAAAUGCAUGUGAAAUUCAAUGUAAAAAAACUCUCACCAAAAACAUUGUAUGGACUUGUGUUCGUGCUUAUGUUGGCAAAAGAAGCAUGUGGAUGGGAACACCCAGUGAACGUCGGAUUCACUCUUCCAAAUGGGUACAAGGUUGAAUGCAAGGAAAUUUUGAUGACCAAGCCAACAGGAGUGUGGAUAGAAAUCCCUGUCGGAGAAUUUACAACUUCAUUUGAAAUUGCUGGAGAAUUAGAUAUUUACUGUCACCAAUAUGAUGAAUUGAUAAGGAAGAGAGGACUUAUUGUUAAAGGAGUUGCUAUUCUACCAAAGAAUUAAGUUAUAAGUUAGUAUUUUGUCAUAGUAAAUAUGAAAGUAUUAUAGUUUUUUUAUUUGUUCAUAAUCCUGCAAAUACCAAAAUGACCUUAACACUGGAACCAGUUUUUCGGUUCUCAUUAUACAAUAUAGGUUCCAUGCUAAAUGCAGCAAACAAGCCCGUUGAUUGGGUUUUUUGUAUUUUUUAUUAGAUUUUUGGACCACUACUGAUCAGCGGUCAGUGAUCGAAAUCUGGGUUUGGCGAUCAAAAUUUGGGAUGGAAGGAUUGGAUAGAAAGUGAGAGAGAGAAGAGUGUUAGAGAGAGAAGGAAGGAAAAUGAAAAAAAAAAAAACUAAAUGUGCUUUAAAUAGUAAGCUUAAAACGACGUAGUUUGAGACAAAAAAGAGAAGAGAGAAAAAUAAAAGCGACAUGAUCAAUUUUUUUUAUUAGUUUAACACGCCACUUCUACGUUAGCACUUUUUGAUAUGUCAGUGCGACGUUAAUACCACUAAUGGUUAAUUUGAAUGGAGUUGAGCAAAGAGAUUCAAUGGUACAAAAUAUGAGAGUACAAGGACUAAAUUAACUAGUUUUGGAUAGUUGGACUAAAUUGACAAAAAAAUCUUUAGUAUAAGGACCUAUGAGGUACUUUGACCAUUAAUAAAUUCUAAUCAACAAAAGAUGUGGUGGAUUUGAUCAUGUGAUGUGUAUGUGUAAUUUAGAUUCUUAUUUUCUUUUAAAGAAAUUCAAUAAUGUGGUAUAAAAAAUUUCUACAAAGAUAGAAAAAUAUUGUUAGCACCUCAACAUUUUUUAAAACCUUUUCAGCACUUUAAAGCUUUGUCCAUUAAUUAAUCAGCUUGUUUUAGGCAUGUUCUCAUAGUAACACAAGUCUUUACGCUGUAUAGAACCUUUUGUUUCUUUUUAACCUCCUGCAAUCUUGAGCAAGGCUGGUUGUGUAUACAGGGGAGCAUAGUGGUAUAUCCCAGCACAGUUGUGUAUAUAGGGAGAUGUAUGCCUAAGCUGUAGGGAUGGUUUUUGUUCACCUACUCUUUUGUAUAUUGAUUUUGCUUAAAGUAUAAAGGUAUAGAAUUUUUAAAAAAAGAUACAAAAUUGUGGCUUAGCAUCUUGAUAGCCACAUUUGGAAUAAAAAGGUAGCAAUUAAAAAAAGUAUUUUAUCUUUAAUGAUGAGUAAGCUUUCUUUGGCCUUUUUCAUUUUAUAUUCUCUCAAUAAUUUCCUUCUUUAAAUAGAGAAAAAAAAUGUUGACAGGGCAUGAAGCACAUGCUAUUUUCUUGUUUUUGGUAUAAAGGCUUGAGGGAAUCUUUGUUUAGGUUUUACAUUUAAACGCCCUCUCUCAUCAAGAGGCUAGUAGUUGAUCAUCUCUCUCUCUCUCUUCAUCUACCUAAAUUUAUUUCUUCGUUUGUUUGAGAAAACAAGGCAGAGAUUGUUCUGCUAUGGGCAUAUUCUAUACUUGUUUUUGACAGAAAUUUAGUACCUCCUCAAGUCCUUAACCAUCUUGGUGCUGCAAAGAGGGGGUUGUAGCUAGAAAUUAACAACAUAAAAGAUGAAAGCAAGGUUGUUGAUGUGAAUGAUUUAGCUUGGUUUGGGUUAUACAAGGCGCAACAAUUCUUUGAACGUCAAAUACACUUUCCUAUAUUUAAGCUUAUUCUUCAUAAUGUGUAGCACUGCAGGGCAUUUUAUUCAACUAUAUUUUGGUUAGAUUGUAGGGGAAAGAAAGGUAGAGAAAAAGACACAAAGGCGAGAAACAUUUUUAGACAAUGAUUCAAAAUUUAAUUUCAUUAAUAAGUUAAAAAAUUACAGCAAACUGUAAAAAAGAUCAAAAAUUUUUUUGUCUGCUCCUUUUAUUCUCUAUUGGCCAGAAGAGAUGUGCAUUCUUGAACUAGUGAUUUGCAAAUAAGUGACUGCUUUUCCUACAUACCUUUGAGUUGAAUGACCAUGUACUUAUCCAUUCUGUAUAUUUCAACAAAUUUAUGUUAAUAUUCAAGUUUCUAAUAUUUGAAUGAGUUUAUAUUUGAUGCAUUAACAGUGUCUAUAAGAUACAUUGUCAGUGUAUUAAAUAUAAAUCUUAUUUAAAUAAAUUAAGAGUACAUAGUUAAGAAUUACAGGGAGUUUAAUUUGAGAUAGUAGCUUUUUGUAUGUAAGAAGAAAAAGAAGAUUUUGCUGCUUUUUAUUAUUUGUUUUUGUUAAUUUUAUUGUGUCAGCUUGGUUUUAUGUCAACAGCCCUAUCAAUUCAUCAUGGUUAGUGAUCAACAGCUUCAAUAACGAUGCUUCCCAAGUUUAAAAGGGAAAAUAGGAGAUUCCAAACUUAAAACCUUCAUGUCCUUGAGGCUUUUCUUGUUUCUCUGUCCUUUUCUAUUUGCUGUUUUAGUUGCAAAAUUGUGGAAGUAGCAUCUUGAUUGCCACAUUUUUCAUAAAAAAGUACCAAUUUAAAGAAACAUUUUAUCUUUAAUGAUAAGUAAGUUUUCUUUGACCUUUUUCUUUUUCUCAAAAGACAAAGAGAAUAGUAUUCCAUAAAAAAGGAUAUGUGUUAAUUAAAUUAUUUGAAGGCAAGAAAUUAAGAUUAGUAUCAGUAUUCGUUUCCAAAUUCUCACAAUUAUUUCGUUCUUUAAAUAAAGAAAAAAAUAAUAUUAUUUUUGAUCACUCACUUGAUUAAUUAAUUUGAAUUGUCAUUGCAUUAGUACAAUGAAUCGUAAUCACAAUAUACGCGCGACUUGUUUUCAUUGUGCAAGUAAUUAUUGUAUAACUAAAGCAAAAAGAAAGUAAUUGCUAUAUAACAUUAUUUUACCUAAAGGGAAAUAUUUAAUUAAAGAAAAAAUAAGUAAUCCCAAACUUAAAACCUUUAUCCUCUUAAAAACCAAUUAAUAGAGUAAUGCUGAUUCUCUAUAAAGUGAUUUGAUUUCAAAAUGCCAAAGGUCCUUGAUGCUUUUCUUCUUGUUUAAACGAAACACUCCCCUUGCUAAACUAAAGUGAGAAUCAAUUAAGUAUGGUACAACUUAUAGAUACAUUUAUGCCACCAGUAAUACUUUGUUUCAGAAUUAUCUUUCCUUUUUAGAAACAAUAAAGAUGAAUUAUAUAUUAAAAAAGAGAAGGAUAAGAGUAUUCCUUUACAACCAGUCAAAAAAAAACCCACGACUACAUCAAAAACAGCCAAUGGGGCUUAAAAAUUUGGGUAGACCAGUACUUACCUUAGGUCCUGCCAAGUAGUAUUAAAAAGAAAAUAUUACAAAAGGUAAGAAAACCAUAACAAAAGGACCUGUACAUAAUCUUUUCCUAGAAGAAGGAUCCAAAAAAGGGUUCAAUCAAUAUCCCUUAAAAAAAAAGCAGUAUAAACGAAGAAACAUCAAUGGUUCCCAUGAAGUUAGCAGCGAGCAUUGUGAUGCACAACAAAAGUAAAUAAAGCAGGGGACAGAACACGUCACACUAGGUUAAUAUUCUUCUCCGGGGCUGGCAUGGAGUCGUUGAUCCGAAGCAAAUCUGUUGAUCUUGAGACACCUUCUUUGGCUAGCUUGUCAACUUCUUCAUUAGCAGAACCAAAAAUGUGUUUCAUCUCCCAUCUUCCAAUCUUACGAAGAGUAUUAAAUGUUUGAAUUAUCAGAGUCUUCGCUCUCCAUAUCUUCUUUUUGUCUUUCUUAAUAUUAAUCACUUUUACAAAGAAUUUAAUUUUAAUUUUACAUUUGAAUUGUUGCGCUAGGGUAUGGCCGUAGAGGGGUCAACUUGAUGUAAGUUAAGCAACUUGGAUUUACAGCAUAGAACUCAACUAAAUUCCAACAAAGAUUAGUUCCUAGCCCGUACAGAAAAUUUGUAUAUGUUACUUGACUGAUUUACAUUGAAGAAGUAAAUUUGCAUAUCACCCACAUUAUAAACUAAUCAAUUACUGAAAAUAAGAAAUUACCACUAGUGCUUGCUAAAUCUCAUAAAUAAAUCAUCUUAAUAAGCAAUAACUAUGUAUGGGAGGGCUAAUUAUUGUAGUUAACAUUCCUUGAAUUUUACCUCAAAAUUUGUGUUAAUAUUCUAGGUUGUGAUCAAGUCAAAUAUUCAAGUUUCUAACAUUUAAAUAGAUUAGGAGUACUUCAUGAAUGAAGGGGUUUAAUUUGAAGUAAUAGCUUCAAGUAUAGAAGAAAAAAAACAAAGAUUAUGCUGCUUAUUUUUUUUUAUAUUUUCUUGUCUUAGGUUGAUUUUAUGUCAACACUCCUAUCCACUAUUCGGUAAUUUUGGACGUGUGUAUUUCUGUAGCAAUGUUUAUGAAAUGGUUUGGACAGCAUUGAUAGCUGUGGAUCAUGAGACAUAUAUACACUUUGGACAGCUAUUUAUUGAGACGUGCUGGAAGGUGAUUUAAUUAUUUCUGUUGAUUGGGUUAUGUUUUCAGAGAUUGGGCGGAUUUGUUAAAGAGUCCAACUGGACCUAUUUAUCCCCAAAGUUGAGUUUAAUUUUGGCAUUUGGCAUGUGGCAUUGCCAAAGCUCCUCAAGGAAGAGCACUAUGCGAUGAGUGAAGGCCAAAUAAAUAAGAAGAAAAAAGAAAGAAAGAUAGUACACAUCUUGUCAUCACUCAUCAAUUAGACAUUCCAUCCCUCACCAACCCAACGUCCUUGGACAACUUCUUCCACAUAUGUUGUCCAAUAAAAAUCACUCCAGUGUCUCGCAUUGCUUGAAAAGAAAAAAAAAGACUCCCACGUCCUACCGUAUUGGCGAUUGCUACUAUCGUUCUCCACCGCCCGCUUGGUGGCGCCUAUACAGCCACCACCACCACCACCACCAUUUGCAAUUCUCCUGAUUCAGAAUUCUUAUUGCAUUACUACUGUUGGAAAAGUGUUUGAUAAACAACUUUCAGCUGGUAAGUUAGCUUCACUAUAACCUUUAUUAUCAAAAAUUUUUUACGCAUUGCCUUUGGAUUACAAAGCAUCCUGGUCAAAUUGUUUCCGUAGUGACGUAGAAGUUGUCAUUCAAGAAAAAUUACAAGGACGAAUUAUAAAGCAUUUUAAUUCUCAUGGUUUUUUUCUUUAAAGAUUGAUUUUGGGUUCAACUUUAAGAAAUUGUCUUCCACUUGUUCAUUGUUAAAAAACAGGGUCGGAAGAGAAGCAGCUUCAACAUCAUCCACUUGUUCAGUCAACCAAUAAUUAACUGCUGUUUUCAUUAAUCAAUUUACAUUCGAGAAACAACAAAAACAAUGGCAAAAGCACUUCUUUCCAUGAUCCUGGAGCAGCAGUUGGGUGGUUCGUUCAUUCCUCAAGGGAUAAAGCAUCAUGUCGGAUUGGCUGUAGGUCUUGAAGAAGAAAUCCAAAAACUCACCAGCAACUUUGAGGCCAUUAAAGCUGCGCUUGAAGAUGCGAAAGGAUAAACCAAACAGGGCUUGCCUAACCCAAGGCGCGGAGGAUAAGGCAUACCGAUGUGGAUGCGGCCCAUAUCCCAAGCUGUUUCCCCACAGACCCUCCAACAGUGUCCCAUAACUCUAAUCCUACAUCCACCACGGAAGAAUUACAAGACUCCCAAGGAGCGGAGGACGGCAAUGGAGGCAGCUGGCUCCGAUUCCGAUGGCAGAGAAUUCAAGAACCCACAGGAAAUGUGGAGGAAGCAAAUUGGAGAUGCAGAUGAAGGAGAUAACCAUAAGAAGACUCAGUGGUACCGUGAAGGCGUUGCCUAUUGGGAAGUAAGUCUUUCUUAACUCUGGUUCUUACAUUUGUAUGUGGGUACCAUUACCGAACUCAUAGUAUAGUUAUUGGUUUCUUUGGUUGUGCUAAGAGAAGGGUGUGGAGGCAUCGGUAGAUGGGGUGUUGGGUGGAUUUGGGCAAGUAAAUGAGGCAGAUGUCAAGGGUAGUGAGGUUUUUCUCAAUACCCUUUUGCAUGAAAGAUUCUCGAUGGCGGUGGAAGAAAUCACCAUCUUGUUGCUCUUGGUACUUCUCUGUCUCUCUCUGUGUGCUCAACUUUAUAUUGUUUUUAUGAAGUUAUAUACCCAUAUAUGUUCUGUUGAGGUAGUUUGGUUUAUGUUAUUAUGAUUAUUUUUUUACACUAAAAAUGAACCUUAGGUUAUUAUGCGCCAUUAAAUGUGGAAGUGCAAAGUUGGUGAUGGGAUCCUACUUCAUUAGAAUGUAACAUUGGUGGAAAACCUAAUUAACUAUAAAUUAAACAAAAAAACAUAGUGGUGACAGCAGAUAGGGAUGGUGUGAUGGAUGAAAUUUUGAGUUAAAUAUCCGCAAUUAGUGCUUGAAACCGGAAACCAAGAUGACUUGAUAACACAACCAUGAAAAGUUUAUGUCCCAUAAUCCCAACCCAUAAAGGAAAAUAAAUAAAUAAAGAAGAGAAAGGCAUGGAAAUUUGGAUGAAUAUGCAAGAAGCAUGUCAUGCAUUAGAGGUCUUGCUUUGAUUUAGAAUGCCAGCGUUAUAGGUGUUGCAACUAUUUAGAAUGCCAUAAUGCAAUUGAGAAUUGGGUUUACUACAUGCUAUUUUGCUUAAUAAAAAACCAUCUUUAAGCAAUAUUUUUUUUUAAAUGGGGAUUUUUUUAAAGCCCUUUUAAAUAACAUGUUUUUGUAAAAGGCCGACAGGAUACUUUUAACUAUUUUUAGCCAUCAGAAAAGAUUUUGGGAUAAAAAUACCCUUAAUGAGCCGUCUUCGUUAGCGUACACUCUCAAACAGGCGAAAAAUGAGAAAAAAAAAUAUGCAAAGAUUUGUUGUGCAAAAUACCCUUUUUUUUUCGAAGGUUGUGCAAAACAAAAUAAAGUUACAUGAGAUGGUUUUUUAGAGAUUUUGGACAUGGCAUUCGGAUAAUAGGAGAAGAGAGAUAUUAAAUCAAACGAGGAACAGGUCUUCAUGAAUGGAAAGCUUGGCUAAUGAUGUGAAACCAGAAAUCCUUGAUACGGUGGUAAAUUGAAAGGAGAAAGAUGUGAAUCCAAGCAGGAAAUGGUCCUGCUAUAGCAGGCCAUAUGUUAGAUGGCUGUCGCAGGGCAGGUCAGGGUUUAAAGUUUGUGAAACGUCAUGUUGGGAAUGUAUGACACGACACCGCUCAGAGUUGGUGAGACGCCAUUGAGGGAAUCUAUGACACGCUAGAGUUAAGAGUUGGUGACANNNNNNNNNNNNNNNNNNNNNNNNNNNNNNNNNNNNNNNNNNNNNNNNNNNNNNNNNNNNNNNNNNNNNNNNNNNNNNNNNNNNNNNNNNNNNNNNNNNNNNNNNNNNNNNNNNNNNNNNNNNNNNNNNNNNNNNNNNNNNNNNNNNNNNNNNNNNNNNNNNNNNNNNNNNNNNNNNNNNNNNNNNNNNNNNNNNNNNNNNNNNNNNNNNNNNNNNNNNNNNNNNNNNNNNNNNNNNNNNNNNNNNNNNNNNNNNNNNNNNNNNNNNNNNNNNNNNNNNNNNNNNNNNNNNNNNNNNNNNNNNNNNNNNNNNNNNNNNNNNNNNNNNNNNNNNNNNNNNNNNNNNNNNNNNNNNNNNNNNNNNNNNNNNNNNNNNNNNNNNNNNNNNNNNNNNNNNNNNNNNNNNNNNNNNNNNNNNNNNNNNNNNNNNNNNNNNNNNNNNNNNNNNNNNNNNNNNNNNNNNNNNNNNNNNNNNNNNNNNNNNNNNNNNNNNNNNNNNNNNNNNNNNNNNNNNNNNNNNNNNNNNNNNNNNNNNNNNNNNNNNNNNNNNNNNNNNNNNNNNNNNNNNNNNNNNNNNNNNNNNNNNNNNNNNNNNNNNNNNNNNNNNNNNNNNNNNNNNNNNNNNNNNNNNNNNNNNNNNNNNNNNNNNNNNNNNNNNNNNNNNNNNNNNNNNNNNNNNNNNNNNNNNNNNNNNNNNNNNNNNNNNNNNNNNNNNNNNNNNNNNNNNNNNNNNNNNNNNNNNNNNNNNNNNNNNNNNNNNNNNNNNNNNNNNNNNNNNNNNNNNNNNNNNNNNNNNNNNNNNNNNNNNNNNNNNNNNNNNNNNNNNNNNNNNNNNNNNNNNNNNNNNNNNNNNNNNNNNNNNNNNNNNNNNNNNNNNNNNNNNNNNNNNNNNNNNNNNNNNNNNNNNNNNNNNNNNNNNNNNNNNNNNNNNNNNNNNNNNNNNNNNNNNNNNNNNNNNNNNNNNNNNNNNNNNNNNNNNNNNNNNNNNNNNNNNNNNNNNNNNNNNNNNNNNNNNNNNNNNNNNNNNNNNNNNNNNNNNNNNNNNNNNNNNNNNNNNNNNNNNNNNNNNNNNNNNNNNNNNNNNNNNNNNNNNNNNNNNNNNNNNNNNNNNNNNNNNNNNNNNNNNNNNNNNNNNNNNNNNNNNNNNNNNNNNNNNNNNNNNNNNNNNNNNNNNNNNNNNNNNNNNNNNNNNNNNNNNNNNNNNNNNNNNNNNNNNNNNNNNNNNNNNNNNNNNNNNNNNNNNNNNNNNNNNNNNNNNNNNNNNNNNNNNNNNNNNNNNNNNNNNNNNNNNNNNNNNNNNNNNNNNNNNNNNNNNNNNNNNNNNNNNNNNNNNNNNNNNNNNNNNNNNNNNNNNNNNNNNNNNNNNNNNNNNNNNNNNNNNNNNNNNNNNNNNNNNNNNNNNNNNNNNNNNNNNNNNNNNNNNNNNNNNNNNNNNNNNNNNNNNNNNNNNNNNNNNNNNNNNNNNNNNNNNNNNNNNNNNNNNNNNNNNNNNNNNNNNNNNNNNNNNNNNNNNNNNNNNNNNNNNNNNNNNNNNNNNNNACAGCAUUUUACUUGAUAUGCAUGUCGUGUCACAGAAUUUUACUUGUUAUGCAUGGCGUUUGACAGCAUUUUACUUGUUAUGCAUGGCGUUUAACAUCAUUUUACUUGAUAUGCAUGUCGUGUCACAGAAUUUUACUUGUUAUGCAUGGCGUUUGACAGCAUUUAACUUAAUAUGCAUGGCGUGUUACAACAUUUUACUUAUUAUGCAUGGUGUGUCACAACAUUUUACUUGUUAUGCAUGGCGUGUCACAACAUUUUGAUUGCAAUGCAUGGUGUGUCACAACAUUUAUUCCUUAUAUAUGUGUUCAGUGUACCUUGUUGCACAUGACUGCUUAACUCUCUGGUGUAUGUGUGCCAUAUUUUGCAGAUCCAACGCAGAGAGUAUGAGGAUCUUGAGAGUUUGCUGAUCGUGCCGAGGGAGAAGUAGGCGUUCAAUGUCGCAAUUAACACUCACUAUAAGUGGUCGCAGCUGCAUUCCAUCACAAAGACUCUCUAACAGAAGGGGGAGUACGAUCCAGUUAAGCGUACCUGCUUCGGAAUGCUCUUGGACGUAUAUCCACAGGGGUACUUUUACGUCGGUCUCUUGCACAACAUCAUGAUUCACCGGAUCACUGAGAGGCAGUCAAUGGACCACGAGCUAUGGUUUGCCAUUGGCAAGAGCAAGGCGCGACUAUCAAAGCGGGAGUUCUGUCUCAUCACCGGGCUGAAGUUUGGUCCAAUGCCCGAUGUGUUCAGACGAUCAUACGAGGUUGCUGCAGAUGGAAUUCAUGCAAGAUACUGGAACGGGGAGGACAGCGUUAAGCUGCAGGCUUUGCUUGAUACCUUCCGCGGGGGUAACUUUCAGCGACCAAGAGAUGCGACCAAGAUGGCACUCGUCUUGAUCGCGAAUAACAUUUUAUUUGGUCAAGACUACCAUAGACGGGUGACGCCUUAAUUGCUGUCAUUGGUGGAGGACAUCGACGUUUGGAAUGUCUUCCCAUGGGGGCACUAUGUUUGGAAACUGACCUUGGACUACCUUUUGAAGGGGUUCGAAGUUCCUGACUUGAGCGUGACAAAGGAAACUCGGUUACGUUACAACAUUUACGGAUUCGCAUGGGUGAUACAGGUACUAAAACGUAACAUUUUUCAAUUUCCUUUCGAAAAAAAAAUUUAUGGGUGUAGUCGUUUAUGAUUGACGGUCUGAUAAUGGUUACAUUUGGCAUGCAGUUAUGGGCAAUGGAGACAAUUUCGGCCCUCCGAAAAAUAGUUGCCCUCUCUGGUCAGAAGGACAACGUCCACCCAUGAAUGUGCAGAUGGGAUUGCAAUCAGAAGCCAAAAGACUUCUACAGGACAAUUCAGAAGUUAGAGUCAUCUGACCAAGUGAGUGAACAACUGUUAAUUUUUACGUUAUAUUUGUAAAAUAAUUUUCCUUAUUCGAUAAUGACAACAUUUUAUUUGUUUAUUUGUAGUUGUGGGCACUGGAGGCGUUGUAACCCACCACGGAUGAGGCCCUCCGGGAGUAUUUUGUGGACCUUGAUGUCCCGUUAUCAGAGGGCAACGAGUACGUGCCAAUAGGGCACAUGGAGGAUCGGUCAGCUUGGGGCUUAGGUGCGAGGCUAAAAAGGAAAAGCUUGAAGGAGAAAAGAGCCUCUGGUGGCACGAAGAGGAUGCACACCGCCGCUGCUUUAGUUGAUGAGUUGAUGGAUGAAGGGGACGACCAUGGUCAAGGCAGUGAACAGCCAGUAAGGACAAUUGUAACAGUUUUGUGUUCUCCAAUUCCAUUUGUGAUUAUCGAAUAACAUUUCUGUGUUUGCGGUUGGACCAUGGGUCGGCAGCUCCAGAACCACCCACCGGUCUUCCUCAAAUGCAAAGUGGAAACGACCUGUCGGUAAGAUCGGUUCUAACGGUUUGUGUUCUACAUUCUCACAUAUGUUUAUCGAGUAACACAGUAAUUUAUGUAAUUGCAGUUUACGGAAGCGACGACAGGUCCUCAAGCACCGAUAGGUCCAGCUCAACCGCAGACUGCUAACUAGCCGGCGGUAAGGAUAUUAAAGUUAUAACAAUUAAUGUUCAACAAAUUCAUACAUGAUUAUUGAAUAACACAAUUAAAUAUGUAAUUGCAGUAUGCGGAAGCGACAAUAGGUCCUGAAGCACCAAUCGGUUCGGCUCCACCGCAGACUGCUAACGAGCCGCCGGUUAGGAUAUUAAAGUUGUAACGGUUAAUGUUCAAUAAUUCCAUAUAUGAUUAUUGAAUAACAUAAUUAUAUAUGUUAUUGUAGUUGACCUAGUCGAGAACAGUCAAUGACGGAGCAGUCACAACUCGCCAGCUCCGAUGGAUCAUGCGCAAGCAUGAAAAAGAUAUGUUGGAGCUGAAGGCUUCAAUUCAGUCAUUGAGUGUAGCAAUGUAGACGAUUGAGGACCAUAUUGUUGGUCGGAUUCUUGACGGCCUUAAAUCACAAGUACGCUAUUCUAUCUUCGCUUGUAUUUUGAUGGUUUACGUUUAGCAACUAUUUAGACUGUGUUUUCUUGAUGGUUUUAACUGCUUUUUGGUCAUUAGCGGGUCAAGACAUUUCUAUUAUAGUUAGUUGUUGUCGUGUCAGCUUUAGCGUGUCACAACAUUAUAUAUGUUAUUUAUGGCGUGUCACAACCUUUGAUUUUGAUAUGCAUGGCGUGUCAGAACAUUUUGCUUGUUUUCCUUGGCGUGUCACCAAGUUUAUCUUGUUAUGCAUGGUGUGUCACAACAUUUUCCUCAUUAUCCUUGGCGUGUCACCAAGUUUAUCUUGUUAUGCAUGGCGUGUCACGACAUUUUACUUGUUUUGCAUGACAUGUGACAACAUUUUACUAUUUAUGGGUUGUGGUAUUUUAUAAGCUAACUAACUGUUUUUCCAAUUUUGUAGGGCGGUCCAUCUCACAGUGCUGGUCUGGAGCACGAUGAUGCUGAUGAUGGACAACAUCAUGAACUUGGUGUUGACAUUGACGAUGACGUUUUUGGUGCUGAUGGAGAGCACGUAACUCAUGUAGAUGACGUCGUCGAAGAAGCUGUGGCAGUGGAUGUCACCCUUCAGUCAGAUGCUGAAGGAGAACAUCUUCCUCCGGCCUAUGCAUUCAUCGACGCAGCAGCAGGAGCUAUCGUUCAUUAUCGUGAGAGCACUCCUGAUACAGUUGAGAUACGGUUGUCGUCACCAGAGUCAUUUGCUGUCCAUCAUGGUGCAACAAAAGUUUCAAACCCAACUGAGCGGGCACGGUUGAAAAUGGUGAACAAAUACAUGGCAAGCCCAUUCGUCGACCCCUUAGUGACCCGUCGAAAUGUGAGGGAUAAUAUAGGAAAAGACUACGAAGCUUUCAAGAAAGAGGAGUCUGCGAGGUAAGCUCAUAAAUAAAAUUGCAAAUAUUGUUUUUCAAUGAAACAGUUAUCCACCAAGACUUAUGAAAUUAAUUAUGUUACAUAUGCAAGUGUAACAUCGGCAUCUUAGGGGAUCAAGGGGCUGACUUUUUCAUAACCUUAGAGGAUCCUAAUAAGGAAAUGACAAGUGAACAUAUCGACGCAUGCCUCAGCCUAUUCUGCAAGCGGAUGACAGGGCCGAAGUCGAAGUUGUACACUACCCGUGCAUGCAUGGUUGACACGAUAUUCUCCGUAAGUUUAUUUGAAAAUUGUUCAAUUCUAUAAAUACUAAGUUUUUGAUUGCAUGAAGUGUAAGCUAAUAUUUACAUGUUUUACAAGACACCAUCCGUAUACUACACACAGAAUUUCCAACAGAAGAUGCCCAAGCCAAAAUGUAAAUUCGAUGAGUUGCGGGGCUAUGUGGAGGGUGAAAGGCCAACGUACGCCAAAAAAUGGAAAGAUGUUGAUUUCAUCAUCGUGCCUUGCAACGUUGGUGGGCAUUGGGUGGUUGCGAAGAUCGACUUGGUGAGGUGGACGAUCAAGGUUGUGGACGAAGCAAUAACUUCGAAUGCUAAGGAUAACGGAGUUCGUGCGGGUCAGAUGACACCCUUGACGACAAUGAUGCCAUUAAUCUGCCACCAAGCCGGUUAUUUCAACAACAUACGUAGGAAGAGACGGGAUUUGACACCGAUGCCAUUGGAUAUUCAUUUACCAAAAACUAAAGUGCAUUGGCAGAAUGAUAGUGUCAGCUGCGGUAUGUUCAUGAUAGGGUACAUCGAGCAUAUUUUGCAAUCAGAAAAGAUCAGAAUUAAGCAGAAUAUGAUUGCAAAAAUGCGUCGGCAAUAUGCUCUGGAAAUUUUUUCCAACAAUUGGGAGAGUGAACCUUGAACAUAUAGGCCCUUGUUUGUAUAAUUUUUUUGGUACACAUAAAUUUUUUUAUACAAUUCAUUUUAUACACAUUUUUUGUACACACUUUUUAUUGAAUACAAUUCAUUGUAAACAGAUAUAAUUCUUUCUGUAUACACAAUAUACUUUGUAUAAUUAUUUGAUACACAAUUAACUUUUUUGCCUAUACACAAUUAAUUUGAUACCAAUAAUUUUUUUUCUUUUCUAUAUACAAUAUAUUUAAUUUGAUACACAGUCGGAAGAAGUCAGCGUGUGACACCUUAAAUAUGAUACCACUCAACGUGUCCCAACAUACAUCUGCUUGCACUAAGCGUGUCACCCAAAAAUUUAGCAAUUAGUCAACGUGUGAUGCCGUAAAUCCACUAACACUCGGCGUGUCAGCCGAUAAAUAUACUUCCACUCAGCGUGUUAGAAGAAUUGGGCCGUCGUGUGUCACCCCAGGUUGGCAUUAAUUAAUUUCUAGGUUCGUCGUCUUUCUUUUCCAGGCACACCGGCUGCACCAACCCAACAUUACAUUGAUUAACAUUGAAUAUAUAGAUUUUUCCAUCCAUCUAAUUGCUUCCAGCAUGAAAUUGUUCUGUAUCCAUCCUCCCUUAUUUUUCCAGUUGUUUCCAGGCCAAAAUUCUAUCCUGCCAUUAUAAAAUCAUACGUCUAAAUUUACACACCAGAACUUGUUAUGCAUGGCGGGUUAGAACAAUUUAAUUGUUAUGCAUGGCGUGUCGGAACAUUUUGCUUGUUAUCCUUGGCGUGUCACAACCUUUUACUUGUUAUGCAUGGCGUGUCAGAACAUUUUGCUUGUUAUCCUUGGUGUGUCACAACCUUUUACUUGUUAUGCAUGGCGUGUCAUUUCAUUUUUCUUGUUAUGAAUGGCGUGUUACAAUAUUUUAUUUGAUAUGCAUGGCGUGUGACAACAUUUAACUUGUUAUGCAUGGCGUGUCUCACAUUUAUUCUUUAUUUAUUUCUUCUGUAUACCUUGUUGCACAUUAUGGCUUAACUCAUUGGUGCAUCUGUCCUAUGUUUUGCAGAUCCAACGAUAUAGUAUGAGGAUCUUGACAUUUUGUCUGCUCGGUAAUUCUAUGAGGCCUUUUUAGUUACGGACUUUGUUGCCAAACAUUUCAGACAGAUAAGCAAAUACAUGGCUCUUGUCUGAUAAAGAUUGUAAUUAGAAACAUUUUUUACAAACAAAUAAGAAUGUACUUUAACACGAUCUUGAUCAGAUAGAGGCCUUGACAUGCUUAUCUGCCUGAAAUGUUUGGCAACAAAGUCCGUAACUAAAAGUGCCUCAUAGAAUGAUCGAGCAGACAAAUCCGUAAAGCAAAACGAAUUCAACUACAAUUUUCAGAUACAUUUAGUUAGGCGGUCAGGCUGUCUUCAUUCACAACACAGCUUACAUUUUCAGACAUUCUCCUUCGUAUUGGACAGUUGUUGCGUGUGUGAUCGAUUUGUCUGCAACUUGAACAUGCUUUGGGUCGGCGCAGUCGUGGAGUCGCCGAUUGACUUGGAGAUGGUGCUGGAUUUAUGGAUGGAACUGCAAAUGGGUAUGGGCAGUUCUGUCUGUCAUGCCCGUACCUCUUGCAUUGCGAACAUCUCCGUGCUUGACUGCCUUCACCAGCUGAUGGAAUCCUUCUCCUCCUAGGUUUUUCUGUUUGGCCUCGCCAAGGUGAAGGUAAGACGACAAUUUGUUUCACAUGAGGGAGGAUGCCCCACUCACUAGAAUGCCCUACCGGCCUAAUGGAUCCUGAAUAACCCUCCACGAAAACGGUUGUCUUGUAGUAGUCAGCGCAAAAUUCAAUGGCUUCACGAUUGCAUUUACUGAAAAACACUAAAAACUCAAUCUUCAAGCACAAUGUAAAGGCUAUGUCAAUUACGGUUCAAAUAAGAAAUAAAUAUAUUCUGACCUUAUUACUGCAAUGGCAUGGCUGCAUGGCAGUAAAUCUGUUUGGAACUCACAACAUGAACACGUCUUCCUGGACAAGUUUACAAGUCCAUCCAUCUUCCCGUCUUUAACUUCAAACUUCACUCGAUUGAUAAGCUUAACUAGAAAGCGAUGUGCAUCAUUGAACCUUUUACUCAACUACCUGGCAACCCAAGGGCUGAGGGGCGUGGUCACCUUGACGGCCUCUUCGUACCGUUCAUGGAACCAACACUGGAACAUGUCUUUGAUGAACUCGAUCAAAACAGUGAUCGGCAUUUGUCUUGCAUGCUUCAAGCAUGAGUUAACACAUUUCGCAAUGUUGAAUGUCAUCAUUUGGUAUCGCCUUGUCGGUGAACAUGCACGUGCCCAUUUCUCAGGCCCUAUUCUUAUAAAGUUCGCGUGGGCUCUCAGGUGAAUCUGCUGUAUUUGGUUCAUAUGUCUGUUGAAAUCAGCCACCUUAUAGCAAUCUUAAGCAAGGGUGAAAAGCAUACAAACAUCGUCACGCUUGAACUUGUUUUUAAAAUUUUUUUUCAAGUGGUAACCGCAUAAACCAUGGUGCGCUUCUGGGUAUGCAUUUUGGAUUGCUUUCUUAAUGCCGAGAUGCUGAUAAGAAAUGAACAUAGUGUUUUCAGGACAACCAACCGCAUCAUGCAGCUUAAGAAACCACAUCCACGAGUCUUCGUCCUCAACAUGGCCGAUGCCAAACGCAACUAGAUAUAUGCACUCAUUCACAUCUUUGCAUACAGCGACAAAUAAAACACCUUUGAACCUGCCUUUCAGAUGUGUCGCAUCAAUUGCAACCGUAAGACGCAUUACAUCCCUAAACCCCCGAAUACAAGCCCUGUAUGACCAGAAACAAUAUUUGAAUCUCUCUUCCUCAUCAGUAGCCAUUGCAGUCACUGUGCCAGGAUUUUCUUGUUCCAACAUAUAAAAAUACGAUGGUAGUAGUUGGAAUGACUCCUCCGGUGGACCGAAAACAAGCCUCUCUGCAUACUCCUUCGCUUGCCAAGCCUUACCAUACAAGCAUUCCAAUCCCCACUGAACCCUCAUCUCACAAAUUAUGUCCUUAAGUCUCAAUGCUACUCCAUUACCCCGAAUCUUGUGUGACAUAAGUUCACCAAUCAUCUUCCCACUCGUAGUUGGAAACCGUCCUUGCAAACCAUCAAUGGUACAGGUAUGUACUUUGUGGAAUGUUCGAACUUUCCAAUAUUCUCCUCUAUCAGGUAACUUCAUUGCACGAACACUGAACUUGCAUGCCUUGUCCUUGCAACCAACCUCAUAACGAGCUUUACAUGACUUUUUUACUCUUAUCGCAAACUUCUCUUUUAUAACCAACAUGUUCAAAGCUCGUUUCAACUUUGCCUUCGACGAAAACAUUCUUCCUUUGUAUAAGCGAUCUUCGGCACAUGUCGACUCCUCAGUGGUAAUUGUUUGGAAGAAGAACCUUUCUGCACCUGUAAUUACCUACAUACGAGAUAUCCUUGCAUUUCCCCUUUCCUGAUCACUAUCAUCGAGCAAUGUAUCAAAGGAACGAAUCUCGUUCUCACCAACGAUGGGGUUAUUGUAUAUGGGGUCAUCACACUGAACAUCUCCUACAUUAACACCUCCAAUAGGUUCCGUUUCGCCUUCAACAUUAUUGCAAACUCGAAUGUCACUGUCAUAAAGGCAGUCAUCGUCUAAACUGUCACCUUGCGAUUGUUCAAGCCCAUCAUCUGAAGUGUGAUCAAAUCUAUCUUCACCGGCAGCGAACAAAUUCUCAUUUCCCUCAUCAAAUGCAGUAUUAUACUCCAACGUCGCAGUGUCACCCUCCAACCUCACAUUGAUAUCCUCAACUAUCGUAUUCUCAUUUGACAAUGGCAUUUCACACUCUACAGUUUCACCCGAUCAUUGCAUUUGUUCAAGAGAAGAAAGAAAUUGGUUUAAUGCACAUCCUGAUGGAAAUUGUGCAGCCAACUGUUCUGUUAAUGUCGUUUGUCUACCGGGCUGCACAAACUCUUGUGCAUACCUCAAUUGCCAUUGUUGUGGGUUACGGACCGAAUGCUGUGGUAUAUGUGAAGCAUUUUAAAUCUCAUUUUAAUUCAGUUGAUUACUAUGUUGUCCAACUUCUCCAUGUGACAUAACAUUUGUUUGGCGUCUCUUAAUGCUGACAUACACAGCCGGAACAUUCCUCUGUUCUAGCAAAAUUAAUGCAACAUCUUCAUCGUCCUUGAUAAUUGGCCGUGAUAGCUCUCCAAGUGUACUGAUCAAUGCAUGUAACUCAAUCUCGUCAAUUUCUAAGUUUACCCCAACAACAUCUUCAACCAGCUUUAUCAAGCCCAUAAACGACAAAUCACUCUUAACCCCCCGCAUUCGUGACUCACCACCCUUGUAAAUGCCAUCCAGCCACUGACCAUCGUGUCUUAUCACAAGUCGCAUAAUUGAAACCCCACUGAAAUUUUGAAAAAAAAAUUAUCAAUCAUUUUACACAAUACAUGCCGUGAUAAAAAAUUUGUCAGUCGUGUUGUUACACGCCAUGCAAAUAACGUAAAAUGUUGUAACACGCCAUGCAUAUCAAGUCAAAUGUCGUGACACGCCAUGCAUCAGUAUCGUUACACGUCAUGCAUCACUGUCGUGACACACCAUGCAUCACUGUCUUGACACGCCAAUCACUGUAAUUACUGACUGGUUACACCAACAUCCGUGACACGCUAAAAACCCAAAAAACCAGUUAACCCAUGACACACCAGGAACAGCCAUGACACGCCAAAAACCCAUAAAUUCAGUUAACCCACCACACCCCAAGAACAGCCGUGACACGCUAAAUAACUCUUCACUCAUGUUAUAGAUGCAUGGCGUGUAACAACUUUGGGCAAUGUUUCUAAUCCAUCUUAUCAUUUACACCAAAUGUUUCAAAAAUUUAAGUGUGUUGCAGAAAUAAACCUAAUAACAGGUACCUUGAUGUCAUCUCUGCUAUAGGGUGUGUUAAUCUACGACAAUGUGGCCAGAUGUCGAGAGAUAAACCACAGCCCGAUGACGAUGGUGCUCAACAGAGAGUUGACAGAGCUCAUACAAUUCAAAGAUUUGAGAGAGCUGACAAUGAUGGUGCUCAACAGAGACUUGCCACAGUUGAGACAAAGAAAGAUGACCGAGCCCAAACAGCUUUGUGCAUUUAUUUUUAAUGUUUUUCAUUUUCUCUCUGGUAGGAGGCAGAUAGCUCAAACAGCUAAGCAUUUAUUUGAAACGAUAUUUUUAAGGGCAUUUUGGUCUAAUUCAUGUUUAUUUUUGGGUAGAAACAGAUAACUUUAUAUGGGUGGUUAUUUCUGAAAUCACCUUAUCACGAUAUCCUUCUCUCACAAUUUCCUCUUUUUAAAUUUGGGAAGAAGCUUGCUAGGAGUUCUCUCUCUGUCCCUUAAGGGUUGUGUGCUUGUGGGGGGUGGGUGUUGGGGCACCCCUAGACCCAAUUUGAGACUGUUGUGAGUACUCAGAAUAAAGGAAAGAAAUUUUUGUGUUUAAGAUUGAAAAAUCACUUUCACAUUACAUCAGCAACGAAGAUGCUAUAUCUUGCUAAUAUUCUGGAACUUGUUAUCCUUUGAAAGGCAAAAAUUAGAUAUGUCUUCAGUAUGUUUUAUUACUAGGAGAUUGAUUCUUCAACAUGAGUAGGAUCUAUAAUUGCCUAUAUAUGAAGUUGGUCUUAAUACUUGUGAGUUGGUGGACUAUACUAGGGCAAUUAACUGAAAUCUUACGAAGGGGAAUUGUAGGGGAAAUUAUUUAGGAAACUAAGCAGUUGGAGUUUGGCUUUAAUGUAAAGAUAUUUUGGUAACUAAGCAAUAAUGGUUUGGCUUUAAUAUGAAGAUAAUUAAGUGAUUUCCACAAGUUUUAUUAUAAGUAAUAUGAUAUAAGAUGCACUUAAGCACUUAGCUUUAUGAUUUGUGCAUGUAUCCCUUGCUAAAAGAGCUGGUUUUAAAUUACCCUCCCCUAAUGAAAUAAAAUAAAACAUGAUAAUUGAUGGUUGUGCCCUCAAACUUUUGCCUUCAUAUGGUUUAUGUUGGUGGAAUUAAAACAAACUCUUUUGAUGAUCUUAGUGUAGAAGAAUCUGGUACAUUUUAGGGCUUAGCAUACUAAAUUAAACUAUGUCAUAAUUCUCAAAACACUGCAUUGCUGACCUUUUUUUCAAGUCCAUACAUUAAGUAGUAGAAAUACCUGCAAAUGGUUCUAAAGCAUACUUAAAAUAUUACUGCAGUACUGAUCUGUUUGGUAUUUCAUUUUUCUUGAUGUUUUUAAUUCUAAUUGAAAAUCAUAAAUCUAGUUGACAUUCUGAGCUCUUAGUUUCUAUGUUAAUUUAACAUACUGCAGAUUGUGGUUCUGGCAUAGGAAGAAUAACCAAGAAUCUUCUCAUAAGAUAUUUUAAUGAGGUAAGGUCAUUUUUCUCUUUCUAUUAGCAUAUUUUUAAUAUUUCUGACAUUUACCAUCUUUGCAGUUUAUUGAUAACAUGGUUCAUAGUGCAUAAUUUUUACUACCUAAAGAAUUUCUCAGUUGUAUUUGAAUGAAAAGCAAAAUUGGGUAGUGCCUUUUAAAAAAUUCAUGCAGGACAUGAGGAGGGUACCCAUUAAUUUCAAGGUACCUAAACCUUAACCCUAUAAAAAAUCAAAUAUCUAAACCCUAUUAAUUACCUGAAUAAUUUUAAAAGUUACUACCCUAACCUUAACCUUAACCCUAAUACAUUCCCGCUAUCCUAUAAUUACCCUAACCUAUUUAAAAGCCCGAUUAGAUAAAAAAUUUAUUAAAAUGUUCUUCAUGGGUACCCAAUUACCUAAACCCGAACCUGUAUUCAUAUACAAUAAUAUUUCUUCUACAUUUUACAUAUAAUUAACUACUAAUUAAAUUAAUAAAAGCACAAAUAAUAAAAUUUAAAUUUAAAUAAUCAAAAACUAUAAAGUGUGUUUAUAAAUUGAACAUAAUAUAUAAUAUAAAUCAAUAUUAUUUUAUUGUUUAAUAGUUAUUAACUUAUAUAAUAGCAAUGAUAUUCUUUAUAAAUGAACAUAAUAAAUAAUAUAAAGUAUAUGUAUUAAAAGACAAUACAAGUUAUAUACUAUAAAGUGUGUAUAUAUAAAUUAUAAUUAAUAAUUUUAUAAAUUUAUAUUUUAUAANAAAUUAUAAUUUUUAUAAUGUUAACAAAAAAUAAAAAGUAAAUACAUUUAUUUUUAAAGUGUAUAUAUAUAUAUAUAUAUAUUAAAAGUAUUUUAGUGUAUAUAUAUAAUAGUGAUUAUAUUCUUUAUAAAUGAACUCAAUAUAUAUAAAGUAUAGAUAUUAAAAGAUAUUACAAGUUAAUUAAUAAUCAUAGUUUCAUUAAUUAAUUUAAUUAAUUAUAUGAGUUUGUCCUUUACUACAAGAAAUUAAAAAAAAUAGUUAAGUUUCAAAACUAUUCUAAUCUCACAACUUCUUUUUAGAUAAUUAAGUUUAUCUAUAUAAAAGUAUCUAUAUUAUAAUUAAUAAUUUUAUAAGUUAUAAUUUUUGUAAUGUUAACACAAAAUAAAAAGUAAAUAUGGUUAUAUUUAAAGUGUGUACACACACUAAAAAUGUUUUAUUAUAUGUAUAAUAGUAAUUAUAUUUUUUAUAAAUGAACCCAAUAUAUAUGUAGACACUAGUUUUUUAGGUGAAAUAAACAUUAAAAAAAUAAAAGAAAAAAGAAAAAAAGAGAGAAAAUCAAAAAAAUAAUAAAACAAAAAUCAUAAACAAAAAUGAAUUAAAAAUAAUAAUAAUAAAAAUAGGAGAGAGAGAGAGAGAGAGGGGUACGACUGGUAGGGUGCGGACGCACCCUGCCAGGCACCACCCUCACUUUGCUAUACACGAAAAAUUCGCGUCUAGCAGAGUAAUGGGAGCGUGCCCCCUUUUGCCCAGUAUAAAGGGGGCACUAUAGCACAGGGAUCGGAGGAAUCGAUAAUAAAAAAAAUACCUUGGUAACAUUCAGCAACCAAAAAACCCUAGGAAUCUCUUAAAACCGAAAACAAACCCAGAAAAAAAUCGCUUGGAGUAAAAAACCUGCAAACCAAAAAUUCCUAAGAAUCCCUAGCAAAAUCUAGCAACCAAAACACCCAGCCACAAUCAAAAACAUCCUAAGCUUUCUAGCAGCCAGAAACCAUCCACAAUCGAAACAAAAAAAUUAAAAAAUCACAAAAAGGGAAAACGGGUAGCCGUGUUCUCUUUUUGGGGAUUUUUAGUUUGUUUUUUUAGGGGAGAUUUGGAGGGGAUUUCAGCAACCGAUGAGGUAUUUGAGUUUGGGGAUUUCGUGCCGCCGUAGUAGAGAGAGAGAGAGAGAGAGAGAGAGAGUGAGUGAGUGAGUGAGUGAGGAUUUGGGGUUUUUGGGAUACCACCGGUUUUAGAGAAAUAGAGUUAGGGCUUGGGUUUGCUACCGGUUCAAGGAAGGAUUGACCGGCGACUAGAAGGGAAGAUCUAGUCGGUCGACGACAGGGAGGGUAGAGCCAGAUUCAGACGGUAAAGAGAGAGCAGAAUCAGGCGAUCGGCGGUGAGGAGUGUGAUGCACCGUUUGAGCAGGAAAGGAACAGGAAAGUGGCUGUCGGUGAAGGGUUUUUGAGAGAGAGAAGCUGACGCCGGUGAAGAGGGGAAGGAAGAAGAGUUUUUUGGAGAGAGAGGACAGUAAUCGGCGGCUAGACAGAGAAACAAAAGGUAGAAAAUGAAAGGUUCUAGGGAGAAGAAAGAAAGGUGAGCGGUAAGGGAGAAGAAAAGAAAAAAGAAAAAAAAAGGGAAGGUUUUUCUCCAUUGCACCAAACAAUGCCGUUUUGGGCAUACCAGGGGUGGCUGUGUAAAGCACCAGACAGUGGGCUUAGUGAAGAUCGUGGGUCAACAGGUUAGCUUGGGCCCACUUAGCCCAAUCAGGUAAAAUAUUACUCAUUGCCAAAUGGGUCUGUGGUGAUUUGGGCUGUCUAAACUGUUAUGAUAUGGCUUGUUUAGAUUUAACCCAAUUUAUUUAGUUAGAGCUUUAAUACUUGAUGAUAUAAAAUUAAUUUUAAGUUAUUAUAAUGUUCUAAAAAUUUCUGGAUAAUAGUCCUAGGGUUAGGAAAUUACUAAAGAACAGAAUAACAUAAAAAUAAGGAUAGCAAAUAUAUAUAUAAAAAAUAAUAAUAAUAACAUUUUAGAAAGCGUUUAGUUAUGCAAAGAACUUAAGUUUAGGAGAAUGUUUAUUGCAAAUAUAUAAAUAACCCUUUUAAAUACAUGUAUAUAAAAAUAAUAUAUAAAAAAAUAUAUAAAAAUUACCAUGACAUCAACUACAAAUAUAAUACUGAUGAUGGGAUGAUUGGUCGGGACGGUAGGAGUCGCAAUCCCAAGCUAAUUUUCUUUAGGUUCGGAAUCCAAAUUAAGGCUUCACCAGUACGAUGGGAGGGCCUCGAUUUUGAGAUUCUGAGAUUUUUAUUCUAAAUAAAUAAAAUUUUACUACAUAAAGAAAAAAUUAGUCAAAAAAUAAUAAAUAAUAAAUAAAUAAAAAUAGAAAAAAUAAAAAUAAAAUAAGCAUAAACUUCACGAACAUAACAUAUAUUUUUAUUGCAUCAUGCAUACCAUUGCAUAUAAGUAUUUUUGUUUACGAGUUAAGCCCCGAUGAUGGGAUUUUUCGAGGAUCUUGUGAAGGUUAGUAUUUCUUGGAAAGUUUCCUAGGUGAAAAGAUGUCUUCGGGUCCCACCAAUAUGAUGGGAGGGCUCGAAAAAACAUCUUUAAUAAAAGGCUUUCGCUCGUAUUAGGUUCAUUAUUCACGAAAAUAUUAUUUUUUAAAGAAAAACGUGCGAUAACCCCGAUGAUAGGAUUUAUUCGUUGAAUUUGUGAAGGCGAAUUUCUUGGAUAAUUCUCUAAGUAAGAGAACACCCCGGAUCCCACCAGUAUGAUGGGCGGAUUCGGGAGAACGUCUUCGAUAAAAGGUUAUUCGUUCGACAUUUUUUAUCUCACGCCGUGCAUUUCAUUUUACCUUACACUUGCAUUUCAUUUUAAAAUCAAACAAAAUAAUUUAAUAAAAUUGGAGAUAUAAUAAGCAAGUUAUAGCUAAGGAAAUUAAAUGAACUUAAAAAAUAAAGCCUAAUAGGAUAAUCUAAAAAUAGUACCGUUCAUGGAACGGGCGUUUCAGGGGUGUUAAUCUUUCUCCGGGCGUAACCGUACUCCCGAACCUAGAUCUCGAAAAAUGUAGAACAAUUUAAGAUUCUUUCGACGGGCUUAAAUCUAAUUAAAACUCUAUCGAUUAGAAUCGAGUUAAUAGAUGGCCAAUCACACUUAGUAAAAAAGAUUGGUAGCGACUCCUAGUUUUUAGAGUUUUCACUCACGUCUAGCGGUUGGGUUCCCGGACCUGCACGUUACGACAAUAUAUAAAGUAAAUAUAUUAAAAGAAAUUACAAGGUAAUUAAUAAUCAUAGCUUUAUGAAUUAAUUUAAUUAAUUAUAUGAGUUUAUCCUUAAUUAUAUGAAAUUAAAAAAAAUAACUAGGUCUCAAAACUAUUCUAAUCUCACAACUUCUCUUAAGCUUUGCAUAUUAUAAGUUUAUAUAAACAAAGGUAUAUAUAUUAUAAUUAAUAAUUUUAUAUGUUAUAAUUUUUUUAAUUUUACUACAAAAUAGAAAGUAAAUNAUAUUUCUCUUACAUAUUCUAUAUAAUUUACUAAUGAUUAAAUUAAUAAAAACACAAAUAAUAAAAUUUAAAUUUAAAUAAUCAAAAACAAAUAUCUCAAAUAUAACUAAUAGAAAGUAAAUAUAUUUAUAUUUAAAGUACAUAUACAUACACACACAUUAAAAGUAUUUUAAUAUAUGUAUAUAUAUAAUAGUAAUUAUAUUCCUUAUAAAUGAAUCUAAUAUAUAUAAAGUAUAUAUAUUAAAAGACAUUACAAGUUAAUUAAUAAUUAUAAUUUUAUGAAUUAAUUUAAUUAACUAUACGGAUUUAUCCUUAAUUACAUAAAAUUAAAAAAAAAACAUAACUUGGUUUCAAACUAUUCUAAUCUCACAACUUCUCUUAAGCUUUGCAUAUUAUAAGUUUAUAUAAACAAAAGUGUAUAUAUUAUAAUUAAUAAUUUUAUAUGUUAUAAUUUUUUUUAAUUUUAAUACAAAAUAGAAAGUAAAUAUAUUUAUAUUUAAAGUGUAUAUAUACUAAAAUUAUUUUAGUAUAUAUAUAGUAGUAAUUAUAUUUUUUAUAAAUGAACUCAAUAUAUAUAAUGUAUAUAUUAAAAAACAUUUCAAGUUAAUUAAUAAUUAUAGUUUAAUAAAUUAAUUUAAUUAACAUAUAUGUUUGUAUUUAAUUAAUGAAAUUAAAAAAAAUAGUUAGAUUCAAAAACUAUUCUAAUCUCAAAGACUCUCUUUAAGUAUAUAUAUUAUGAGUUAUAAUUUUUGUAAUAUUAAUACAAAGUAAAAAGUAACUAUAUUUAUAUUAGAAGUAUAUAUAUAAUAGUAAUUAUAAUCCUUUGUAAUAUGAUAUGAUAUUCAUAUUAUUUAAACAUAAUUUAUAAUCUAAUAAUUUUUUAAUUGAAAUAUUUUAAUGUAAUCACAUUAAUAAUUUGAGUAACCAGACUUUUUAAUAUAUUUGUCAGCUUUUAAUAAAUAUAUUAAUGUUGAUUAUUUUUAAUUUAAUCAUUUAAAUAACAACAAAAUAUAUAUAAACAGGUAUUGGGAUCGAGUUCGAGGUGGGUACCCGUGUAACUUGAAUAGUAACAUAAUCGGGUUCAGGUAGCGGGUACCCAAGAGGUACUACCCCGAACCUGAUAUGGGUAGUGAAAUCACUAUCCGAACCCGUCCUAAACUUGAUUAUAGGGUAUCUUAAUCCGAUAUAACCGGGUUGGAUACCUGUGGGUAUCUUAUAAUAGGGUAUGCAUUGCCAUCCCUACACAUUAAUAUGUAAUUCCAAUACAGUGAACAUGAUGUGGAACAUGGUGGACUUUUUCUUUUUCCUCUCUUUUUCUUUCAUCGAAUGAUAUGAAUCAGUGACAUAGUAUUAGUUGGAGCUACUAUCUUAAUAAAGCUGCAUAGUACUUUGUGAUAGCUAUGCUUUUGGACCCCUCUUCCCUUUACCAUUCUCCAGGUUGAUCUACUUGAGCCAGUUUCGCAUUUCUUAGAUGCUGCCCGUGAAAGUUUGUCUCAGGAAUAUUUUGUAGCCUCUGAUGCGCACAAAGCAAAUAAUUCUACUGUGUCUCCCUUCAGGUCAUGUACUUCAAGACUACAUUCACACAUGGAUACAUGCUUCUUGAUGUCUUGAAGUAUUCAUAACUAUGGUUAAGUCCAUGUAAGCUAUGUAUUUCCAACUUUUCACGUUUCCCUAUAUUGCGGAUGUAGCCAUGUAAUUUGCACCUCAAGCAGGCAUGUUGUUUGAGUACAAUCCUGGGAAAAACUUACAGAAGUUAAGGUAAACAUGUUAAAUAUGGGUUUGCAUCUGGAACUCACAUUUGAAUCUGGGCAACAUAGUCUGUACUCUGUAGGCGGCUGGAUUCAAGUAAAUUUUUGCAAACAAUUAUUUACUCUUUUGUGUGUGUUGGGGUGGGGGGGGUAGGGGACAGCAUAUGGGCUAGUGAAUGAGCCCUUUAAGUUGGUGAUAUAUGUGCUUGUCUUCUUCUGAUGCUUCUGGCUGUUAAAUUUUACUUUAUAAAACAGAAAUUUGACGACCAUUUUUUUUUUGUCUUUUGCUUUUUCAGGAGUUCACCCCUGAUGCUGGAAGGUACAAUGUUAUUUGGAUUCAGUGGUGCAUUGGUCAUCUCACAGAUGACGACUUUGUCUCAUUUUUUAAGAGAGCAAAGGUGAAUAAAUCUUCUUCUUGAGACAGAACUUACUUUUUAUUUGACAUGUUGUGCUGUGUGGAAGUGCAUGGAAAGAUCAAAAUUAUGUAUUGAAAUUUUCUUGCCUGCUGUCUACUAUACAUUCGAAGUGCCUUGUUCUGAUUUUUGAAUUAUGAACUGUCAGAUCAUUGCAAUGGUAUCUCAAAUUUUCCUUUUCCAAAUUUAUUGCUUCAUGCUUUCUCUCUUGUAACGUCUUUUAAACCUUCUCACAGCUAUAGGAAUUAAGGUUGUCUAGAGAACACAACAUAGCAAACACCGGAAGGAUGAUAUCGUCAAACUCUUUUUUCUUUUUGCCCUUUCUUUUUGCAAUGUGUCGUGUUGUUCAUUCUAUUCUUCUUCCUGCUAGGUAACUAGCGCAUUUGAUGGGUUAGUUUGGAGUGUUUGGGCCCAUCCCUAGCACCACAGAAACAAGGCUGGAUAAUACUUUAUAAUUCAUACAGCUAUUUUGCUAUCAUCCGUUUUCUCACCUUACAAAAGCUUGUGACCAAAUUUUGUUGUGCCUUGUGCAUUGAAAUAAGAUUUAAGAAAUGAUGGUAGGUUGACUUUUGUCCCUUAAGUUUGUAAAUGGUGGGAAAUAAAAUUAAAUCUAGAAAGUGCCAUAUUCAUUUCAUUUUUUCCAGGUGCUGUUAAGCAUAACCUUUUACACUGCCUUCAAUGUAUUUUCAUCAAAAUUAAGCAAAACAUAUUAAUAAUAAAAAUCUCCAACAAGGAAAUUCUUGGGCAUGUGUAUGUGUAUGUAAUUUGGAGACCUGAUCUCUAAGUUGUGUCCUGGAAAGAACCUUGUUGAAAAUUAUUAUUCUUGCAUAUAUGAUUUAAAAGAUUCUAAUUUGCAUUUUAAUUUGAUAUACUAAUGAAUUUGUUGAUUCCAGGUAGGCCUUAAACCUGGUGGAUUCUUUGUCCUGAAAGAGAACAUUGCUAGAAACGGUAUUGUCUUUAUGACUCUUUGAUUUUUCUAAGCAUGUUUGUUUGCCCUCCCUCCCUCUCUCCCUCCCCUUUUUAAGAAGUGCUCAAGUUUUGUUUAAAGUAUUCCUCAAACUUUCUUAUGUUUUGGUAUUCUGUUGUAAAUUUUCGUGAAGCUGUUUUUUUUUUUUGGAAAUGCCGCAUGUCAUCUCACGUAUGAGAAGACAUAAAGUUGCUUUUUUGAGCUGAUAUUACUUUUUAACUUCGUCUUAUUAUGUAAUUAUCUGCCCUCUACAACUUUGAAGUAAAAUAAUAGUUUAUAAUAAUAGAUGUUCAAUUAAAAGAUAAAUGGAUAAAGGAAUUUUUAAGCUCCAUUUACACAAUCCAUUGCUUGAUACUAAGGGAAGCAGCAAGUUUUUGUUUUAUGCAUUCCUCAAACUUUCUUAUUUUUUGGUAUCUUGCGGUAAAAUUUUCAUAAAGUUGCUUUCUAGAGCUGAUAUAACUGAUUAACUUUGUUUUAUUAUGUAUUCAUCUGCCCGCUACUGCUUGAAGUAUACUAGUUAAUGUUUUAAAUGUUUAAUUAAGGAUAAAUGGGUAAAGGAAUAUUUAAGCUCCAUUGUCUUAUUUCGUUGCUUGAUACCAAGGGAAACAGCCAAAAAGUGUUGCAACUUAUAAUUCGCAGGUUCAGGAUGAGUUUCAUCUACUCAAAUGGGUAUGGGGUAUAAUUUUAUUAUGCCACCUAUUUGGGACACCUUUUGGUAACACUGUCUAUACAACUUUCUUCACUGAAAAUUCAUGAUGUAGUGGGGAAGUAGAAACAAUAACAAGAAACCAAAACAGUGAACAAAACCAGAACAAAGGUUAAAAUUGAGGUAAAACCGAAGUCGUAACAAGUUACAAGCCAGUAAGGCCAAUUGUCGAGCAUCUUAAGGUUAAAUAAACAAGUCACUCCCAUCUCAUCUGUAAUAGAUUGAUUCAAACCAGCUAGAUAACGAGAAGUCAACUGCUCAUUAGUCUCUUUCAAACCAACCCUAGGGAAAGGUCGUUGAAACCUGAAUGAAAUUUCUCAUUCAACUCCAUUUAAUCAGCAGCGGAAAUUGCCUCCUCAUCUUCAUUUUCAUGUGUUCCCAAGUGUUGAUUUUGGCUUGCCUGGAUGUGUUUGCUGCUCGUCAACUCUCUUCCACCAUUGAAGUGCACGCAGUCCCUUCAACUUAAGCUUCACAAACAGCACCUUUCUUUGUUCUGCCAUUGGUUUCUACUAAAAAUAAUUUUCGAAACUAUCUUUCUGAUCUGAAUAAUCUUUUGCAUGCAUCUUUUUCCGGAAGUCAUCUACCUUAAUUCUAACUCCACCACCAUUGAAGUCUAGGCAUGUAACAAUCAGCCUUCCAAUCUACCACAAACAGCACUAUUUGCUGGUCGAGCAUUAUGAAAGGGGUUUUUAUCCUCUCCAUAUUCAAUUUCAUCCUCAAGAACACCUACCGGUAAACCGAAAGGGUCAGUAUUGCCUUGUGGAUUCUCCAUACAGGCUCCCAUUGGUUCCUGUCACUUUAAAGCUUGCACAGCCUGCAACAAAUCUUCAAUCAUACCCAUCAACUCAGCCAGUUCUAUUUGCCGGUCUUGAUUUCUUUUCCACGUCCGCUAACAAGUCCUCUACCACGAUUAGCCAUGGUUUAUAAGCUAAAAUCCUAGUUCAACUUUAAGAUCUCUUCAUCUGAUACCACUUUGAUGUAGUAUGGAAGUAGAAACAACAAAAACAAAAGAAAAACAAUGACGAAAACCAGAACAAAGGCUAAAAUUGAUCUUAAGAUCAUAGUAGGAACAAGUUAAAGCUGUCUAAAGUUACAGCAGCUUUUAAUUGUAGCCCUUCGAUACAAACAACCCCAUCUAAUCCUAGCCAUUCAAACUAAUUAAAAAUGAUCACAUGCUAAUCACGACACAUGACUAGAUAGAAAACAUAAUUACCAACUUUUAACUAAAGUAAAACAUAAUAAAAUAACCAAUUGGAGAAAAAUUUAAGAAUGCUCUUGCAUAGCCUUGCCCAACAAUUAAACUUGCCUAAGGCUUGACUUAACCUAGGACUUAAGUCUCAUAAUUUGCUUGCAUUCAACUCACAAAAUACUUGGAUUCGAUCAGAUUAUUGUUGAGUUAUUCUUGAGCUCAAGUGACCAAUCGAGUCUAGUUCAAGUGUUUAUAUUACUCAGUCAAGAUAGUUCAAGAGCGUAAUCAACUUUUAAUUUUUUUAAUAUAUUUUAAAAUUCCAUGUAUGUAAUACUCAUAUAAAACUAAAUAAUACAAAGAUCAAUCAAGUCCAGCUUGGAGGUCUCAGACAUAUGUACUUUCCGAAAAAAUGUUCAAGUUGAGCUUCAGGUCUUAGUUUUGUAAUUGAGUCGUGUCAUCUUCAAGCUUAUCAUUUUGUCAACUUGAUUUGGCUCAGUUAUGCACCUAGACUUUAACCAACUCAAACUGACUAAAAAGGUUACUGAAUUGAAAGUUGAGACAGGGACAACUCAAACACAAAGUAAUCUGGAAUUCUAAAUAUCGAAUUCUUAAUCAGACUCAACUUCCAUUUUUGUAAUCUGCUGUGGUAUCUUAAAUGUGCUCAAAGUUCUUAAAGUUCUUAAAGUUUUUGUAAUCAGACAGGGACAAUUUUGUAAUCUGCUGUGGUAUCUUAAAUGGUGCUCAAAGUUCUUAAUCAGACUCAACUUCCAUUUUUUUGAUUCUGAAAAACAAAACCACCUUCACUGGCUAAAAUAAAGUGGGAAUCAAUUCAGUAUGGUACAAUUUAUAGAUAUGGUACAUUUAUAGAAAUGCUGAAUCAUUUGUCACUGGCUAACAUAUUAAUUUCAAUUCAGACAUCGAAUUUUGUGAUUAGAAAUGAAGCAGCUGAAUAUGGGUAUUAAGUGGAAGAAUUGGUUUAGCUUUUCAAAAGGAUAGGAUAGAAGCAGAAUUAUGCUUUGAGCAAAGAGAGAAGAAGGAGCCACUACGAAGCUCGACUUGAACAUCGCAAGCAAGUAAAAGUUCUUUAAGGCUUUUAAUGCUCUUUAUUUUUUUUUAAAUGAAAUUGUUAACAUUGAAUAGUAGAUGAUUGGGUAGUAGAAAUGAGAGGUUGGUGUUGUUAAUGCUUUAGGGGACUUAAAUUAGAAAGUAGUAGACUACAGAACUUUUAGAGAAAUCUAGGGGGAAACAGCUAUAUAUGUAAAUUCAUUAGAUUGGAUUUGGUAUCAGAAGAUUUAAGGGAUUUAUUCAUUUAUUUAUUUAUUUGGGGGUAAGAUGGGCAAUUUAGAGGCAUGAGGGGUUGGGGGGGGAGGGAUAAAAGUCCAAAAAUUAUAAGGAGAAAGAUAAGGAAGGAGGUUAGUGGUGGGAUGCAGGCUCUGUUUUGGAGAAGUGGCCUCAUGACAGGAAAAUUCAGACAAGUUAGGUGAAAAAAGUUAGAUAAGGUGAAGAGUUGGACUUUGUUUAAUGUGCUGGGCAAAGAUGGUGUGUAGGGGGUAGAAGGCUAGGACUUUGACACUAUUGUUGUCAGAAGGGGCUUUAUGUGUUGUUGAGGGGGUGAUCAUGGUAGUGAACUUGUAACUUUAGGAAGAAUCCAGAAGUGGUAACAUCCUACCCUAUCGAUCAAGGAUUCAUGAACUGGAUUCAAUUACAGAUGUUAAGCGUGAAAUUAGUUUGGAAAUGGGUUCGGUUGCAACUCAAUUAGGACUUUGUACUGCAGCAAUAACCAUUGGCAUUACCUGUAAUAAUAACUAAAAGAUUUACUUGAGCUUUCAGUUCUUCAAUCUCGUCUUGAAAAGUGCUCAAUGCAUCCCUUGUCUCAUCACUCAGGAUAUUAUUCAUCUCGGACAGUUCUCAUUAGACUGUCUCAAUUUCAUCAAUUCCUUCACGGGGAACCAUUUGAGCUUUUACUGUGGCCACUACGGCCUCUGGCUCAUAUCCUCUGAUGGUCCUCUAGUGCACUCCACGUGGUCAUCAUUUGUACACUUUAAAUCAGCACCUCUCGCUCGUGUUCUGAUACUAACUGUUACGAACUACACUAUUUCGCCUAAAUAUACAAUAGUCUAUGCGGCACUUGAGUGGACGCUUCCACGCAAGUCAACCAAUACUCGGUUAUAUCUAAUCCAACAUUAAUAAUAACAACAAAUCAGACUAAGAGAACUCGUAUCAAAAUCAAAAGGCAUACCGAAUGCUAUAUGUGUAACCACUGAGUUAUAAAAAGGAAAAGUGCUUUAUUAAUAUAAAAUUAAUUACAAAGAGAUCGAGAUAGGUCAUCGUCAGGCCAUAGGGACAGCCUUAUAUGAUUCACUACAAAUAUACCCUUACCAAUGAAGCAGGCUAACAAUCCGCUGAUUGUUCAUUUUCUAUAAAGAGUUUACGAGAUUUUAUAAGUAUUCUAUUAAUAAUCAUUACAAUGCUUGAAGUAAGGAUAUUUCUUUUCUAAAAGAUCUCCUUUCUAAAAAUUUGACAAGUAUUUGUGAAAGUAUCACCACGAGCCAUUACAUUGUUUGAAAGAGGAACAUUUCCCUUAGAGGUAUAAAAGACUCAAGCUCCAAGAUAAUUCUACGCUAUCAUAAUCCGAUACAAGGUUGGCUCAUGACACAAUGGCCAGCUCGUUCAUCCUUGUUAUAGCCGUUAGUGCACAGAAAAAGUUUUCUGUGAUUUGCAAUCCUGUUUUGUUGGUUUUAUUUUUCCUAGGCUAGAACUGUGGGAGUGAUUUUGUGAUGAGUAUAAAUAUCAUUUGUAACAGUUGUUGCAAUUGAUUUUUUCCCUGAUCAAUGAAAAGUAUAUUUCCUUUCUCUCCCGCAUGACUCUGUUUUCUUCUUCUUCAUUUUAGCCUUCUUUGCAGAAAUACUUUUAAGUUUCUUAAAAUCCUUUCAGGAACAAAGCAAAUGAAAGGUGCAAAUUACUGUGUUUUGUGGAUUUGGUGUUUAUCAAUCACCAAAUGAAGAUUAUUUUUAGCUCACUUCCAUGGUCUCUUGCUGGCCUGGAGAUACGGUAUACUCAGGUUUAAAGCAAAGGAAAUUGUGUGUUGGUUAUGUUGAUGUUUGGUGCCUGAUCUUUGCAAUGAGGAAGCUGAAAUUACAUUGAAUCUGGUUGCUUGGGAUAUUUGUUUUACUACAGGUCUUAUGCGAUGGUCAUUGGGAUUAAUAUGUUUCAAGCUACUGGUUUUUCUUAUCCACUUUUUGAUGGCUAUAAAUUAAGUCUUCUCAAAAGCUGACUUGAUAAGAGUACUUCCAUCCAGUCAUGCACGACCAACUUAUUGCAGUGGUCCUAUGAUUUAAUCAACUGGAUUGCCAUUAAGGUUACUAUUUUCAAGCCAUAAGUUUUUUCUGCAACGUGCUUUGCAGUUCUCAUGUGUCUAUUUAUUAUUUGCUCCAUUGACAACUCUUCAUUAUCCUUUUUUGAUCAAAAAAUUUAAAUUUUAUUUUUUAAAUUAAAAAUGUAUAUAUAUAUAUAUAUAUAAAUUAUUUAUAUAUUUCCUUCUACUUUCUCAUUGCCACAAUUGGACUAUAAGCAGCAAGAAAUUUUCAUUUUGGCCCAAUAGGAGCAAGAACUGAAAAAUACAUGUUCUUGAUUUUCUGCAAAAUACGAUUUGAAUCAUGCAAGCAUAAGUGUUGAAAGUGUAGAAAGUUCUAACCCUAACAAUACGGAAGUGUAGAAAGUUUACGGUUGAUUUAAGUCUCAUAUAAUAAACAAAUUGCAAGUCUACGUCGCAAUCUGAUCCAUUAUUUUUUAUAGGGCUUUUUGUGGUUAGAAAUCUACAAAUAUAAAGAAAAAAAAUUGUAAAAUUGCCAAUAAAACUAAUUGAUGUAUCGAUUUAGAUAAGAUAAUUUUGAGUAUAGAAAUGCUUUUCGGUAAAAGUUGUAGUCUAUAAACUUAAACAAAUAUUAAAUCAGAGUGCAGGAACAAUUAGAAUACUAAUUCCACAUAAUAGCACCUAUAAAUGUGAAAUUGUAGAUCCAAGAAUUUUUCAACUAAUUUCUUUGUAUUCAGUCAAGGGUUUUUUUUCGUCUAAUUCUUGUUGCUGGUGAAAUUGUAGACACAUCCCUCUCAUUUACCCUCAUGCAUCCAGUCAUGUCAAUUGCUGGUAAAAAAUAAUUGUAGCGAGUUGUGCACGGUGAAGUUAUUGCAGUUGGCCAUGUGACCCUUCAAAUCGACAAGCUACUAGUUUUUCUUGUAACGUGCUUUCCAAUUCCCUUCUAGUCAUCAUUACUCAAUUGACUAUCUUUUGGAUUCACACGUCCAAUUUGAAUAUGCAGGACAUUCCUUGACUUUUGAUUGCUUUUCCAUAUUAAUUGACAAAUGAUACUUGAAUAACAUAUUCCAAUGACCCAAGAUAUGGGACUUCCUAGUUGUCAAUUGCGAUGUCCAAAAUUGAAGACCCUGAAACUAGUGCACUGUCCUGGCGGAUUCAGAUCACUACUAACUUCCCAAUUCCAUGAUUAAGAUCACAACUAUGCAAAAUUGAAUCUGGCUGGUCCCAUUGGGCUUCCUCUUUUAAAACCUAAGUUUGAUUCCAGUCCUACUUAUAAAUAAUGUUAAGAGAUUUAAUUUUAAUGAAUAAUAUUUAAAUUAAAUCAUAAUUUUAAUAUAAUAUAAUUUACAUCUAAAUUUAGAUAUAUAUAAUAAAACUUAAGAGUUCAAAUCAAAUUACACUCUUUUAUCUGACCUACUCAACUGUUUAUAAAUUAAUAUAAAUAAUAUUUUUUACCGAUCCCACUUUAUAUAUAAAUUAAUAAUCUACUUAUAGAUCAAAAUUUUAUACACACAUAUAUAUAUGACUCAAUUAGGAAGUUUUAAUAAAAUAUGACUCUAAUGUUACUUGUUUCGUCUUGAAAUUGAUAUCUUAUUGACUUUAUCUCUAAUUUUUCUUAGUGCAUUACAAAGGUCUGGUGUAGUGUUCUCGUAUGGUAAGAGAAAAUUAUGCAAUGUGAUGGUUGCUUGAGUGCAUCUUUGCACGAGACAAGCUCUAGUAUAGAACUAUCAUCUUCAACUUCAUUUUCUUUAUUAUUUCUCAUGUCGUUCUCAAUAAUUUGCUUGUCACUCAACAACUUUGAAGGUGGCUCAUUUUCUCCUUGGUAGUUUAAAAGGUACUCAAUAUCUAUUUUAUCACAAUACUUCAACUAUUUGAUUAGAACAUGUAAUUGUUAAAUUUGUCUAUCAUGUGAGCGUUGAUCCAAAUUUUUUGAAGUCACGUUAUCCAUACACCUAAUUUUACAAUGUUGAAAACAAUUUGCAAUUGUACCAUUUGUUGACCAAGCUGAGAUUGCAAGAUUCAUUAUAUCCAAAACAUUUAUCUUUUUUGGAUUUGAGAUUUCAAUUUCAUAACCCUCUAAAAGAUUUCGAUAAAAUUGAAGAUGAUAAUGCAUCUCGAUAGAAUAAUAAUAAUUUGUAAUUCGAUAAUAUUCGUAUAAUCACAAUACAGAGUACAUGUAUUAAGUUUAAUGUUUUGAGGAAAAAAAAAAGAUAUCUAGAUAAAUUAAUUUUUUAUUAAUUAAUGUAUAAAUUAAUAAAUUAUUAAUUUAUUAAUUCAAUAAUAUCUUAAUUAAUUAAUAAAUUUUCAUGAUUCCAAAGGUAUUAAUUUAUAGAGAUUUUAUUAUUGUAUUUUAAGCAAGUGUUAGAUUCCUUUGUUUAACAUAUAGAUUAAUAAAAGAAGGAAAGCAAAGAUUGGAUAUCAAGCUUAUAUUGACAAUAUUCCUUUUUACUUUCUCAUUGCCAUAAUUGAACUAUAAGCAGCAAGAAUUUUUCAUUUUGGCCCAUAAGGAGCAAGAACUGAAAAAUACAUGUUCUUGUUUAUUGCAAAAUACGAUUUGAAUCAUGCAAGCUAGUAAUGAACAACCACUAGUUUCGGGCCUAAAGAAACCCAGAAUAGGCUAAUCAAAUAUUAUGCAAGAUAAAUAAUCAAUUGUAGUUCCGUCAGUGGAGCUAUUAAUUAUGCCAGCGAUCGCCACAUCACACUGAAUUUUUACUUGUUGAUGUUCCAUAACAGUGUAGGCAAUCUUCCAUAAGAAUCUGCUAGGACCUCUCAAUCUCUCUGAUCUGGUUUCUCCUAAAACAGAAUGUGUUGCUUGGCACCACUGUACAUGUUGAAGCUGCCUUUAUAAAUUAUGAUAGCAGAGGGGAAAAUUACGACAACCGACCCAUAGGCAGGUCUAAUACUGUGUUCAUAGAAAGCAAAAGCACGAAGUAGGUUGACUGUUUUGGUUCCUAUUUGACGUCACAUAUUCAAAUCCAAUCCCUUUCACACAGUUUUUUCUCUGAUCCUUAGCUCACGUUACCCCCUUUUCUCAAGGUUUUUAAGUUCUAACCCUAACAAUACACUAGAAGUGUAGAAAGUUUGUGGUUGACAUGAGUCUCAUAUAAUAAACAAAUUCUACCGUUCAACCCAAAUUGCAAGUUUACAUCGCAAUCUGGUCUUUUGGUCUUUUGUUUUCAAUAGGACAUUUUGUCGUUAGAAAUGAUCUACCGUCCAACCCAAAGUAUAGGUUUACAUUGCAGUCUUGUCCAUUGUUUUCAAUAGGGUAUUUUGUGAUUAGAAAUCAACCGAUAUAAAGAAAAGACAUGUAAAAUACUGUUAUCUAUAUACAGCAAGAAGGAUUACUAUGAGAUAUUUAUAAAAGAGAGAUAGCCGUUGAUUCACUCUACGCUAAUUUUUAUUUAAUAAAUUAAUAAAAUAAUAAAAAUGAAUAUAAAAUAAGAUAAUAAUAAAAGCACAUAAAAAAUAGUAUCUACAGCCUCUUCCUUCAAUCAUCUCUCUCCAUCUGCCAAAAUUUCUUUCUCUGUUUGAGAUGGAUAUCAAGUCCAUCCUUCAUGAACACCACUUGCUCUGUGAUGAAUAUGAUGAAUCACGGGGACUUUGUGAUAUGUGCAAUCAGGAAAUUUGUGGUAUGGCUUAUUGUUGUGAAAGAUGCGAGUUUUCAUUGCAUGAUUCUUGCGUUCAUCAACAGCUACCUCCUCAGAUAAGUGCACAUCCUUGCCAUCCCCAACACAAUCUUUCUCUCGUAGGGUCAAAUCACAUGGAUUACAUAUGUGAUAAAUGUUUCAAUCUUUCUCGAGGCUAUAGAUAUCAUUGCAAAGAGUGUCAUUUUAGCCUUGGGUAUCAAUGUGCUUUUUCAACUAAUGAUGAGAAAAAUAGACUCAAUGGCGAGACAUUUAAAAAAAUUGGUGGUUUUACCCUCUUUAAUUAUAGGAGAGUGAGAAAGUAUGAGUAUAUAUGUAGUUGGUGUGAGAACCAUUUGUCUGGAAUGUCUUAUGCUUGUUUUGACAAUGGUGCUUAUACCUGCUUCCACGAUUCCUGCUUAAUCAAAUUGCCUCCCAUAAUAUUCAAACACUCAUUUCAUCCAUCACACCCUCUUCAAUUAUGCAACAGUCACUUUGAUAAUGGGUUGUGCAAUGCUUGCAACCUACCAAUAUGGGAGUUCAGAAAAGCCUACUGUUGUAGAAAAUGUAAAUUUCACCUUCAUGUUCGUUGUGCUAAACUACGACCCAGUCUCAAGGUUGAAUUACAUGAGCAUGAUCUUACCUUUUUUCGAAUAAAAGCUAAUAGCGCAACCCACCUAUGCAGGGUAUGUGGUUUUAAUUUUGAUGCUAUAGGGGACGAAAGUGCUUUUUAUCGUUGUGUCCAUUGUAAUUUCAAUUACCAUUUCAAAUGUCUUACAAUACCACAUUCUACUUCGCACAAGUAUCAUAGGCAUGAUCUGAUGCUUAUGGAUUCAUUUAUAGAAGAUGUUUCUGAAGAAUAUUAUUGUGAUAUAUGUGAAGAAGAAAGAAAACCCAAGCACAGUGUUUAUUGUUGCAAGAAAUGCAAAUUUAUUGCUCACAUCGAAUGUGCACUCAAUAAGGUAAGGAGACAUUUACUCUCUCUCUGAAGAAAUUUAAUAAAUGUUUUUUUCAUUAGAUAAACUAUUAAUUAUUUGAUCAUAGGUCACAUAUAAUGUGCCCCUUAGAAAAUUUUGAUGCUAAUAUUUUUACUUCCCUAGGUUGUGGAUACGAAACUUGAUCAAAGUUCGACCUCUAGUCUGUUGGAUAGUGAAGCUUCAACAUUGAAGGUGAUGGAAUUGGAUCUUUUAUAUUGAUAUUAUUAUGAUGUUUUCACUUGCCAAUAAUUUGUUUUUUUGAAGUUUACAUCGCUUAAGGUCUUCUAUUCCUUGGAUUUAUAUAUUAUAAAGAUUGUUUAGUAAUAAACACCAUUUACAUUUUUGAAUAAAAUUCAAUGAAAAAAAACUAAAAAAUGUAAAUAAUAUAAGUAAAAAACCUCUACUUAUGUAGCAGUAUUCAAAAUUGAUUUGGAGACGGCUUUAGUCAAAAUAUUGAAUGUUGAAUAAAUUAAAAACACUUACGUGCAUCAUGUUAAUUUAUGAACAUAUAUAUUUGAUUAUUUAAUUAUUGCUUCUAUAUUUUAGUUUUAUCUUAAAUUUUCAUUUCUUGUACUUUUUAAACAAAAAUAAAGAGUAAAUUUUACUAUUAAUCUUGACCUAUUUGUAAUUUUUUGUUUUCAUUCAUCCAUUUUGAAUUUAUUUCAAAUCCAUUUGUAUAUUAACAUGCCAAUAAAAUAUAGAUGGAAUUUGUCACGUAAAUUUCACAUAUUAUGUGAAUUAUGUGAAUGUAGUCACAUGGACGUAACUGUAGUACUUAGAUGGCAAUUCCGUUCCAUAUUUAAUAGUGUAUUGAUGGAUAGAUGAAAUUAAAAUAAUUUCAAAAAGACAUAAAUGGAAAAAUUCGAGUUUGUUUAGUCAUGGAUGAAAAUAAAAUUAUGACAAUGUUAUAAACUAAGGAUGCACUUUACCUAAAAAAUGGAGGAAGAUUAAUAACUUUCUUCACUCAACUUGGUCGUGCAGGUGCAGAUUGAACAUUUUGAUCAUCAACAUCCCUUAAGCUAUAAUGGGGCAAUUGAACAGAAUGAAAGUCUUCUUUGCAUUGCUUGCCGCCAAGAAAUUUUUGAUCAACACUAUGCUUGUGAAGAUUGUAAAUACUACUUACAUGAAACGUGCACUACAUUGUUGUAUGAGGUGUCACACCCUCUUCAUUGCCAGCAUCCUCUCAAGCUUGUCACGGAUAUAGUUGAAUUCACAUGUCAUGGAUGUAGGGAACAUUCUGAUGGGUUUGCUUACAUGUGCCUUCCAUGUGAUUUCCACCUUGAUGUGAAAUGUGCUACCACUCCAAUCCCACCUAAAAAUGAUGGGCAAAAGCUGAAAGAGAUGGAGAAAGUUUCCAAGUUUUGCCCUUUCAACCAAAAUCAUAAGCUAGACUUCUUCAACCGUAGACCCAAUCUUAAAGAUUUGGCUUUGGAAUGCGAUGCUUGCAAGUUACCAAUCUUGGGUCCAGGUUAUACAUGUCGUGAUUGUUUCAAUAUCAAAAUUCAUGAAUCUUGUCUUGCAUUUAUUCGGGAGAUGCAACACACAUUUCAUCCGUUACACCCGCUUCAUCCACAAAUCGGCGAUUGGGAAAAUUGUUCUGCCUGUAGAUUUAAAAUCAUUGAAAGUAUCGGUUAUAGUUGUCGGCAGUGUGAUUUCCACCUUCAUCUUCAUUGUGCUAAUUCCCUGAAGCUGGCCUUAAAAGUUAAGUCUCACAUGCAUAAUCUUUAUUAUUUUGGACCAAAUUAUGAGAAAUCUUACCAAUUAUGUAACAAAUGCAAAAGUUACAUUGGUAAGGAACCUUUCUACUAUUGCGUGGAGUGCAAUAUGAAUUUGCACUUAAAAUGUGUUCCCAUACCAUGUUCAAUUAAAUCCAAAUGUCACAUGCAUCGUUUGACUCUUAAAGAUCAUUUUGUGGAAGAUGAUUCUGGAGAAUACUAUUGCGACAUCUGCGAAGAAGAAAGGAACUCAAAAAAUCAUUGCUAUUAUUGUGAAGAGUGUGCUGGACAAUUUGUUGCUCACAUCGAGUGCGCGCUUCUUAUAGUAAGUUUAUCACUAUCAUUUUCUCUGUAGAAUUUUUCUAUAUCAUAUUAUUGAAUUUUCUAAAGGAAAAUAAGAAUCUAAAUUACACAUCACAUGAUCGUAUCCACCAUCUCUUUGAUUGAUUGGACUUUAUUAAUGGUUAAAGUACCUCAUAGGUCCAUAUACUAUAGAUUUUUCGUUCAACUAAUCUUUUUUCCCAAAAUUGGUUAAUUUAAUCUCUGUACUUUGAGAUUUUAUGUAAUGGAGUCAUUUUACUUAACUUCAUCCAAAUUAACCAUUAGUGGUACUGGUGACGCACUGACAUGUCAGAUAAAAAAAAAUUGACCAUGUGGCAUUUUUUUCUUUCCUCCUUUUUCUUUGCUCAUAUGUUCAAAACUACAUUGUUUUAGAGUACUAUUUAAAGCGGAUUUAGUUUUUUAUUUUUCAUUUUCCUUUUUAUCCUUCUCUUUAGCUUUCUUCUCUCCCUAGAUUUCGACCCCUAAAUGCAAAUUCUGGCUAUCGAUCACUAGUAAUAUGAAAAUCUAAUAAAAAAUAAAAAAAUUAGUUUUUUGGCCUUAUUUCCCAUAAUUAGGAUAGCUUUUUCAAAAUCUAUCUCGAUUUUUCUAGAUCUAAAAUCAUAAACUUGUAAAAAAGAAGCUUGUUUCUUUCCAUUGCUGUGUCCUCAACUUGAUGUUAAUGAUCAAGGGUUGUGUUUUUCAUGUUGUAGGAUUUUGAAUUCGGAGAUGGAAAUUUUCAUGAAUUUUCCAUCUUGAAAGAUGCUGGCUCACCUAUUGAGAGUUCCUCUAUGGAUAAGUUGCUUUCCCAACCCCAUGCUGAAGUUUACUUGAACCAAAACAGAAUGGUAGUUAAGUCCUAUAUAAGUUAUUUUAAAGAUCUCAUCUUUUAUGCGAAAAUGAAUUUUAUUUUACGAAUAGUUGAAUGAAAGAAAAGUUUCACGAUUUUGUGGGUGCCAUUGUCGUUGCAGAAGUAUUGGGUGAAUGAGAAGUUAAACAAAUACUGCUUCAUGUUGUUUGCAAGAGAUCUUUCAAUCAGUUGGGUAGAAGAGCACCGUUAUUGGCGUUGGUCAUACCAAAAAGAAACAAACAGGUUAGCGUAGAUUUAUUAUCCAUUGAGAAUCCUUACUUCAUAGUUCUAGCUUGACAGCUUUCUUAAUCCACAAACUUUUGAUUUUGUAGCGAUGUGUUGAUUGAUGUUGUCGAACUUCUAAAGGUGUGUUGGCUAGAAAUGAAUGUGAAAUUCAAUGUAAAAAAGCUCUCACUGGGAACUUUGUAUGGAGUUAUGUUUGUGUUUAAGUUGACAGAUGAAGCAUAUGGAUGGGGAUGUCCAGUGAACUUUGGAUUCACUCUUCCAAAUGGGGACAAGGUUGAACGCAAGGAAAAUUUGAUGACCAAGCCGAGAGGAGUAUGGAUAGAAAUCCCUGUCGGAGAAUUUACAACUUCAUCCGAAAUUGUUGGAGAAUUACAUAUUUGCUGUCACCAAUAUGAUGAAUUGAAUUGGAAAGGAGGACUUAUUGUUAAAGGAGUUGCUAUUCUACCAAAGAAUUAAGUUAUAAAUUAGUAUUUUGUCAUAAUAAAUCUGAAAGUACUGUAGUUUUUUUGUUUGUUCAUAAUCUUGCAAAUUCUAAUAUGACAUGAACUUGAAAGGAACCAACUCAUCCAAUAAUCACCUCAACACUUGAACCAGUUUUCCGGUUCUCAUUAUACAAUAUAGGUUCCAUGCUAAAUGCAACAAACAAGCUCAUUGAUUUUUUUGAUAUUUUUUAUUAGAUUUUUUGACCACCAGUGACUAGUGGUUGGCUGUCGAAAUCUGGGUUUGGGGAUCAUAAUCUAGAAUAAAUUAUUGGAUAGAGAGCGAAAAAGGAAAGAAGGAACAAUGAAAAAAAAAACUAAAUGUCCUUUAAAUAGUAGGCUUAAAAUAACUAGUUUUGGACAAAUAAGAGAAAAAAGAAAAAGAAAAACCAUGUGAUCAAUUUUAUUUUUUUAGUUGAACAUGUCAACGUUAGCAUUUUUUGACAUGUCAGCUCGUCGUUAGCACCACUAAUAAUUAAUUUGGAUGGAGUUAGAUAGAGAGAAUCAAUAGUACAAAAUCUAGGUAAGAGGGACUAAAUUAAUCAGUUUUGGAUAGACAGACUAAAUUGAUAAAAAAAAAAAUCUUUAAUAUAGGUAUCUAUGAGGUACUUUGACCAUUAAUGAAUUCCAAUCAACCAAAGAGGUGAUGGAUAUGAUCAUGUAAUGUGUAUGUGUAAUUGAGAUUCUUAUUUUCCUUCAAAAAAAUUCAAUAAUGUAGUAUAAAAGAAAUCUAUAAAGAGAAAAAAUAAUUGUUCACGCCUCAACAUUUCCUGAAACCUUUUCAGCACUUUGAAGCUUUGUCCAUUAAUUAAUCGCCUUGUUUCAAGCAUGUUCUCAUAGUAACAAAAGUCUUUACACUGUAUAGAACCUUUUGUUUCUUUUUGACCUCCUGUAAUCUUGAGCAAGGCUGAUUGUGUAUAUAGUGGAGCAUAGUUGUGUACAUAGGGAGAUGCAUGCUUAAGCUACAGGGAUGGUUUUUGUUCACUUGCCUUUUUGUAUAUUGAUUUUGCUUAAGGCAUAAAGGUAUAGAAUUUCAAAAAAAAGAUAUAAAAUUGUGGUAUUAGCAUCUUGAUAGCCACAUUUGGAAUAAAAAGGUAGCAAUUAAAAGAAGCAUUUUAUCCUUAAUGAUGAGCAAGCUUUUUUUAGCCUUUUUCAUUUUUAUAUUCUCUCAAUAAUUUCCUUCUUUAAAUAAAUAAAAACAAUGUUGACAGGGCAUGAAGCACAUGCCAUUUUCUUGUUUUUGGUAUAAAGGCCUGAGGGAAUCUUUGUUUAGGUUUUGUAUUUAAACACACUCUCUCAUCAAGAGGCUAGUAGUUGAUCAUCUCUCUUUCUUCAUCUACCUAAAUUUCUUUCUUUGUUUGUUUGAGAAAACAAAGUAGAGACUAUUCUGCUAUGGGGAUAUUCUAUACUUGUUUUCGAUAGAAAUUUAGUACCUCCUCAAGUCCUCAACUGUCUUGGUGAUGCAAAAAGGGGGUUGUAGCUAGAAAUAAACCACAAAAAAUAUGCAAGCAAGGCUGUUGAUGUGAAUGAUUUAGCUUGGUUUGGGUUAUACAAGGCGUAACGAUUCUUUGAACGUCAAAUACACUUUUCUAUAUUUAAGCUUAUUCUUCAUAAUGUGUAGGAUUGUAGGGCAUUUUAUUCAAUUAUAUUUUGGUUAGAUUGUAGAGAAAAGAAAGCUAGAGAAAAAGACAACGGAGAGAAACAUUUUUUGACAAUGAUUCAAAAUUUAAUUUCAUUAAUAAGUUAAAGAAUUAUAGCAAACUGUCAAAAAGGUCAAAAAAAACUUUUUUCUGCUUCUUUUAUUCUCUCUUGGCUAGAAGAGAUGUGCAUUCUUGAACCAGUGAUUUGCAAAUAAGUGACUACUUUUCCUGUAUACCUUUGAGUUGAAUGACCAUGUACUUAUCAAUUAUGUAUAUUUCAACAAAUUUAUGUUAAUAUUCAAGUUUCUAAUAUUUGAACGAGUGUAUAUUUGAUGCAUUAAUAGUGUCUAUAAGAUACAUUGUCAGUGCAUUAAAUAUGAAUCCUAUUUAAAUAGAUUAAGAGUACAUAGUUAAGAAUUGCAGAGAGCUUAAUUUGAGAUAAUAGCUUUUUGUAUGAAAAAAGAAAAAGAAGAUUUGGCUUUUUUUUUUUAUUUGUUUUUGUUAAUUUUAUUAUGUCAGCUUGAUUUUAUGUCAACAACCUUGUCAAUUCAUUAUGGUUAGUAAUCAACAGUUUUAAUAACAAUGCUUCCUAACAUAAAGUUUAAAGGGGAAAAUAAGAGAUUGCAAACUCAAAACCUUGAUGUCUUUUAGGCUUUUCUUGUUUCUUUGUCCUUUUGUAUUUGUUGUUUUAGUUAUAAAAUUGUGGAAGUAGCAUCUUGAUUGCCACAUUUUCGAUAAAAAAGUACCAAUUUAAAAAAACAUUUUAUCUUUAAUGAUAAGUAAGUUUUCUUUGACUUUUUUCUUUUUCUUGAAAGACAAAGACAAUAGUAUUCCAUAAAAAAGGAUAUGUGUUAAUUAAAUUAUUUGAAGGCAAGAAAUUAAGAUUAACAUCAAUAUUCGCUUCCAAAUUCUCACUAUUAUUUCUUUCUUUAAAUAAAGAAAAAAAUAAUAUUGUUUUUGAUCAUUCAUUUGAUUAAUUAAUCUGAAAUUGUCGUUGUAUUAGUAAAAUGAGUCGUAAUCACAAUAUGCAUGCGAUGUGUUUUCAUUGUACAAGUAAUUAUUGUAUAACUAAAGCAAAAAGAAAGUAAUUGCUACAUAACAUUAUUUUACUUAAAGGGAAACAUUUAAUUAAAAAAAAGUAAUCCCAAACUUAAAACAUUUUUUAAACAAAACGCUCCCCUUCUUAAACUAAAGUGAGAAUCAAUUAAGUAUGGUACAGCUUAUAGAUACAUUUAUGCCACCAGUAAUGCUUUGUUUCAGAAUUAUCUUUCCUUUUUAGAAACAAUAAAGAUGAAUUAUAUAUUAAAAAAGAGAGGGAUAAGAGUAUUCCUUUACAACCAGACAAAAAAGACCCACGACUACAUCAAAAACAGCCAAUGGGGCUUAAAAAUUUGGGUAGACCAGUACUUACCUUAGGUCCUGCCAAGUAGUAUUAAAAAGAAAAAAUUACAAAAGGUAAGAAAACCAUAACAAAAGGACCUGUACAUAAUCUUUUCCUAGAAGAAAGAUCCAAAAAAGGGUUCAAUUAAUAUCCCUUAAAAAAAAAAAAGCAGUAUAAACGAAGAAACAUCAAUGGUUCCCAUGAAAGUAGCAGCGAGCAUUAUGUUGCACAACAAAAGUAAAUAAAGCAGGGGACAGAACACCUCACACUAGGUUAAUAUUCUUUUCCGGGGCUAGCAUGCUGUCGUUGAUCCGAAACAAAUCUGAUAUCAAUCACUUUUUGUCUUUCUUAAUAUCAAUCACUUUUACAUAGAAUUUAAUUUUAAUUUUACAUUUGAAUUGUUGUGCUAGGUUAUGGUCGUAGAGGGGUCAACUUGAUGUAAGUUAAGCAACUUGGAUUUACGGCAUAAAACUCAACUAAAUUCCAACAAAGAUUAGUUCCUAACCCAUAUAGUAAAUUUGCAUAUCACCCACAUUAUAAACUAAUCAAUUACUGAAAACAUGAAAUUACCACUAGUACGUGCUUGCUAAAUCUCAUAAAUAAAUCAUCUUAAUAAGCAAUAAUUAUGUGUGCGAGGGCUAAUUAUUGUAGUUAACAUUCCAUGAAUUUUACCUCAAAAUUUGUGUUAAUAUUCUAGGUUGUGAUCAAGUCAUAUGUUCAAGUUUCUAACAUUUAAAUAGACUAGGAGUACUUCAUGAAUGAAGGGGUUUAAUUUGAAGUAAUAGCUUCAAGUAUGGAAUAAGAAAAACAAAGAUUAUGCUGUUUUUUUUUCCUUUUUUUUAAUAUUUUCUUGUCUUAGGUUGAUUUUAUGUCAACACUCUUAUUCACUAUUUGGUAAAUUUGGACACGUGUAUUUCUGCAGUAAUGUUUGUGAAAUGGUUUGGACAGCUAUUUAUUUCAGAUGUGCUGAGAGGUAGUUUAAUUAUUUUUGUUGACUGAGUUGUAUUUUCAAAGGUUGGGCGAACUUGUUAAAGAGUCCAACUGGACCUAUUUAUCCCCAAAAUUGAGCUUAAUUUUGGCAUAUGGCAUGUGGCAUGCCGCAUUGCCAAAGCUCUUCAAGGAAGAGCACAAGCAAAACCAGAGGCAAUGCGACGAGUAAAGGCCAGAUAAAUAAGAAGGCUAACCAUAAUUUAACCAAAAACAAAAAUGAAAAAAGAAAGAAAGAAAGAUAGUACACAUCAUGUCAUCACUCAUCAAUUAGACAUCCCAUCGUCACCAACCCAGGGUCCUUGGUCAACUUCAUCCACAUACGUUGUCCAGUAAAAAUCACUCAAGUGUCUCGCAUUGCUCGAAAAGGACAAAAAGACUGCCACGUGCUACCUUACGGGCAAUUGCUACUAGAGUUCUCCACCGCCCGCUUGGUGUCGCCUGUACAGCCACAACCACAGCCACCACCAUUUGCAUUUCUCCUGAUUCAGAAUUCUUAUCACAUUACUACUGUUGGAAAAGUGUUUGACAAACAACUUUCACCUGGUAAGUUGGACUCACUAUAACCUUUAUUAUGAAAUAUUUUAUACGCAUCGCUUUUGGAUUACAAAGCAUUACAAGGACGAAUUAUAAAGCAUUUUAAUUCUCAUGGUUUUUUUUUUUUUAAAGAGUGAUUUUGGGUUCAACUUUAAGAAAUUGUCUGCCACUUGUUCAUUGUUACAAAACAGGGUCGGAAGAGAAGCAGCUUCAACAUCAUCCACUUGUUCAGUCAACCAAUAAUUAGCUGCUGUUUUCAUUAACCAAUUUACAUUUGAGAAACAACAAAAACAAUGGCAAAAGCACUUCUUUCCAUGAUCCUGGAGCAGCAGUUGGGUGGUUCGUUCAUUCCUCAAGAGAUAAAGCAUCAUGUCGGAUUGGCUGUAGGUCUUGAAGAAGAAAUCCAAAAACUCACCAGCAACUUUGACGCCAUUCAAGCUGUGCUUGAAGAUGCGAAAGGAUAAACCAAACAGGGCAUGCCUAACCCAAGGCGCGGAGGAUAAGGUAUACCGAUGUGGAUGCGGCCCAUAUCCUAAGCUGUUUCCCCACAGACCCCCCAACAGUGUCCCAUAACUCUAAUCCUACAUCCACCACGGAAGAAUAACAAGACUCCCAAGGAGCGGAGGACGGCAAUGGAGGCAGCUGGCUCCGAUUCCGAUGGCAGAGAAUUCAGGAACCCACAGGAAAUGUGGAGGGAGCAAAUUGGAGAUGCAGAUGAAGGAGAUAACCAUAAGAAGACUCAGUGGUACAGUGAAGGCGUUGCCUACUGGGAAGUAAGUCUUUCUUAACUCUGGUUCUUACAUUUGUAUGUGGGUACCAUUAGCUAACUCAUAGUAUAGUUAUUGGAUUCUUUGGUUGUGCUAAGAGAAGGGUGUGGAGGCAUCGGUAGAUGGGGUGUUGGGUGGAUUUGGGCAAGUAAAUGAGGCAGAUAUUAAGGGUAGUGAGGUUUUUCUCAAUACCCUUUUGCAUGAAAGAUUCGAUGGCGGUGGAAGAAAUCACCAUCUUGUUGCUCUUGGUACUUCUCUUUCACUCUCUGUGUCCUCAACUUUAUAUUGUUUUUAUGAAGUUAUAUACCCAUAUAUGUUCUGUUGAGGUAGUUUGGUUUAUGUUAUUAUUAUUAUUUUUUUUACACUAAAAAUCAACCUUAGGUUAUUAUGCGCCAUUAAAUGUGGAAGUGCAAAGUUGGUGAUGGGAUCCUACUUCAUUAGAAUGUAGCAUUGGUGGAAAACCUAAUUAACUAUAAAUUAAACAAAAAACAUAGUGGUGACAGCAGAAAGGGAUGUUGUGAUAGAUGAAAUUUUGAGUUAAAUAUCCGCAAUUAGUGCUUGAAACCGGAAACCAAUAUAACUUGAUAACACAACCAUGAAAAGUUUAUGUCCCAUAAUCCCACCCCAUAAAAGAAAAUAAAUAAAUAAAGAAGAGAAAGGCAUGGAAAUUUGCAUGAAUAUGCAUUUUCUGAAUUAUUUUGCAUGAUAUCUUCACCAAAAAUCAGUCUUAGUAGUGCAAGAAGCAUGUCAUGCAUUAGAGGUGUUGCUUUGAUUUAGAAUGCCAGCGUUUUAGGUGUUGCUCUUAUUUAGAAUGGUAUAAUGCAAUUGAGAAUUGGGUUUACUACAUGCUAUUUUGCUUAAUAAAAAACCAUCUUUAAGCAAUAUUCUUUUUUAAAUUUGGGAAGAAGCUUGCUGGGAGUUCUCUCUGUCUCUUAAGGGUUGUGUGCUUGUGGGGGGUGGGGGAUGGGGCACCCCUGGACCCAAUUUGAGGCUGUUGUGAGUGCUCAGAAUAAAGGAAAGAAAUUUCUGUGUUUAAGAUUGAAAAAUUACUUUCACAUUUCAUCAGCAGCGAAGAUGCUCUAUCUUGCUAAUAUUCUGGAACUUGUUAUCUUUUGAAAGGCAAAAAUUAGAUAUGUCUUCAGUAUGUUUUAUUACUAGGAGAUUGAUUCUUCGACAUGAUUAGGAUCUAUAAUUGCCUAUAUAUGAAGUUGGUCUUAAUACUUGUGAGUUGGUGGACUAUACUGGGGCAAUUGGUGGACUAUACUGGGGCAAUUGACUGAAAUCUUGCGAAGGGGAAUUGUAGGGGAAAUUAUUUAGGAAACUAAGCAGUUGGAGUUUGGCUUUAAUAUAAAGAUAUUUAGGUAACUAAGCAGUAAUGGUUUGGCUUUAAUAUGAAGAUAAUUAAGUGAUUUCCACAAGUUUUAUUUUAAGUAUUAUGAUAUAAGAUGCACUUAAGCACUUGGCUUUAUGAUUUGUGCAUGUAUCCCCUGCUAAAAGAGCUGGGUUUAAAUUACCCUCCCCUAAUAAAAUAAAAUAAAACAUGAAAAUUGAUGGUUGUGCCCUCAAACUUUUGCCUUCAUAUGGUUUAUGUUGGUGGAAUUAAAACAAACUCUUUUGAUGAUCUUAGUGCAGAAGAAUCUGGUACAUUUUAGGGCUUAGCAUACUAAAUUAAACUAUGUCAUAAUUCUCAAAACACUGCAAUGCUGACCUUUAUUUCAAGUCCAUACAUUGAAGCACUAGAAAUACCUGCAAAUGGUUCUAAAGCAUACUUAAAAUAUUGCUGCAGUACUGAUCUGUUUGGUAUUUCAUUUUUCUUGAUGUUUUUAAUUCUAAUUGAAAAUCAUAAAUCUAGUUGACAUUCUGAGCUCUUAGUUUCUAUGUUAAUUUAACAUACUGCAGAUUGUGGUUCUGGCAUAGGGAGAAUAACCAAGAAUCUUCUCAUAAGAUAUUUUAACGAGGUAAGGUCAUUUUUCUCUUUCUAUUAGCAUAUUUUUAAUAUUUCUGACAUUUACCAUCUUUGCAGUUAAUUGAUAACAUGGUUCAUAGUGCAUAAUUCUUACUACCUAAAGAAUUUCUCUGUUGUAUUUGAAUGAAAAGCAAAAUUGGGUAGUGCCUUUUAAAAAAUUCAUGCAGGACAUGAGGAGGGUACCCGUUAAUUUCAAGGUACCUAAACCUUAACCCUAUAAAAAAUCAAAUAUCUAAACUCUAUUAAUUACCUGAAUAAUUUUGAAAGUUACUACCCUAACCUUAACCUUAACCUUAAUACAUUCCCACUACCCUAUAAUUACCCUAACUCGUUUAAAAACCCGAUUAGAUAAAAAAUUUAUUAAAAUGUUCUUCAUUGGUACCCAAUUACUCAAACCCGAACCUGUAUUCAUAUACAAUAAUAUUUCUUCUACAUAGUACAUAUAAUUAACUACUAAUUAAAUUAAUAAAAACACAAAUAAUAAAAUUUAAAUUUAAAUAAUCAAAAACUAUAAAUUGUUUAUAAAUGAACAUAAUAUAUAAUAUAAAUCAAUAUUAUGUUAUUGUUUAAUAGUUAUUAACUUAUAUAAUAGUAAUGAUAUUCUUUAUAAAUGAAUAUAAUAAAUAAUAUAAAGUAUAUGUAUUAAAAGAUAUUACAAGUUAUAUACUAUAAAGUGUGUAUAUAUAUAUUAUAAUUAAUAAUUUUAUAAGUUAUAAUUUUUAUAAUGUUAACAAAAUAUAAAAAGUAAAUACAUUUAUUUUUAAAGUAUAUAUAUAUAUAUAUUAAAAGUAUUUUAGUGUAUAUAUAUAAUAGUGAUUAUAUUCUUUAUAAAUGAAUUCAAUAUAUAUAAAGUAUAGAUAUUAAAGACAUUACAAGUUAAUUAAUAAUCAUAGUUUCAUUAAUUAAUUUAAUUAAUUAUAUGAGUUUGUCCUUUACUACAAGAAAUUAAAAAAAAUAGUUAAGUUUCAAAACUAUUCUAAUCUCACAACUUCUUUUUAGAUAAUUAAGUUUAUAUAUAUCAAAGUAUCUAUAUUAUAAUUAAUAAUUUGUAAGUUAUAAUUUUUGUAAUGUUAACACAAAAUAGAAAGUAAAUAUGGUUAUAUUUAAAGUGUGUAUAUAUAUACACACACACACUAAAAGUGUUUUAUUAUAUGUAUAAUAAUAAUUAUAUUUUUUAUAAAUGAAUCCAAUAUAUAUAAAGUAAAUAUAUUAAAAGAAAUUACAAGGUAAUUAAUAAUCAUAGUUUUAUGAAUUAAUUUAAUUAAUUAUAUGAGUUUAUCCUUAAUUAUAUGAAAUUAAAAAAAAUAACUAGGUUUCAAAACUAUUCUAAUCUCACAACUUCUCUUAAGCUUUGCAUAUUAUAAGUUUAUAUAAACAAAAGUGUAUAUAUUAUAAUUAAUAAUUUUAUAUGUUAUAAUUUUUUUUAAUUUUAAUACAAAAUAGAAAGUAAAUAUAUUUAUAUUUAAAGUAUAUAUAUACUAAAAGUAUUAGUAUAUAUAUAAUACAGUAAUUAUAUUUCUUAUAAAUGAACUCAAUAUAUAUAAUGUAUAUAUUAAAAAACAUUUCAAGUUAAUUAAUAAUUAUAGUUUAAUAAAUUAAUUUAAUUAACUAUAUAGUUUUGUCUUUAAUUAUAUGAAAUUAAAAAAAAUAGUUAGAUUCCAAAACUAUUCUAAUCUCAAAGACUCUCUUUAAGUAUAUAUAUUAUGAGUUAUAAUUUUUGUAAUAUUAAUACAAAGUAAAAAGUAACUAUAUUUAUAUUAGAAGUAUAUAUAUAAUAGUAAUUAUAUUCUUUUGUAAUAUGAUAUGAUAUUCAUAUUAUUUAAACAUAAUUAAUAAUCUAAUAAUUUUUUAAUUGAAAUAUUUUAAUGUAAUCACAUUAAUAAUUUGAGUAACCAGACUUUUUAAUAUAUUUGUCAGCUUUUAAUAAAUAUAUUAAUGUUGAUUAUUUUUAAUUUAAUCAUUUAAAUAACAACAAAAUAUAUAUAAACAGGUAUUGGGAUCGAGUUCGAGGUGGGUACCCGUGUAACUUGAAUAGUAACAUAAUCGGGUUCAGGUAGCGGGUACCCAAGAGGUACUACCCCGAACCUGAUAUGGGUAGUGAAAUCACUAUCCGAACCCGUCCUAAACUUGAUUAUAGGGUAUCUUAAUCCGAUAUAACCNUAUAUAACAGUAAUUAUAUUUCUUAUAAAUGAACUCAAUAUAUAUAAUGUAUAAAUAUUUAAAAACAUUCCAAGUUAAUUAAUAAUUAUAGUUUUAUGAAUUAAUUUAAUUAACAAUAUUGGUUUGUUUUUAAUUAUAUGAAAUUAAAAAAAAUAAGUUGACAAACUACUUUAAUCUCACAAUCUCCUUUUAGGUAUAUAUAUUAUUAUGAGGUUAUAAUUUUUGUAAUGUUAACAUAAAAUUGAAAGUAAAUAUGUUUAUAUUUGAAGUAUAUAUAUAAUAGUAAUUAUAUUCUUUUUAAUAUGAUAUGAUAUUCAUAUUGUUUAAACAUAAUUAAUAAUCUAAUAAUUUUUAAUUUAAAUAUAUUAAUAACAUCACAUUAAUAAUUUGACUAACCAUAUUUUUAAUAUAUUUGUCAGCUUUUAAUAAAUAUAUUAAUGUUGAUUUUUUUAAUUUAAUCAUUUAAAUAACAACAAAAUAUAUAUAAACAGGUAUUGGGAUCGAGUUCGAGGUGGGUACCCGUGUAACUUGAAUAGUAACAUAAUCGGGUUCAGGUAGCGGGUACCCAAGAGGUACUACCCCGAACCUGAUAUGGGUAGUGAAAUCACUAUCCGAACCCGUCCUAAACUUGAUUAUAGGGUAUCUUAAUCCGAUAUAACCGGGUUGGAUACCUGUGGGUAUCUUAUAAUAGGGUAUGCAUUGCCAUCCCUACACAUUAAUAUGUAAUUCCAAUACAGUGAACAUGAUGUGGAACAUGGUGGACUUUUUCUUUUUCCUCUCUUUUUCUUUCAUCGAAUGAUAUGAAUCAGUGACAUAGUAUUAGUUGGAGCUACUAUCUUAAUAAAGCUGCAUAGUACUUUGUGAUAGCUAUGCUUUUGGACCCCUCUUCCCUUUACCAUUCUCCAGGUUGAUCUACUUGAGCCAGUUUCGCAUUUCUUAGAUGCUGCCCGUGAAAGUUUGUCUCAGGAAUAUUUUGUAGCCUCUGAUGCGCACAAAGCAAAUAAUUCUACUGUGUCUCCCUUCAGGUCAUGUACUUCAAGACUACAUUCACACAUGGAUACAUGCUUCUUGAUGUCUUGAAGUAUUCAUAACUAUGGUUAAGUCCAUGUAAGCUAUGUAUUUCCAACUUUUCACGUUUCCCUAUAUUGCGGAUGUAGCCAUGUAAUUUGCACCUCAAGCAGGCAUGUUGUUUGAGUACAAUCCUGGGAAAAACUUACAGAAGUUAAGGUAAACAUGUUAAAUAUGGGUUUGCAUCUGGAACUCACAUUUGAAUCUGGGCAACAUAGUCUGUACUCUGUAGGCGGCUGGAUUCAAGUAAAUUUUUGCAAACAAUUAUUUACUCUUUUGUGUGUGUUGGGGUGGGGGGGGUAGGGGACAGCAUAUGGGCUAGUGAAUGAGCCCUUUAAGUUGGUGAUAUAUGUGCUUGUCUUCUUCUGAUGCUUCUGGCUGUUAAAUUUUACUUUAUAAAACAGAAAUUUGACGACCAUUUUUUUUUUGUCUUUUGCUUUUUCAGGAGUUCACCCCUGAUGCUGGAAGGUACAAUGUUAUUUGGAUUCAGUGGUGCAUUGGUCAUCUCACAGAUGAUGACUUUGUCUCAUUUUUUAAGAGAGCAAAGGUGAAUAAAUCUUCUUCUUGAGACAGAACUUACUUUUUAUUUGACAUGUUGUGCUGUGUGGAAGUGCAUGGAAAGAUCAAAAUUAUGUGUUGAAAUUUUCUUGCCUGCUGUCUACUAUACAUUCGAAGUGCCUUGUUCUGAUUUUUGAAUUAUGAACUGUCAGAUCAUUGCAAUGGUAUCUCAAAUUUUCCUUUUCCAAAUUUAUUGCUUCUAGCUUUCUCUCUUGUAACUUCUUUUAAACCUUCUCACAGCUAUAGGAAUUAAGGUUGUCUAGCGAACAUAACAUAGCAAACACCGGAAGGAUGAUAUCGUCAAACUCUUUUUUCUUUUUGUCCUUUCUUUUUGCAAUGUGUCGUGUUGUUCAUUCUAUUCUUCUUCCUGCUAGGUAACUAGCGGAUUUGAUGGGUUAGUUUGGAGUGUUUGGGCCCAUCCCUAGCACCACAGAAACAAGGCUGGAUAAUACUUUAUAAUUCAUACAGCUAUUUUGCUAUCAUCCGUUUUCUCACCUUACCAAAGCUUGUGACCAAAAUUUUGUUGUGCCUUGUGCAUUGAAAUAAGUUUUAAGAAAUGAUGGUAGUUUGACUUUUGUCCUUUAAGUUUGUAAAUGGUGGGAAAUAAAAUUAAAUCCAGAAAGUGCCAUAUUCAUUUCAUGCCACCUUGAGUCCCUACUCUCCUGCUUCCCUUGCUGCAACCUUUUCUUUUUUUCCAGGUACUGUUGAGCAUAACUUUUUGCUCUGCCUUCAAUGUAUUUUCAUCAAAAUUAAGCAAAACAUAUUAAUAAUAAAAAGCUCCAACAUGGAAAUUCUUGGGCAUGUGUAUGUGUAUGUAAUUUGGAGGCCUGAUCUCUAAGUUGUGUCCUGGAAAGACCCUUGUUGAAAUUUAUUAUUCUUGCAUAUAUGAUUUAAAAGAUUUUAAUUUGUUCAAGUUUUGUUUAAGGCAUUCCUCAAACUUUCUUAUGUUUUGGUAUUCUGUGGUAAAUUUUCAUAAAGUUGUGUUUUUCUUUUUUGAAAUGCCGCAUGUCAUCUCACGUAUGAGAAGACAUAAAGUUGCUUUUUUGAGCUGAUAUUACUUUUUAACUUUGUCUUAUUAUGUAAUUAUCUGCCCUCUACAACUUUGAAGUAACAUCAUAAUUAAUAAUAAUUAAAAGAUAAAUGGAUAAAGGAAUUUUUAAGCUCCAUUUUCUCGUUCCAUUGCUUGAUACCAAGGGAAGCAGCAAGUUUUUGUUUUAUGCAUUCCUGAAACUUUCUUAUUUUUUGGUAUCCUGCUGCAAAAUUUUCAUAAAGUUGCUUUCUAGAGCUGAUAUUACUGUUUAACUUUGUUUUAUUAUGUAUUCAUCUGCCCGCUACUGCUUUGAAGUAUACUAGUUAAUGUCUUAAAUGUUUAAUUAAGGAUAAAUGGGUAAAGGAAUAUUUAAUCUCCAUUGUCUUGUUUCAUUGCUUGAUACCAAGGGAAACAGCCAAAAAGUGUUGAAACUUAUAAUUCGCAGGUUCAGGGAUGAGUUUCAUCUACUCAAAUGGGUAUGGGGUAUAAUUUUAUUAUGCUACCAAUUUGGGACACCUUUUGGUAACACUGUCUAUGUACAACUUUCUUCAGUGAAAAUUCAUGAAGGAAAGUUGACCUAGUGAUGUAGUGCGGAUGUAGAAACAAUAACAAGAAGUCAACUGCUCAUUAGUCUCUUUCAAACCAACCCUAGGGAAAGGUCGUUGAAAGCUGACGUGUACUCCUCAAUGGACAUACUAUUUUGCUUGAGUGAAUGAAAUUUCUCAUUCAACUCCAUUUAAUCAGCAGGCAAAAAUUGCCUUCUCAUCUUCAUUUUCAUGUGUUCCCAAGUGUUGAUUUUUGGCUUGCCUUGAUGUGCUUGCCGCUCUUCAACUCUCUUCUACCAUUGAAGUGCAGCCCCUUCAACUUAAGCUUCACAAACAGCACCUUUCUUUGUUCUGCCAUUGGUUUCUACUAAAAAUAAUUUUCGAAACUAUCUUUCUGAUCUGAAUAAUCUUUUGCAUGCUUCAUUUUCCGGAAGUCAUCUACCUUAAUUCUAACUCCACCACCAUUCAAGUCUAGGCAUGUAACAAUCAGCCUUCCAAUCUACCACAAACAGCAUUAUUUGCUGGUCGAGCAUUAUGAAAGGGGUUUUCAUCCUCUCCAUAUUCAAUUUCAUCCACAAGACCACCUACCGGUAAACCGAAAGGGUCUGUAUUGCCUUGUGGAUUCUCCAUACAGGCUCCCAUUGGUUCCUGUCACUUUAAAUCUUGCACAGCCUGCAACAAAUCUUCAAUCAUACCCUUCAACUCAGCCAGUUCUGUUUGCUGGUCUUGAUUUCUUUUCCACAUCCGCUAACAAGUCCUCUACCACGAUUAGCCAUGGUUUAUAAGCUAAAAUCCUAGUUCAACUUUAAGAUCUCUUCAUCUGAUACCACUUUGAUGUAGUAUGGAAGUAGAAACAGCAAAAACAAAAGAAAAACAAUGACGAAAACCAGAACAAAGGCUAAAAUUGAUCUUAAGAUCAAAGUAGGAACAAGUUACAGCAGCUUUUAAUUGUAGCCCUUCGAUACAAACAACCCCAUCUAAUCUUAGCCAUUCAAACUAAUUAAAAAUGAUCACAUGCUAAUCACGACACAUGACUAGAUAGAAAACAUAAUUACUAACUUUUAACUAAAGUAAAACAUAAUAAGAUAACCAAUUGGAGAUAAAUUUAAGAAUGCUCUUGCAUAGCCUAGCCCAACAAUUAAACUUGCCUAAGGCUUGACUUAACCUAGUACUCAAGUCUCAUAAUUUGCUUGCAUUCAACUCACAAAAUACUUGGAUUCGAUCAGUUUAUUGUUGAGUUAUUCUUGAGCUCUAGUGACCAAUGGAGUCUAGUUCAAGUGUUUAUAUUACUCAGUCAAGAUAGUUCAAGAGUGUAAUCAACUUUUAAUUUUUUGAUAUAUUUUAAAAUUUCAUGUAUGUAAUACUCGUAUAAAACUAAAUAAUACAAAGCUCAAUCAAGCCAGCUUGGAGGUCUCAGACAUAUGUACCCUCCCAAAAAAUGUUCAAGUUGAGCUUCAGGUCUUAGUUUUGUAAUUGAGUCGUGUCAUGUUCAAGCUUGUCAUUUUGUCAACUUGAUUUGGGUCAGUUAUGCAUCUAGACUUUAACCAACUCAAACUGACUAAAAAGGUUACUGAAUCAAUAGUUGAGACAGGGAGAAUUCAAAAACAAAGUAAUCUGGAAUUCUAAAUAUCCAAACUUAACAACCUAAACACCUUUAAAUGACAAGUGGGCAGUUAUACCCCUUUUGCAGUAAAUGCAUAAUUUCACUUGACUUGUCUUGCAUGUGGGGAACUUGUCAGUGGAGUUGUUCAGUGGCAACAUGAGUUUCACUGAGCUAUCACUUGUUUGCAGGAUUUGUUUUGGAUAAAGAAGACCGAAGCAUCACCAGAUCUGAUUUAUACUUCAAGGACCUAUUUCGUCGGUGUGGAUUGCACCUGUAUAAAAUAAAGGUUAUGGCGGUAAAGGGGUCAACUUGACGUAGUUACGCAACUUGGACUUACACCAUAAAAUUCAACCAAAUUCCAACAAAGAUUAGUUGCCAACCCAUCUAGUUGUGUCUGUUACACAUAACCUUUGACUUGCAACAUAACAAUCCCAAGAUGACACAUCUAAAACUGAUAAGUUUAUAUAGAUCAUGCACUAAUAGCCUCAUAUGUUGCCAUUGUCUUAACAACUAAGUCUCUAAGCAAACAUUCAAAAAUUUAGAUCUUGAAACGUUAAAUUACAAGGUCUAGCUAAAAAUCCAAUGAUAGGUGCGGGCUUUAGACGAUGAGAGAGGGCUUCUCCUAUUGUGAAGCCCUCGUUCCAUUGACUUUCAGAUGUGCCCCAAGAACAUAACUUCAGUGAGAGGCGGUGAGUGAUCUAUAUUGUUUGAUAAGUUUUAGAUAUCAUAUCAUCUUUUGUAUCCUUUUAUUCUUAUUUGAUGUUGCUGAGUUGAAUCGAUAAGGGUGUGAUUUCUAGUUGCAUGUUCGAAGUUCCCAUUAGAAAUGGGGGCAGGUUUGGUUUGCAAUCCCCCCACUUCAGUUUAGGGUUUUCAACUAUCAUAAUGUAUCCUUCCUUUUGUUAUUGAUUUGUUUAUUGUUUUGAAAACAGGACCAGAAAGGACUCCCUGAGGAAUUGUUUGCUGUAAAGACGUAUGCUUUAACAACUGAAGGGCCAAAGAAGGUUCUUAAGACAAGAUCCAAGGCGCAAGCCAACAGACCUGGCAUCAUCAAAUGAUUUGUUGCCUCUAACUUCUUGCAUUGUUGUAGGAGCACUCAAACUUUCUGGUGCUUCCUAUGUAAUUUAUUAGUGUAUUACCUCAAAUUGUUUACUUUAUAAGCUCUCUGUGGACAAAUUUUGUCCUUUUUCGUUUGAAGCUGUAUAUAUAUCUCUGAUAUACCUUUGAGUUGAAUUUAUAAACAUAUAUACUUAAUUUUUUAAUUAUUGCUUUCAUAUUUUAAUUUUAUCUUAAAUUUUUAUUUUUUUUACUUUUCAAACAAAAAUAAAGAGUAAAUUUUAGUAUUCCUUUUUACCAAUUCUGUAAUCCUUAGCCUAAUAAUAUUUUACACGUAUAUUUUUGUUCCUAUUCGCAAGACCGGCCCUCUCUCAUAUUUUUGUGUUAUGUUCCAAACGGUGCCGUUUGGCACCUUGUUCCUUACAACCCUAACUAUAAAUUCAUUCUUUUCUCUCUUACUUCGCUUCAUUUUUCCCCUUCUCUCUGAACCGUCGGUGGCUCCCUCUCACAUCUCUCUAAACCAUCAGUUCAUUUCCUCCUCUCUUUCUCUUUCGGCUGGAUGUAAUGAGAAUCUCCCAACCCCAGAAAAAGGAAAUCAACUUUCUCUCCCUCACACUGCCAGAACCUUCCUUUCACCCUCACAAAUCAUUCCCCAACCGAACCCAUUUCCCAGAUCUCUUUCUUUGUAAGCAUUGGAUUUUUGUUUUGGUGCUUUUUUGCCUUUUGGUUGUGGUAUCCGGUUGCUAGAUUAAAAAGUUAGAAAUUUUUUUGCUCUCUUCUGGAGAUUUUUGUUGAAAAAGCCCCUCCUUUUGUGAAGAUUUCUCUUUUUAUAUAUAGAGGCCGAAAAUUCUCUCCUUAGUAUUCGGUCGGCCAUUGAUUCUCUCCUUAUCAGGGUUAUCCUAAUUUUCAUUGAAUAAAAAUGAAAAGGAAAGAUAGACUUCUAAGAUAAUAAAAACAAAAAUAAAAUAAUAAUAAAAGUGCAUAAAAAAAUAGUAUCUACAACUUGAGGGAAUCUAUGUUUAGUUCUCAUAUGUAGGUUUAAAUUUUUUUUUCUUUGUUUGAGAUGGAUAUCAAACCCUUUCUUCAUGAACACCACUUGCUCUAUGAUGACUAUGAUGGAUCAGAGGCACUUUGUAAUAUAUGCAAUCAGAAAAUUCGUGGUAUGGCUUAUUGUUGUGAAAGAUGCAAAUUCUCAUUGCAUGAUUCUUGUGCUCAUCAACAGCUACCUCCUCAGAUAAGCGAUCCUUGCCAUCUCCAACACAACCUUACUCUCGAAAGGUCAAAUUACAUAGAUUACAUAUGUGCUAAAUGUUUCAAUCUUUCUCGAGGCCAUAGAUAUCAUUGCAAAGAGUGUGAUUUUAGCCUUGGGUAUCAAUGUGCUUUUUCAACUAAUGAUGAGAAAAAUAAACUCAAUGAUGAGACAUCUAAAAAAAUUGGUGAUUUUAUCGUCUUUAAUUAUAGGAGAGUGAGAAAGUAUGAGUAUAUAUGUAGUUGGUGUGAGAACCAUUUGUCCGGAAUGUCUUAUGCUUGUCUUGGCAGUGGUGCUUAUUUCUGGUUCCAUGAUUCCUGCCUAAUCAACAUGCCUAGCAUAAUCUUCAAACACCCAUUUCAUCCAUCACACCCUCUUUCAUUAUGCAACAGUCACUUUGAUUAUCGGUUGUGCAAUGCUUGCAACUUACCAGUAUGGGAGUUUAUAAAAGCCUAUCGUUGUAGAAAAUGUGAAUUCUACCUUCAUGUUCAUUGUGCUAAACUACGACCCAGUCUUAAGGUUGAGUUACAUGAGCAUGAUCUUACUUUUUUUCGAAUAAAAGUUAAUAUCGCUUCCCACCGAUGCAGGAUAUGCGGUUUUGAUUUUGAUGCUUCAGGGGAUGAAAGUGCUUUUUAUCGUUGUGUCCAUUGUAAUUUCAAUUACCAUUUCGAAUGUCUUACAAUACCACAUUCUACUUCACACAAGUAUCAUAGGCAUGAUCUCAUGCUUAUGGAUUCAUUUAUAGAAGAUGUUUCUGAAGAAUAUAAUUGUGAUAUAUGUGAAGAAGAAAGAAAACCCAAACAUAGUGUUUUUUGUUGCAAGAAAUGCAAAUUUGUUGCUCACAUCGAAUGUGCACUCAAUAAGGUAAGGGGACAUUUACUCUCUCUCUCUAGAGAAAUUUAAUAAAUAUUUUUUUAUUAGAUAAACUAUUAAUUAUUUGAUCAUAGGUCACAUGUAAUGUGCCCCUUAGAAAAAUUUUGAUGCUAAUGUUUUCACUUCCUCAGGUUGUAGAUACGAAACUUGAUCAAAGUUUGACCUUUAGUUUGUUGGAUAACAAAGCUUCAACAUCGAAGGUAAUGGAAUUGGGUCUUCUAUAUUGAUAUUAUUGUGAUGUUUUCACUUGCCAAUAAUGUUUUUUUUUUUAAGUUUACAUCACUUGAGGUCUUCUAUGAUUCUUUGGAUUUAUAUAUUAUAAAGAUUUUGUAGUAAUAAACACUAUUUAUGUUUUUGAAUAAAAUUCAAUAAAAAAAAUAAAAAAUGUAAAUAAUAUAGGUAAGAAACCUCUACUUAUAUAACAGUAUUCAAAAUUAAUUUGGAGAUGGCUUUAGUAAAAAUAUUGAAUGCUGAAUAAAAUAAAAACACAUACUAGCAUCAUGUUAAUUUCUGAAUAUAUAUAUUUGAUUAUUUAAUUAUUGCUUCCAUAGUUUAGUUUUAUCUUAAAUUUUCAUUUCAUUUACUUUUUAAACACAAUUAACAAGUAAAUUUUACUAUUAAUUUUGACCUAUUUGUAAUUUUUUGGUUUUCAUUCACCAUUUUGAAUUUGUUUCAAAACCAUCUGUAUAUUAACAUGUCAAUAAAAUAUAAAUGAAAUUUGUCACGUAAAUUCCACAUAUUAUGUGAAUUAUGUGAAUGUAGUCACAUGGACAUAACUGUAGUGCUUAGAUGGCAAAUCCGUUUCAUAUUUAAUAGUGUAUUGAUGGAUAGAUGAAUUUAAAAUAAAUUUAAAAAAACGUAGAUGGAAAAAAUCGAGUUUGUUUAGUCAUAAAUGAAAAUAAAAUAUUAUGACAAUGCUACAAACUAAGAAUGCACUUUACUUAAAAAAUGGAUGAAGAUUAAUAACUUUCUUCACUCAACCUGGUUGUGCAGGUGCAAAUUGAACAUUUUGAUCAUCAACAUCCCUUAAGCUAUAAUGAGACAAUUGAACAGAAUGAAAGUCUUCUUUGCAAUGCUUGCCGUCAAGAAAUUUUUUAUCAACACUAUGCUUGUGAAGAUUGUAAAUACUACUUACAUGAAACGUGCACUACAUUGCCGUAUGAAGUGUCACACCCUCUUCAUUGCCAGCAUCUUCUCAAGCUCUUCACGGAUAUAGUUGAAUUUACAUGUCAUGGAUGUAGGGAACAUUCUGGUGGGUUUGCUUACAUGUGCCUUCCUUGUGAUUUCCAACUUGAUGUGAAAUGUGCUACUACUCCAAUCCCACCUCAAAAUGAGAGGCAAAAGCUGAAAGAGAUGGAGAAAGUUUCCAAGUUGUGCCCUUUCAAUCAAAAUCAUAAGCUAGACUUCUUCAACCGUAGACUCAAUUUCAAAGAUUUGGCUUUGGAAUGCGAUGCUUGCAAGCUACCAAUCUUGGGUCCAGGUUAUACUUGUCGUGAUUGUUUCAAUAUCAAAAUUCAUGAAUCUUGUCUUGCACUUAUGCGGGAGAUGCAACACACAUUUCAUCUGUUACACCCGCUUCAUCCACAAAUCGGCGAUUGGGAAAAUUGUUCUGCUUGUAGAUUUAAAAUCAUUGAGAGUAUUGGUUAUAGUUGUCGGCAGUGUGAUUUCCACCUUCAUCUUCAUUGUGCUAAUUCCUUGAAGCUAGCUUUAAAAAUUAAGUCUCACAUGCAUAAUCUUUAUUAUUUUGGACCAGAUUAUGAGAAAUCUUACCAAUUAUGUAACAAAUGCAAAAGUUACAUUGGUAAGGAACCUUUCUAUUAUUGCGUGGAGUGCAAUAUGAAUUUGCACUUAAAAUGUGUUCCCAUACCAUGUUCAAUUAAAUCCAAAUGUCACAUGCAUUGGUUGACUCUUAAAAAUCAUUUUGUGGAAGAUGAUUCUGGAGAAUACUAUUGUGACAUUUGCGAAGAAGAAAGAAAUUCAAAAAAUCAUUGCUAUUAUUGUGAAGAGUGUGCUGGACAAUUUGUUGCUCACAUCGAGUGUGUGUUUCUUAAAGUAAGUUUAUCACUAUCUUUUUUUCUGUAGAUUUUUUUUAUGCCACAUUAUUGAUUUUUUAAAGGAAAAUAAGAAUCUAAAUUGCACAUCACAUGAUCAUAUCCAUCACCUCUUUGAUUUAUUAGACUUUAUUAAUGGUUAAAGUAUCUCAUAGGUCCAUAUACCAUAGAAUUUUUGUUAAUUUAAGUCUUUUACCUAAACUGGUUAAUUGAGUCUCUAUAUUUUGAGAUUUUAUAUAAUUGAGUCAUUUUGCUUAACUGCAUCUAAAUUAACCAUUAGUGGUGUUGGAGUGGCACGAACAUGUUAGAUAAAAAAAAAACAAAUUGGCCACGUGGCAUUUUUUUCUUUUUUCUUUAUUCUUCUCUCAUGUGGCAUUAGUGGUGUUGGAGUGGCAUUUCGAUUAUCCUAGAUCUAAAAUCAUAAACUUGUAAAAAAGAAACUUGUUUCUUUUCACUGCUGUGUCCUUGACUUGAUGUUAAUUGUCAAUGGUUGUGUUUUUCAUGUUGUAGGAUUUUGAAUUUACAAAUGGAAAUUUUCAUGAAAUUUCCAACUUGAAAGAUGUUGAUUCACCUAUUGAGAGUUCCUUUAUGGAUAAGUUGCUUUCCCAACCCCAUGCUGAAGUUUACUUGAACCAAAACAGAAUGGUAGUUAAGUUCUAUAUAAGUUCAUUUUAAAGAUUUCAUCUUUUAUGCGAAUAUGAAUUUUAUUUUAUGAAUAGUUGAAUGGAAGAAAAGUUUCACGAUUUUGUGGAUGCUAUUGUUGUUGCAGAAGUAUUGGGUGGACAAGAAGUUAAACAAAUACUGCUUCAUGUUGUUUGCAAGAAACCUUACAAUCACUUGGUCAGAAGACCACCGUUACUGGCAUUGGUCAUACCAAAGAGAAACAAACAGGUUAGCGUUGAUUUAUUAUCCAUUCAGAAUCCUUACUUCAUAGUUCUAGCUCGAGAGCUUUCCUUAUCCAUAAACUUUUGAUUUUACAGUGAUGUGUUGAUUAAUGUUGUCGAACUUCUAGAUGUGUGUUGGCUAGAAAUGCAUGUGAAAUUCAAUGUAAAAAAGCUCUCACCAAAAACAUUGUAUGGACUUGUGUUCGUGCUUAUGUUGACAAAAGAAGCAUAUGGAUGGGAACAUCUAGUGAACUUCGGAUUCACUCUUCCAAAUGGGUACAAAGUUGAACACAAGGAAUCUUUGAAGUCCAAGCCGAGAGGAGAAUGGAUAGAAAUCAUUGUUGGAGAAUUUACAACUUCAUCUGAAAUUGUCGGAGAAUUAGAUAUUUACUGUCACGAAUAUGAUGUAUUAUUUUGGAAGAGAGGACUUAUUGUUAAAGGAGUUGCUAUUCUACCAAAGAAUUAAGUAAUAAAUUAGUAUUUUUUCACAAUAAAUCUAAAAGUAUCAUAGCUAUUUUAUUUGUUCAUAAUCCUACAGAUUCCAAAAUGACAUGAACUUGAAAGGAACAAACUCAUCCAAUUAUCACCUCAACAACUAAUUUUCUAGUCCUCAUUAUACUAUGUAAGUUCCAUGCUAAAUGCAAUGAACAAGCCCAUUGAUUUUUUUGAUAUGUUUUAUUAGAUUUUUAGACCACCAGUGACUAGUGGCUGGCUAUCAAAAUCUGAGUUUGGGGAUCAGAAUCUGCGAUAGAAGGAUUGGAUAGAGAGCGAGAGAAAGAAGGAAAGAAGGAAAAAUGAAAAAAGAAAAAAUAAAUGUCCUUUAAAUAGAAGGCUUAAAAUGACUAGUUUUGGACAAAUGAGAAAAAAAAUAGAAAAGCCAUGUGAUUAAUUUCUUUUUUAGUCUAACACAUCAACGUUAGGAUUUUUUGGCAUGUUAACGCAACAUUAGCACCAAUAACGGCUAAUUUGAGUGGAGUUAGAUAAAAAGACUUAAUGGUACAAAAUUUGAGUGUACAGAGACUAAAUUAACCAAUUUUGAAUAGAUUGACUAAAUUGACGAAAAAAAUCUUUAAUAUAGGGAUUUAUGAGGUACUUUGACAAAAAAUCUUUAAUAUAGGGAUCUAUGAGGUACUUUGACUAUUAAUAAAUUUCAAUCAACCAAAGAGAUGAUGGAUAUGAUCAUGUAAUGUGUAUGUGUAAUUUAAAUUCUUAUUUUUCCUUUUAAAAAAUUCAAUAAUGUGGUAUAAAAGAAUUCUACAAUGAGAAAAAAUAAUUGUUAGCGUCUCAGCAUUUUCUGAAACCUUUUCAGCACUUCGAAGCCUUGUCCAUUAAUUAAUCAACUUGUUUCAGGCAUGUUCUCAUAGUAACACAAGUCUUUACGUUGUGUAGACCUUUUAUUUCUUUUUGACCUCUUGCAAUCUUGAGCAAGGCUGGUUGUGUAUAUAGUGGAGCAUAGUUGUUUAUCCCCACAUAGUUGUGUAUAUAGGGAGAUGUAUGUCUAAGCUAUAGGGAUGGUUUUUGUUCACUUGCUUUUUCGUAUAUUGAUUUUGCUUAAGGUAUAAAGGUAUAGAAUUUUUAAAAAAAGAUACAAAAUUACAGUAUUAGCAUCUUGAUAGCCAUAUUUGGAAUAAAAAAGUAGCAAUUAAAAGAAGCAUUUUAUCUUUAAUGAUGAGUAAGCUUUCUUUGGCCUUUUUCUUUUUUAUAUUCUUUCAAUAAUUUCCUUCUUUAAAUAGAGAAAAAAAAAACAAUGUUGACAAGGCAUGAAGCACAUGCCAUUUUCUUGUUUUUGGUAAAAGGGCUUGAGGGAAUCUUUAUUUAGGUUUUGUAUUUAAACAGCCUCUCUCAUCAAAAGGCUAGUAGUUGAUCAUCUCUCUCUCUUCAUCUACCUAAAUUUCAUUUUUUUUGUUUGUUUGAGAAAACAAGGUAGAGACUGUUCUGCUAUUAGGAUAUUCUAUACUUGUUUUGGACAGAAAUUUAGUACCUCUUCUAAUCUUCAACUGAAAUACCCCAUACUUUGAUAUGAUGAUCAAUAAAGUUGGCCGGAUGUCAAAAUCAGUCAUGAAGAAGGAUCAUAUGGUUGAUCCAAGUAGGGGAAACGAUGUCAAGCCUAACUCUAUAAAAUACUUGUCAUGACAUACAUGUGGUGGAUAGCAUGGUUGCAUAUUAGGAGAGUCCCAAAAAAUCGAUAAAAGUCGAUAUUGUACCUAUAGGCACAACAAAGUUGAUUUAAGCCUCGAACUAGAUCAAAUAGAGAAUUUAAGAUGAAAUUAAGAAUAUUAAAGUUCCAGAAUGGUUUAAUAUGGUGAUUUGGAGUUCGAAUGUCAAUUUGGAGUCAAACCGAAAUUUUCACUAUCUAGGGGCAAAAUGGUCAUUUGCCACCUGGGGACAAAAUGAGAAUUUUUAGAAAAGAUUUUUUGGCCCCAUAUGACUUAUUGAAGUAUGAUUUGAGGUUAAGAAGUGAAAAAAAUUUAUUCUUGGUAUUUUUUGGAGCAUAGGGGUAAAAUGGUAAUUUUACCACCCUAAGGGCAAAAUAGUAAUUUUCCACUACCAGGACAUUUGUCCAGCACAUGGUCUUCCCUUAUCCUCAUUUUGACCAGUGACUAAUCAUGUGGUGGAGAUAAAAAGGUUUAAAAUUUUUAAAGUUUUAAAAAUGGACCAAUGGAAACAUGCCACGUGUCAAGCAAGAAUACUUUAUUAUUUUUCUUAAAAAUCAGCCCAUAUUUAUCCCAUUUUCUCUUCAUGUGGCCGGCCACAGUAAGAACAAGAGAGGAAAGGAAAAAAAACACAAAACCUAGGUGGAAAAAUUGAAGAAAAAGUGUGGGAUUUCAAAGGAUCAAGCAAUAAAAGGUAAAAUUUCUUGAUUUUGACUUGUGAUCUACCUUUCCCAUGCAUUUCUCCUUAUUUUUCAUGGUUAAAUUUCAUGUUUUCAUGGUGAAUUUAUGGCUGCCCAAAUGGGUACGGAGAGAGAAUGAAGUUAGAUUGAUUUGAUUUUAAGUUAUGUUAGUGUUUUUAGUUAGUUUAGCAUAUUUAGAAACAAAACAACAAGAAAAGAAUUCAUUUUCCCCCAUCACCAUCAUUGGCUGAAUUUUUUAGGGAGGAUAUUGUGGCUGAAAUUGAUGAUAUUUGGGUGAUAUUUGAUGUUUGGUGAGGCUAUAAAUUAAAUGAGAAAUUUUGGUAUGAAAAUCUGAAUUUUUACCUAAUGUAUAGACAUGUGUGAUUAUUGAUCCGGGACUGAUAAAUUGAAUCUCAUUCACAGUCACUGAGGUAAUUUAGGUAUAAUUGGAGCGUAGAAAGUGAGAAGAAUUGAUUUGGAGUUAAAUUGGAGAUUUUAGCCGAUUAGGUCGAGUAUAGUGUGACUUAGGUCGAAUAUCACAUUUAAGUGAUUAAUCAGACAUUUUGCAUCCCAUCUCAUGCGUUCAUUUAGAUUAGAGAGCCUAAAAUAGUUUAUGAUAAAUUGACACAAUUUAUUGAAAUUCAUGCCACGUAUGAUGUAUAGGUGGUGAGCCCUCUAACAAGGGUAAAGAAAUAGUGCCCGAAGACCGAGAAUAGGAAUAUAUCGAACUCCUAGUAUUGUGAGUAACCUUAUCAUCAUUUUUAUUAUCUAAAGUAUGUUUUUAAUCGGUUUUGGUGAAAUUUUAUGAAAAUGAGUUUAAAUGGUAAAUCUUGAGUUUUACAAACAAAAUGUGUCUACACAAAAAGAUUUUAUAAAUUGUUUUAAAAUUGAAUGAUGAUUUUGAAAAAAAGAGUAAUUGGAGGCCACUUGUUAUGAAUUAAAUUUAUGAUUUAAAUCUAAUGGCUUAUGACAGUAUUUGCAUGAAUGAUUGAAUUGGUAUUUGUGUUGAAAUAUAUGAAAUGUGUUUUUAACCUUGAAAGGCUGUGAAUUAUAAUAAUUGCCAUGUCAUGCUAGAAUAAAUUUUAUUGAUUUGUGGAUUAUAUAUUAAUUAAUCACUGCAGUAGGGGGUCUUUGUGGAUCAGCCUUUUAGAAAGACACGGUAAAUCCCAUUAUAUUCUUACUUCGAACGGAGAGGCGCGUAGGGUAUCUCCUGGGGUAAAGCUUAGAGUUCACUUCAAGCCGAACCACCACUUGAAGGGGAACUCAGCCAACGCCAAGGAACGGCUGUGUUUUUUCAAACUAAAAAUAUGUUUUACGUGUAUAUGAAAUUUUUAACAGCCUUGGCGGCUCGAGUGUACGCCUCUGAUCAAGGUGUUAUCGAGUAUAUUUGAUGGCAUGAGCCAAGUGCUUAUGAAAGUCAUAAGCCCUAAUGAGAAAUUAAAUAAAAUACAACCGUUUGCAUGGAUUUGGAUGAAUUUUCAAAUUGCGAAAUACUUAAAAUGAUGGGAUAUUUUAAUUGUCUCUUUUUACUCGAUUUUAGCUGAUUUAAAUGAUGUUUGUUUACUCACUAGGAAUGUAUAAUCUCACCACCCUCAUUUCCACUCAUUUCCACCCAUUUCAGGCUCAGAGUAGGCUGUAGAUAGUUGAUUCCAUUGAGGGCUUCUAUUGGAUUAGCGUCCUCCACACAGUAGGUUCACAGUUUCUUUAAUUCUAGUUAUUAUGGGCUCACUUAAUAUUGUAAAUUUAAUAGUUUAUUGUGCUACAAUAUGAUGAAUUUAUUUUAUUUUUACGUUACAAAAAGUAUUUACGCAUAACUCCAAAAUUUCUGUUUAUAAGAAAAUAAAAUAUUUUAUUGAAUAUUUUGUUUUAUCUUCUUAUUAUAUUCAAAUAAUUAUAAUUUCAUUUUAAAUAAAGGUUUUAGAUGCCUAAACUUAUUUUUAAUUGUGAAUUAUGUGAUUGGUACUUGUUUACUACAUUUUUAACUAGUUUUGAAAUUUUCAGUGGAAAAAUGAACAAAAUGCCCCUAUGAGACAAAAAUUUUUAUUUUAUCAGUUUUAAGUUGCAAAAUAACUCAAAAUCCUUUAGAGCAUAAAAUUUGGCAACGGUUACUCACCGGGGGAAAUGAGAAACUGAUAUUAAGCAUUGCGGGGUUUCGGUUGGCAUUCUGGGAGAUGAGUACCCAUCGGGGCAUCGCGGCGGUUGUCACAGGCUCAAGGGUAGUUCCGGGUCGUGACAUCAACCAUCUUGGUGCUGCAAAAAGGGGGUUGUAGCUAGAAAUUAACAGCAAAAAAGAUGCAAACAAGGCUGUUGAUGUGAAUGAUAUAGCUUGGUUUGGGUUAUACAAGGCACAACAAUCUUUUGAAUGUCAAAUACACUUUCCUAUAUUUAAGCUUAUUCUUCAUAAUGUGUAGGACUGCAGGGCAUUUUAUUCAAUUAUAUUUUGGUUAGAUUGUAGGGAAAAGAAAGCUAGAGAAAAAGACAACAGAGAGAAACAUUUUUUGACAAUGAUUCAAAAUUUAAUUUCAUUAAUAAGUUAAAGAAUUAUAGCAAAUUGUCAAAAAGGUCAAAAAAAAAUUUUUCUGCUUCUUUUAAUCUCUCUUGGCUAGAAGAAAUGUGCAUUCUUGAACUAGUGAUUUGCAAAUAAGUGGCUGCUUUUCUUGUAUACUUUUGAGUUGAAUGACCAUGUACUUAUCCAUUUUGUAUAUUUCAACAAAUUUAUGUUAAUAUUCAAGUUUCUAAUAUUUGAAUGAGUUUAUAUUUGAUGCAUUAACUAUGUAUAUAAGAUACACUGUCAGUGUAUCAAAUAUGAAUCCUAUUUAAAUAGAUUAAGAGUACAUAGUUAAAAAUUGCAGAGGGCUUAAUUUGAGAUAGUAGUUUUUUGUAUGAAAGAAGAAAAAGAAGAUUUUGCUGCUUUUUUUUAUUUGUUUUUGUUAAUUUUAUUGUGUCAGCUUGAUUUUAUGUCAAUAGCCUUAUCAAUUCAUCUUGGUUAGUAAUCAACUGCUUUAAUAACGAUGCUUCCCAACAAAAAGUUUAAAAGGGAAAAUAGGAGAUUCCAAACUUAAAACCUUGAUGUCCUUGAUGCUUUUCUUAUUUCUCUGUCUUUUUCUAUUUAUUGUUUUAGUUACAAAAUUGUAGAAGUAGCAUCUUGAUUGCCACAUUUUUAAUUAAAGAAGUACCAAUUUAAGAAAUAUUUUAUCUUUAAUGAUAAGUGAGUUUUCUUUGACCCUUUUCUUUUUCUUGAAAGAUUGAGAAUAGUCUUCCAUGAAAAAAGAGUAUAUCUUAAUUAAAUUAUUGAAGUCAAGAAACUAAGAUUAGCUUCCAUAUUUUCACAAUUAUUUCCUUAUUUUAAAAAAGUAAAAAAUAAUGUUAUUUUUUAUCACUCACUUGAUUAAUUAAUAUGAAAUUGUCGUUGUAUUAGUAAAAUGAAUUUAACAUUAAUUAAUCACAAUAUACGCAUGAUGUGUUUUCAUCGUGCAAGUAAUUGUUGUAUAACUAAAGCAAAAGGAAAGUAAUUGCUAUAUAACAUUAGUUUACUUAGAGGGCAAUAUUUAAUUAAAAAAAAAUAAUUCCAAACUUAAAACCUUUAUCCUCUUAAAAACCAAUGAAUAGAGUAAAGUUAAUUCUCCGUAAAGUGAUUUGAUUUCAAAAUGCCAAAGGCCCUUGAUGCAUUUCUUUUUUUUCUUUAAACAAAACACUCCCCUUGCUAAAACUAAAGUGAGAAUCAAUUAAGUAUGGUACAAUUUAUAGAUACAUUUAUGUCACUAGAAAUACUUUGUUUCAGAGUUAAUUUUUUUAGAAAUAAUAAAGAUGAAUUAUAUAUUAAAAAAGAGAAGGACAAGAGUAUCUCUUUACAACUUGACAAAAAGGACCCGCGGCUACAUCAAAAAACAACCAAUGGGGCUUGAAAACUUGGGUAGAUUAGUACUUACCAUAAGUCCAGCCAGAGGCGGAGGGAAGGGGGGCUAAGAAGGCCCCGCCCCCAAAAUUUCAAAAAUUUAUAUUUUUUUGUUUUAUUUUAAAAAUUGAUAAUUUUAUCUUUAUUUUUUAAAAAUUUUAUAAUUUUAUCCUUUCAAAUAUUAAAAUUUUUAUUUUCUCAUUCUCAAAUUUAAAAUAUUGACUACGCUACUGAAUCCAGUCAAAUAGUAUUAAAAAGAAAACAUUACAAAAGAUAAAAAAACCCACCCUAUACAUAGUAAAAUGACCUGUACAUAAUCGUUUCCUAAAAGGAGGAUCUAAAACGGUGUUCAGCCAUUAUCCUACAGAAAAAGAGCAGGUAAAAAAAAAACAUCAAUGGUUCUCAUGAAGGUAGCAGUGAGCACUGUGAUGCACAGCAAAAGUAAAUAAAGUAAGGGGACAGAACACCUCACACUAGGUUAAUAUUUCUUUCCAGGGUUGGCAUGGAGUCAUUGAUCCAAAGCAAAUUUGUUGAUCUUGAGACACCUUCUUUGGCCAGCGUGUUAGCUUUUAUAUUAGCAGAUCGAGAACAUCUUCCAAUCUUGCCAAGUGUAUUAAAUGUUUGAAUUAUCAGAGUCCUCAUUCUUCAUGUCUUCCUUAAUAUCAAUCACUUUUACAUAGAAUUUAAUUUUAAUUUUACAUUUGGAUUGUUGUGCUAGGGUAUGGCCGUAAAGGGGUCAACUUGGAUUUACAGCAUAAAACUCAACUAAAUUCCAACAAAGAUUAGUUCCCAACCCAUACAGUAUAUUUGUAUAAGUUACUUGACUAAUUUACAUUGAAGAAGUAAAUUUGCAUAUCAACCACAUCAUAAGCUAAUCAAUCACUGGAAAUAUGAAAUUACCACUAGUGCUUGCUAAAUUUUAUAAACAAAUCAUCUUAAUAAGCAAUAACUAUAUGUGCGAGGGCUAAUUGUUUGAGUUAACAUUCCAUGAAAUUUACCCCAAAAUUUAUGUUAAUAUUCUAGCUUGUGAUUAAGUCAAAUAUUCAAGUUUCCAACAUUUGAAUAGAUUAGGAGUACUUCAUAAAUGAAGGGGUUUAAUUUGAGGUAAUAGCUUCAAGUAUGGAAGAAGAAAAACAAGAUUAUGGUGCUUAUUUUUUUAUCUUUUUUUUUUAUUUUCUUGUCUUGUGUUGAUUUUAUGUCAACACUCUUAUUCGCUAUUUGGUAAUUUUGGACGUGUGUAUUUCUGCAGUAAUGUUUAUGAAAUGGUAUGGAUAGCAUUGAUAGCUGUGGAUCACGAGACAUAUAUACACUUUAGAUAACUAUUUAUUUGAGACGUGCUGAGAGGUGAUUUAAUUAUUUCUGUUAGCUGAGUUGUUUUUUCGGAGGUUCAGCCGACUUCUUAAAGAGUCCAACUGGAGCUAUUUAUCCCCAAAAUGGAGCUUAAUUUGGGCAUGUGGCAUGUGACAUGCGACAUUGCCACAUCUUCUCAAGAAAAGGGCACAGGCAAAACCAGAGGAAAUGCGAUAAGUAAAGGCCAAAUAAAUAAAAAGGCUAAUCAUAAUUUAACCAAAAAAAAAAAGAGAAACAGAAAGAAAGAUGGUGCACAUCUUGUCAUCAUCCAUCGAUUAGACAUCCCAUCCCUCACCAACCCAACGUCCUUGGACAACUUCUUCCACAUAUGUUGUCCAAUAAAAAUCUCUCAAGUGUCUCGCAUUGCUUGAAAUGAAAAAAAAGACUGCCACGUGCUACCUUCUUGGCAAUUGCUACCAGCGUUCUCCUCCUUCCGCUUGGUGUCGCCUGUACAGCCACAACCACCACCACCACCACCAUUUGCAAUUCUCCUGAUUCAGAAUUCUUAUCACAUUACUACUGUUGGAAAAGUGUUUGACAAGCAACCUUCAGCUGGUAAGUUAGCUUCACUUUCACCUUUAUUAUGAAAAAUUUUAUACGCAUCGCUUUUGGAUUACAAAGCAUCCUGGUCAAAUUGUUUCCGUAGUGAGGUAGAAGUUGUCAUUCAAGAAAAAUUACGAGGACGACUUAUAAAGCAUUUUAAUUCUCAUGGUUUUUGUUUUUUAAAAGAAUAAUUUUGGGUUCAACUGUAAGAAAUUAUCUUCCACUUGUUCAUUCUUAAAAAACAGGGUCGGAAGAGAAGCAGCUUCAACCUCUUCCACUUGUUCGGUCAAUCAAUAAUUAACUGCUGUUUUCGUUAAUCAAUUUACAUUUGAGUAACAACAAAAACAAUGGCAAAAGCACUUCUUUCCAUGAUCCUGGAGCAGUUGGGUGGUUCUUUCAUUCCUCAAGAGAUAAAGCACCAUAUCGGAUUGGCUGUAGGUCUUGAAGAAGAAAUCCAAAAACUCACCAGCCACUUUGAGGCCAUUCAAGCUGUGCUUGAAGAUGCGGAAAGAAAACAGGUGAAGUAGGCCAGUGUGAGACAUUGGUUAUCUAAGCUCAAAAAUGUUUCCUAUGAUGUGGAGGAUGUGUUGGAUGAGUGGAACACUGCAAAACUCAAAUCAAAACUUGAGAAAGAAGAGAGAGCAACUGAACAUGCUUCUUUGCCAAGGAAGGUAUGCUACUCUUUCUCCUUCUCUUCCUCUAAAAUCAUACUACAGCACAACAUCGCUCAGAAAAUCAAAGAAUUGAAUGGACAAUUAGACUUUAUUUCUGCUGAGAAAGAUAGGUACAAAUUCGAACUAUGGAGGGGAAUUCAUGAAGAAUCUGAACUACAAAUAACUACCUCUUUCAUAGAUGUUACUGAUGUAUAUGGCAGAGACCAAGAUAAGAAUGCUGUAUUAAACAUGUUGUUGGAAGAGAAUAGUGAAAAAGAUUCCACUCUCCAAAUCAUCACUAUAGUAGGGAUGGGAGGAGUAGGGAAAACUACUCUUGCUCGACUAGCCUACAAUGACAAUAUUGUGGAUACUCAUUUCGAGAAAAAAAUUUGGGUGUGUGUCUCAGAUCCUUUUGAUGGCAUCAAGAUUGCCAAAGCGAUUCUUGAAUCUCUUGGAGAUGCUGUGCCAAACUUUGUUGAAUUACAAACUCUACUACAACGUAUUAGGAAGUCAGUUGUAGGAAAAAGAUUUCUUCUUGUUUUAGAUGAUGUGUGGAAUGAAGAUGACUGGAAGUGGAAACCCUUCAAAGAUUCUCUCAGUUGUGGUUCUUUGGGAAGCAAAAUCUUAAUGACCACGCGUAAGGAGAAUGUUGCGGUUGCAAUGGGUUGCACUACUUUGUUCCCACUAGGGAAGUUGGCCAAAGAAGAAUGUUGGCUGUUGUUUAGUCGGGUAGCCUUUUUUGGAAGGACUAGCAGGGAAUGCCAGAUGUUGGAAGAUUUUGGUAGGAAAAUAGCAGACAAAUGCCAAGGUUUGCCACUUGCUGUGAAGACUCUUGGGGGUCUCAUGCGCUCCAAAAGAACUAUAGAACAAUGGCAAAGUGUUUUGAAUAGCGAAAUAUGGGAGUUGAAGGAGGCUGAAAGAGGUAUUUUCCCUCCCUUAUUGUUGAGUUAUUAUGAUUUGUCCCCAGCUUUAAAACAAUGCUUCUCAUUUUGUGCCAUAUUUCCGAAAGACUGUGAUAGAGAAAGAUAGGCUGAUCAAACUAUGGAUGGCGCAAGGUUUCCUUAAGGAGAAGCAAAUCAAAGAUAUGGAAAUCCUUGGUCAAGAGUAUUUUGAAGACUUAGCAAUGUGCUCUUUUUUUCAAGACUUUGAAAGAGAUGGCGAUGGCAACAUAAAUAAAUGCAAAAUGCAUGAUUUAGUACAUGAUUUGGCCCAGUUUCUGACGAAGGGUGAGUGUUUCAUGGUAGAGGUCUAUGGUGUUGAACAGCCUCAGGUAGAUACUUACAGUGAAAAAGGUCGUCAUUUAAUGUUGGCGCUUGGAGAGAAGGUCAUAUUUCCUACCUACAUUUAUAAUGUUAAGAAAUUGCGUAGCCUCCUAGUUGAACCAAUCAAUUUUUAUGCUUCAAUAAUGAGCGAAUCCUUACCCAAGUUAUGUAAACAGUUGACUUGUCUGAGAACAUUGGACUUGAGUACCAAGUAUCAUACUAUCUUUGGUAGCACAAUUACAGAAAUUCCAAAAGAGAUAGCAAAAUUGAUUCAUUUGAGAUACCUUAACAUAAGUAACAAUGAUGAUUUAGAAGAAUUGCCAGAAGCAUUGUGUGAAUUGCUUAAUUUACAAACCUUAGACCUCAGUUUUUGCAAAAAGCUAAAGAGAUUGCCAAAUGGAAUUGGAAAACUAGUAAACUUGAGGCAUCUUAAGAAUUAUGGUACUUGGAGAGUAAGGUUCAUGCCAAAAGGAAUGGAGAAAUUAACGUCUCUUCGAACACUAAGGGAGUUUCCAUUGAGUGAAGGUGGUACUAGUUGUGAAACAUCUUCGAUUGGGGAACUGGGAAGCUUGACCCACCUUGGAGACUAUCUUGAGAUUAGAGGAUUGGGAAAUGUGAGAGAUGUGAAUAAGGCCAGGAAAGCAAAUCUUCGGAGCAAGGAAUGCCUCUUUAAUCUGUUACUCAAAUUUGAUAUGGAUGAGAACAAGUCAGGAGGGGGGUUGCCAAAUGGUGAUGCACUUGUUCUUGAAGCCUUACAGCCACCUCCUUACUUGGAAUGUUUAGAGAUACAUAACUACAGAGGCUCGAGCACAUUGCCAAAGUGGAUGUUGGCAUUGACCAACUUGAGGCAUCUUGCAGUCUGCUCGUGCAGAAACUGGGAGAGAUUGCCUCCCCUGGGGAAACUUCCAUCACUUGAAUCACUUUGGAUCUAUGACAUAAGGAGAGUAAAGAAAGUGGGAGUUGAAUUUUUAGGAAUAGAAAGAGAUGAGGGGCAAGGAUCUUCAUCCUCAACUGUUAUUCCCUUCCCGAAUCUGAAAAGACUUGAAAUUCAUGACAUGAAUGAGUUGGAAGAGUGGGAAUAUGGGGAGUUUCAUUUCCUUGGCAAGAGAAAAGAGCAAAUUAGUAUAAUGCCAUGUCUCAGUUUCUUAGUGAUUGAUAGAUGCCCGAGGUUAAAGGCACUACCACACCACCUUCAAAAUUCAAGCAUUGAGACAUUGGAGAUAAGAUGGUGUUCUAUUCUGGAAACAGGGUGCAUUAUCUCUCGCAUUCCUAACAUCCGAAUAAACUAUAUGGAGGUGAAAAGAGAUAAAGUUUGAACUCUUCUUGGGUCCAGAAGAUCACAAAUGCAAGCAGAAGCUCAUCAGGUUCUUUUCUUUUUAAAUCUAUUACUACCUUGCCAAUUUGGAAUACAUAAUCUACAUUUUUGUCUGAAUCAUUGCAUGCAUACAUGGUUUAUUGAUGCAAAAUUUAGCUGAAUAUCGAACUGGUUUGCAUAAUUAGCUGAUGCAAUGAGGUUAGAAAGCCCACUAAGGUGAAAAGUGGCCAAACUACCGUAUUGGUUGGCCUAACCAAGAAUAACUAGAACCUCUCCCUCUUUUGAAAAGAGUCUAGAAAGAAUAAGCACUGCUCAUUCAAGAAUAAUAUUCUUUUUUAAUGUUAAAAUUGAGAGAAAGCUCAUACAUUCAUUAAAGUUAAUAAAAUUGAAAUGUUUGCAUGUGCUUGGUAACACUUAAUUUCGAAAGUUUUUGUUGUAUAAUCUGCGGACAAACUAUAUAUGCUUAAUAUUGCAAUUUAUUUCCUAGGAAGUGUAUAAUAUUUGUGAGGUCUACAUUUUUAGAACCUAACAAAAUCCACGCUUUUAGGAGGAAGAAGCUGAACCAGCACUAGAUGCUCUAUCCAAGCUGAGAGAUAAAGGAAUCAAACAAUAGCAGCAGAGUGAUGAAGAAAAUCCAACCAUGAAGGAAUCGACAGAGGAGCAGCAGACUGAUAGAGAAAAUCUAGCCAUGGGGGAAUCAAUAGAGGAGCAGCAGACUGAUGAAGAAAAUCCAUCCAUGGAGGAACCAACAGAGAAGUAGUAGGGGGAAAAAAAUAUUAGUUUUGGCCUUGUCUAUCUUUUUUUUUUUUGAAUAAGUAAGGAUUUUCAUUGGCCUUGCCUAUCUAGUUGAAGCAGGAUUCUCCUUGUACUUGUUGUCUAGCAUAAGCUUUGACUAUCUUUGGGUUGUAUUUCAAUAUUAAUUGCAGGCUUGCUCACAGAAUUUUCAUCACGAGAACAUUUAUAUCAUCAACGUUUCUCAAGACAUUGAUUUAUGGAUCCUCUGCCUUUUCAUGGAGUGACUUUCCUCCCUUCCUCUUCUUUUCUUCCACAGUGCACUGCUUCUUCAUCGAGCAAUCCUUAAGGGAAAAAGGAUAGUGAUGAUAAGCCAUUGCGAUCAAAGACUGUCCCUCAACUCUAUUCAAGUUCAGGCGAUUACAGGUUGAAUUUAUAGGUGUAUGAACAACCCUUAUUCUAGUAGGAUUCGGACUGGUAUUAAUCCCUCUCUAGUAGUGAAAAACAAAUAACUAUCAGGUUAUCUUAAUAAAGACAUAAAUUAUCUAGUUAUCUUAAUAAAGACAAAUAAAAUAUUUGUAUGCAUAUGUCUACAAUUUAAAGUAUUCAAAGGGUAAACAUGAUACAUGGUCACUAAAUUCAAAGGAGGCACGAGUAAUGUUACUAGCUAAGAAAAGUAUUAUAAGGUUGAUUAAAUAAAUAUUGUAUCAUCUUACUCAAAAAUACAAUAACAUCUAAAUUCUUUUUUACUUAUAUUUUAAUACUUACUUCUUUGACCUGAAACAACAUUUUAAACAAACAGAAAAUGGAACACAUGGAAUCUUAAUUAAUUAACAUAGAGCAAAUGGAAAUUAAGAUCACCCCAGAGGAUUCUGCACUGGAUGUGAACUGAAGGGUAUCCUUAGGGUGUGAAGACCUUUCCUUGACACGUUCUUGCAAAAUUAACAAAUCAAUUAAAAGUAUAAAACCUGGUCCUAUCGAGCUUGGUAGUCCUUUUAUUCCAUUCGUACCAAAAUCUUCACCUCCCGCCCAUCCCAAGAGUGGUGGUUCCACUUAGCCAUCUAAAACUCAUUACUCAGUAACAUAUAUGAUUUGAAGAAUGUAGCAGUAUAAUCUGUAUCUGAUAUUUUAACCAGCUUGUUUUUUGUAUCCUGUCCAGACAAUAACUUCAAGUUGCUUAUGUAUGCAGCUUAAAUUGUAAUAUAUUUCUUAGUUAAUAGGAUUAUAUAUUAAGAACUUAAUGUUGUGGCUUAGUAUAUAUUAAUUUAUAAUAUACUUGAAAAGAAUUAAAGAAACCUCAAUUUCACAUAUCAUACUAGUUUGUCAACUCUAUGUAUUUAUAAUAAUCAUGCUUAUAAAAUUCAUAGAUAUAUUAGCGAAUAUAUUUUAAAUAUGCAUUUAAAAUUUGGUAGCACUUCACCACAAAUUUAUUAUACAUGUUAAUUAUAAUGUAUUUCUUAGUCAAUAGGAUUAUAUAUUAAGAAUUUAAUGUUGUGGUUUAGUAUAUAUUGUUGUUGAUACAGAGAAACUAAAGCUAUGCCAAGUGAUUGGAUUAUAGAAUGGCAAGCUUCUAAAUAUUUACACACACAAAAAUAUGAGAUUUUCAAAAUAAAUCAAAAAAAUUUUGCGAGGGAGUCGACAAAUGCAUUUGUCUCUCCAUGAACAAAUUUGACAUCACCAAUGAUACUAUUCUAGCAAUCAAUUUGGUCGGGAAUCCACCAUUUGUUUCAAGACUUUGAGUUAGCAUUUCAAAUUCAAGAUAGCGUCACCUUUGAAUCGAAAUCAAUAACAUGUUUUUUGGUACCAUCAAGGUUUUAUUACAUUUCAAACUCCAAAAUAAUUGGAUUGCUUGUUUGAUUGCAAGCAAUAAUGAAAAAUGACAUAGUCAUUUCCCUGACCAAAUAUAUCAUAAAUUCUUUUAACUUUCAAAAAAAAAAAAUUAUUCAGCUCUACUAGCACUACCUUUGAGACCAAUAGAGAUUAAACAUUAAAUCUUAAUCUUUGAAAUUUCUUAAUAUGUCUUGUUAAUAUGAAUCGGGUCUAAUUUGGAAAAAAUUUCUGUGUUUGAGAUUGAAAAAUUACUUUCACAUCACAUCAGACUAAGGCUGCUUUAUCUUGCUAAUAUUCUGCAACUUGUUAUCCUCAGAAAGGCAAAGGUUAGUUAUGUCUUCAAAAUGUUUAAUCGAAAGGAGAUUGAUUCUUCAUCAUGACUUCAAGGAUAUAUAAUUGCCUAUUUAAGAAGUGGGUUUAAAUACUUGUGAGUUGUUUUGACGAUACAAGGGCAGUUGACUGAAAUCUUGCAAAGGGGACUUUUUGGGGGAAAUUAUUUAGGAAACAGCUAAGCAGUUGGAGUUCAGCUUUAAUAUGAAGAUAUUAAGGUAACUAUGCAGUAGUCAUUUGGCUUUACUAUGGAGAUAAUUAAGUGAUUCCCACUAGUUUUAUUAUAAAUAAUAUGAUAAUAGAUGCACUUAAAUAUUUGAUUCAAUGAUAGGUGCAUGUAUCCCCCACUAAAUAUCCAAAUUGAACAACCUAAACACCUUUAAAUGACAAGUGGGCAGUUAUACCUCUUUUGCAGUAAUUGCAUAAAUUCACUUGAAUUGGCUUGCAUGUGGAGAACUAGUCAGUGGACUUGUUCAGCGAGUUUCACUGAGCUAUCAUUUGUUUGCAGGAUUUGUUGGGAUAAAGAAGACCGAAGCAUCACCAGAUCUAAUUUAUACUUCAAGGACCUAUUUCGUCGGUAUGGAUUGCACUUGUAUAAAAUAAAGGUACCUUCUAUUGCAUAUUGACCACCUAAUAAGUAGUUGAUAAUGCUUUUUUAAACUGAAUAAUCUGUUAGUUUUCUUGUAAAUGCUUUUGACAACUGUUGUUUCAUGAGCCAUAAUUCUAACUAUAUUUUGACACUGAAAGAAUAUACGAUACAAAAAGCUGCGCAGGUCUGCUGUGGUAUCUUAAAUGGUGCUCAAAGUUCUUAAUCAGCCUCAACUUCCAAUUUUUUUUUUUUAAUUCUGAAAAACAAAAACCCCUCACUGGCUAAAAUAAAGUGGGAAUCAAAUCAGUUUGGUACAAUUUGUAGAUAUGAUACAUUUAUGCCACCAAUGAUACUUUGCUACAGAGUUAUCUAUAUCAUAUAUUCUUUUUGUUUUUCUUAUUAUCAAUCAUUUUUACGGAGAAAUUAUGAUCUUGAAGUCAAAACUGGAUGUUGGAAUAAUUAAAGUAAUAAUCAACCUCAAAAUUGUGUGCUGGGUUAUGGCGGUAGAGGGGGUCAACUAGAUGUAAGUGACACCAUUUGGACUUAUACCAUAAAAUGAAACCAAAUUCCAACAAAGAUUAGCUGCCAAUCCAUACGGUUGUGUUUGUUAAACAUAACUUUUGACUUGCAACAUAACAAACCUACGAUGACACAUCUAAAACUGAUAAGUUUAUAUAGAUCAUGCACUAAUAGCCUCAUAUGUUGCAGUGUCUUAAUAACUAAGUCUCUAAGCAAACAUUCAAAAAUUUAGAUCUUUGAACUUUUAAAAUAUAAUGUCUAGCUAAAAACAUUCAAAAAUUUAGAUCUUGAUAGGUGUGGGCUUUAUAGGAUGGGAGGGCUUCUCCUAUUGUGAAGCCCACAUUCCAGAAACUUUCAGAUGUGCCCCAAAAACAUAACACUAGUGAGAGGCGUUGUGUGAUCUAUAUUGUUUGGUAGGUUUUAGAUAUCAUAUCAUCUUUUGUAUCCUUAUAUACUUAUUUGAUGUUGCUGAGUUGAAUCGAUAAGGGUGUGAUUUCUAGUUGCAUGUUCAAAGUUCCCAUUAGAAAUAGGGGCAGGUUUGGUUUGCAAUCCCCCUACUUCAGUUUACGGUUUUCAGCUAUCAUAAUGUAUCCUUUUGUUAUUUAUUUGUUUAUUGUUUUGGAAACAGGACCAGAAAGGACUCCCUGAGGAAUUGUUUGCUGUAAAGAUGUAUGCUUUAACAACUGAAGUGCCAAAGAAGGUUCUUAAGACAAGAUCCAAGGCGCAAGCCAACAGACCUGGCAUCAUCAAAUGAUUUGUUGCCUAUAACUUGUUGCAUUGUUGUAGGAGUACUCAAACUUUCUGGUGUAGGAUGUGAUUGUAUCUUCCUAUGUAAUUUAUUAGCGUAUUACCUCAAACUCGUUUUACUUUACAAGCUCCUUGUGGACAAAUUUUGCUCUUUUUCGUUUGAAGCUGUAUAUUUAUCGCUGGUAUACGUUUGAGUUGAAUGACCAUAUAUUUGUUCACUGUUGAUGGAAAGAAUCUUUACAAGUUGCAAUUAUAAAGUCAUUUGUUCAUGUUAUUUCAUAGCUUGUCUAAGGAAGAAGCAAAUCCUUAUGAAUUUUCCAUUAUAAGAAGAAAGAUGGAAGACCAAAGAGGGCAUGAAUAGAAAUUACAAGAAAUGAUUGUACUUUUAUUGAACUUAUUUGGGAUAAUCAAUCAUAAACAUAUAUAUAUAUAUUAUGAACUUUGAAGCUUUGUCAAUUAAUGAGCUUGUUUGAGGCAUGUUCUCGUAGCAGCACAAGUCUUUUCACAAAUUUUUCUUUUUUGGAACGUAUAUCUUUCUUAAUGAUUAGAGCAAUUGAAACUUCUGUUGAAAAGGGAAGAAAGGGGAUUCGAAACUUGAAAUUUUGAUCUUCUUAAAAUCCAAUAAGUAGAGUAAGGCUUAGUAUCUUUAAAGUGAUUUGCUUUCAAAAUGUCCAAAGUCCUUGAUGCUCUUCUUCUGUAAACAAAACGCCCUCACUUGCUAAAUUAAAGAGGGAAUCAAUUCAGCAUGGUACAAUAAUAAAAAUCAAUGCUGCUCCUACUUGGCCUAGAUGAGGCAUAUACCUUUUUACAGAUUUAGAACAAUUGAAACUUGAGUUUAAAGGUAAAAAAGGGAUUCCAAACUUAAAACUUUUAUCCUCUUAAAAAUCAAUAAGUAGAGUAAUAAGGUUGAUUAUCUAUAAGUGAUUUGAGGUUCUUGGUGUUUUUCUUCUUUUGUAAACAAAACUAAAGUGGGAAUCAAUUAAGUAGGGUACUAUUUAUAGAAAUGGAUACAUUUAUGCCACCAAUGAUACUUUGCUUCAGAGUUAUAUCUAUCAUGUCUUCUUUUUGUUUUUCUUAAUAUCUAUCAUUUUUACAUAGACAUUAAGAGAAUAAAUGUAUACUGGUAUAAUUAAGGUCCUUUGAAAAACAAAUAAAUGGGCAAGUCUGCCAUUGGAAGUAGGCCCAAAAGUCUGCAAAGUCUUGCACAUAAAAAAAUAGUGUCUACAGCCUUUCCCAUCAAGAGGCUGUCAUCUCUCUUUCCAUCUACCAUUCUUUGUUUGAGAUGGCUAUCAAAUCCAUCUUUCAUGAACACCACUUGCUCUAUGAUGACUCCAAUGAAUAUGAAUACGCACUUUGUGAUAUAUGCAGUCAGCAAAUUUGUGGUUUGGUCUAUUCUUGUGAAAGAUGCAAGUUUGCAUUACAUGUUUCUUGCGUUCAUCAACAGCUACCUCCUCAGAUAAGUGCACAUCCUUUCCAUUCCCAACACAAUCUUACUCUCGUAAGGUCAAAUUACAUAGAUUACAUAUGUGCUAAAUGUUUCAAUCUUUCUCGAGGCCAUAGAAACCAUUGCAAAGAUUGUGAUUUUAGCCUUGAGUAUGCAUGUGCUUUUUCAACUAAUGAUGUGAAAAAUAGACUCAAUGAUGAUGGUUUCAACAAGUCCUUCACCCUCUUUAACUAUAGGAAAGUGAGAAAGUAUGAGUAUAUAUGCAGUUGGUGUGAGAACCAUUUGUCUGGAAUGUCCUAUGGUUGUCUUGACAAUGAUGUUUAUAUCUGGUUCCACGAUUCCUGCCUAAUCAACAUGCCUAGCAUAAUCGUCAAACACCCAUCUCAUCCAUCACACCCUCUUCUAUUAUGCAAUAGUCACUUUGAUAAUAGGUUGUGCAGUGCUUGCAACCUACCAAUAUGGGAGUUCAGAAAAGCCUAUUGGUGUAGAAAAUGUGAAUUCCACCUUCAUCUUCAGUGUGCUAAACUACAACCCAGUCUCAAGGUUGAGUUACAUGAGCAUGAUCUUACUUUUUUCCAAAUAAAAGCUAAUACCGCUACCCACCUAUGCAGGAUAUGUGGUAUUAAUUUUGAUUUUCAUGCUAUAGGUGGUGAAAUUGCUUUUAAUCGUUGUGUCCAGUGUAAUUUCAAUUACCAUUUCAAAUGUCUUAGAAUACCAAAUUUUACUUCACACAAGUAUCAUAGGCAUGAGCUCAUGCUUAUGGAUUCCUAUAUAGAAGAUGAUUCUAAGAAAUAUUAUUGUGAUAUAUGUGAAGAGGAAAGAAAACCCAAGCAUUGGGUUUAUUGUUGCGAGAAAUGCAAAUUUGUUGCUCACAUCAAAUGUGCACUCAAUAAGGUAAGGAGACAUUUACUCUUUCUCUAAAGAAAUUUAAUAAAUGUUUUUUUCAUUAGAUAAACUAUUAAUUAUAGCUCACAUAUAAUGUGCCCUUUCGAAAAAUUUUGAUGCUAAUAUUGUCAUUUCCCCAGGUUGUAGUAUGAAACUUGACCAAAGUUCAAACUCUAGUUUGUUGGAUAGUGAAGCUUCAACAUUGAAGGUGAUGGAAUUGGGUCUUCUAUACUGAUAUUAUUGUGAUGUUUUCACUUGCCAAUAAAUUUUUUUGAAGUUUGCAUCACUUUAGGUCUUCUAUUAUUCCUUGGAUUUAUAUAUUAUAAAGAUUUUUUAGUAAUAAACACCAAUUACGUUUUAGAAUAAAAUUCAAUGAAAAAAAACUAAAAACUGUAAAUAAUAUAGGUAAGAAACCUCUACUUAUAUAGCCGUAUUCAAAAUUAAUUGGAGACGGCGUUAGUAAAACUAUUGAAUGUUGAAUAAAAUAAAAACAAAUACGUGCAUCAUAUUAAUUUAUGAACAUAUAUAUUUGAUUGUUUAAUUAUUGCUUCUACAUUUUAGUUUUAUCUUAAAUUUUCAUUUCUUUUACUUUUUAAACAAAAAUAAAAAGUAAAUUUUACUAUUAAUAUUGAUCUAGUUGUAAUUUUUCAUUUUCAUUCAUCCAUUUUGAAUUUGUUCCAAAUCUAUCUGUAUAUUAACAUGCGAGGAAAAUAUAAAUGGAAUUUGUCUGAUAAAUUCCACAUGUUAUGUGAAUUAUGUGAAUGUAGUCACAUGGACGUAAAUGUAGUGCUUAGAUGGCAAAUUCGUUCCAUAUUUAAUAGUGUAUUGAUGGAUAGAUGAAUUUAAAAUAAAUUCAAAAAGAUAUAGAUGGAAAAAAUUGAGUUUGUUUAUUCAUAAAUGAAAAUAAAAUAUUAUGACAAUGUUACAAACUAAGGAUGCCCUUUACUUAAAAAAUAGAGGAAGAUUAAUAACUUUAUUCACUCAACUUGGUUGUGUAGGUGCAUAUUGAACAUUUUGAUCAUCAACAUCCCUUGAGCUAUAAUGAGGCUAUUGAGCAGAAUGAAAGUCUUCUUUGCAAUGGUUGCUGUCAGGAAAUUUUUGAUCAACACUAUGCUUGUGAAGAUUGUAAAUACUACUUACAUGGAACGUGCACUACAUUGUCGUAUGAGGUGUCACACCCUCUUCAUUGCCAGCAUCCUCUCAAGCUCUUCACGGAUAAAGUUGAAUUUAUAUGUCAUGGAUGUAGGGACCAUUCUAAUGGGUUUGCUUACAUGUGCCUUCCAUGUGAUUUCCAACUUGAUGUGAAAUGUGCUACCACUCCAAUCCCACCUAAAAAUGAAGGGCAAAAGCAGACAGAGAUGGAGGAAGUUUCCAAGCUGUGCCCUUUCAAUCAAAAUCAUAAGCUAGACUUCUUCAACCGUAGACCCAAUCUCAAAGAUUUGGCUUUGGAAUGCGAUGCUUGCAAGCUACCAAUCUUGGGUCCAGGUUAUACUUGUGGUGAUUGUUUCGGUAUCAAAUUUCAUGAAUCUUGUCUUGCACUUAUGCGGGAGAUGCAACUCACCAUUCAUCCAUUACACACCCUUCAUCCACAAAUCGGCGAUUGGAUAAAUCGUUCUACCUGCGGAUUUAAAAUCAUUGAAAGUAUCAAUUAUAGUUAUUGGCAGUGUGAUUUCCAGCUUCAUCUUCAUUGUGCUAAUUCCCUGAAGCUGGCCUUAAAAAUUAAGUCUCACAUGCAUAAUCUUUAUUAGUUUGAACCAUAUUAUGAGAAAUCCUACCACUUUUGUAACAAAUGCAAAAGUUACAUUGGUGAGGAACCUUUCUAUUAUUGCGUGGAGUGCAAUAUGAAUUUGCACUUAAAAUGUGUUCCCAUACCAUGUUCAGUUAAAUCCAAAUGUCACAUGCA